This 164555-nucleotide long non-coding RNA is filed under the name Hordeum vulgare. Its description in RNAcentral is "long non-coding RNA (HVUL_LNC004924)". The stretch from base 8971 to 9094 matches the Rfam family "MIR1120/MIR1122 microRNA precursor family". Lineage: Eukaryota; Viridiplantae; Streptophyta; Magnoliopsida; Poales; Poaceae. The record is from RNAcentral.
UGGGGAGGAAGUCGCCCGACUCUUGGCCGCUGGAUUCAUUGUUGAGGUUUUUCAUCCCGAGUGGUUGGCCAAUCCGGUUCUGGUACUGAAGAAGAACAGUACCUUCCGCAUGUGCAUUGACUACACCGACCUCAACAGGGCCAGCCCAAAGGAUCCUUUCGCCCUCCCUCAUAUUGAUCAAAUAAUUGACUCUACGGCGGGUUGCGAGCGACUAUGUUUCUUUUAUGCUUACUCAGGAUAUCACCAGAUCAAGAUGGCUUUGGAGGAUCAGGUGAAGACGUCGUUUAUAACUCCCUUUGGAAGCUUUUGCUAUGUGUCUAUGCCGUUUGGGCUCAAGAGCGUNNNNNNNNNNNNNNNNNNNNNNNNNNNNNNNNNNNNNNNNNNNNNNNNNNNNNNNNNNNNNNNNNNNNNNNNNNNNNNNNNNNNNNNNNNNNNNNNNNNNUCCGGAACCCAUUCGUCAUUCCCGAUACAUUCCUAGUAAUUCCGAAAACCUUCCGGUAAUCAAAUGAGGUCAUCCUAUAUAUUAAUAUUUGUCUCCAGACCAUUCCAGAAACCCUCGUGACGUCCGUGAUCUCAUCCGGGACUCCGAACAACAUUCGGUAACCAACCAUAUAGCUCAAAUACGCAUAAAACAACGUCGAACCUUAAGUGUGCAGACCCUGCGGGUUCGAGAACUAUGUAGACAUGACCCGAGAGACUCCUCGGUCAAUAUCCAAUAGCGGGACCUGGAUGCCCAUAUUGGAUCCUACAUAUUCUACGAAGAUCUUAUCGUUUGAACCUCAGUGCCAAGGAUUCAUAUAAUCCCGUAUGUCAUUCCCUUUGUCCUUCGGUAUGUUACUUGCCCGAGAUUCGAUCGUCAGUAUCCGCAUACCUAUUUCAAUCUCGUUUACCGGCAAGUCUCUUUACUCGUUCUGUAAUACAAGAUCCCGUGAGUUACACUAAGUCACAUUGCUUGCAAGGCUUGUGUGUGAUGUUGUAGUACCGAGUGGGCCCCGAGAUACCUCUCCGUCACACGGAGUGACAAAUCCCUGUCUUGAUCCAUACUAACUCAACGAACACCUUCGGAGAUACCUGUAGAGCAUCUUUACAGUCACCCAGUUACGGUGCAACGUUUGAUACACACAAAGCAUUCCUCCGGUGUCAGUGAGUUAUAUGAUCUCAUGGUCAUAGGAAUAAAUACUUGACACGCAGAAAACAGUAGCAACAAAAUGACACGAUCAACAUGCUACGUCUAUUAGUUUGGGUCUAGUCCAUCACAUGAUUCUCCAAUGACGUGAUCCAGUUAUCAAGCAACAACACCUUGUACAUAGUCAGAAGACCCUGACUAUCCUUGAUCAACUGGCCAGCCCCCCCCCCCCCCCCUAGGGACAGUGUUUUGUCUAUGUAUCCACACAUGUAUCUAAGUCUUCAUUCAAUACAAUUAUAGCAUGGAUAAUAAACGAUUAUCUUGAUACACGAAUUAUAAUAAUAACUUAUUUAUCAUUGCCUCUAGGGCAUAAUUCCAAUAGUCUCCCACUUGCACUAGAGUCAAUAAUCUAGCCCUCACAUCACCAUGCGAAUUACAUUGUAAUAAAUCUAACACCCGUACAGUUCUGGUGUUGAUCAUGCUUUGCCCGUGGAACAGGUUUAGUCAGCGGGUCUGCUACAUUCAGAUCUGUGUGCACUUUGCAUAUAUUUACGUCCUCCCCUUCGACAUAGUCGCGGAUGAGGUUGAAGCGUCGUUUGAUGUGGCUGGUCUUCUUGUGAAACUGUGGUUCCUUUGCUAAGGCAAUGGCACCCGUGUUGUCACAAAACAAGGUUAUUGGAUUUAAUGCGCUUGGCAGCACUCCAAGAUCCGUCAUGAACUACUUCAUCGAGACACCCUCCUUAUCCGCCUCCGAGGCAGCCAUGUACUCCGCUUCACAUGUAGAAUCAGCUACGACGCUUUGCUUGGAAUUGCACCAGCUUACUGCACCCCCAUUAAGAAUAAAUACGUAUCCGGUUUGCGACUUAGAGUCGUCUGGAUCUGUGUCAAAGCUUGCAUCGACGUAACCUUUUACGAUGAGCUCUUCGUCACCUCCAUACACGAGAAACAUCUCCUUAGUACUUUUCAGGUACUUCAGGGUAUUCUUGACCGCCAUCUAGUGAUCCACUCCUGGAUUACUCUGGAACCUGCCUGCCAUACUUAUGGGCAGGCUAACAUCCGGUCUAGUGCACAACAUUGCAUACAUGAUAGAACCUAUGGCUAAAGCAUGGGGAACGGUGCUCAUAUGCUCUCUAUCUUUAUUAGUUGCUGGUCACUGAGUCUUACUCAAUCUCGUACCUUGUAAAACUGGCAAGAACCCCUUCUUGGACUGUUCCAUUUUGAACCUCUUCAAAACUUUAUCAAGGUAUGUACUUUGUGAAAGUCCUAUCAGGCGUUUCGAUCUAUCCCUAUAGAUCUUAAUGCCUAGAAUGUAAGCAGCUUCUCCUAGGUCCUUCAUAGAGAAACUUUUAUUCAAGUAAUCCUUUAUGCUCUCCAAAAACUCCACGUUGUUUCCAAUCAGCAAUAUGUCAUCCACAUAUAAUAUUAGAAACGCCACUGAGUUCCCACUCACUUUCUUGUAAAUACAAGAUUCUCCAACCACUUGUAUAAACCCAAAUGCUUUGAUCACCUCAUCAAAGCGUUUAUUCCAACUCCGAGAUGCUUGCACGAGUCCAUAAAUGGACCGCUGGAGCUUGCACACUUUGUUAGCAUUUUUAGGAUCGACAAAACCUUCGGGUUGCGUCAUAUACAACUCUUCCUUAAGGAAACCGUUAAGGAACGCCGUUUUGACAUCCAUCUGCCAGAUUUCAUAAUCGAAAAAUGCAGCUAUUGCUAACAUGAUUCUGACGAACUUAAGCAUCGCUACGGGUGAGAAUGUCUCAUCGUAGUCAACUCCUUGAACUUGUGAAAAACCCUUUGCCACAAGUUGAGCUUUAUAAACGGUCACAUUACCGUCAGCGUCCGUCUUCUUCUUAAAGAUCCAUUUGUUCUGAAUAGCCUUGCGGCCUUCAGGUAGUACUUCCAAAGUCCAUACUUUGUUUUCAUGCAUAGAUCCUAUCUCGUACUUCAUGGCCUCCAGCCAUUUGUUGGACUCCGGGCCCACCAUUGCUUCUUCAUAAUUCACAGGCUCAUUGUUGUCUAACAACAUAAUUGAUAAGACGGGAUUACCGUACCACUCUGGAGUAGUACGUGGUCUCGUCGACCUGCGAGGUUCGACAGGAACUUGAUCCGGAGUUUCAUGAUCAUCAUCAUUAACUUCCUCCUCAACUGGCGUCGCAACGACAGGGGUUUCCCCUUGCCCCGCGCCACCAUCCAGAGGGAUGAGAGGUUCGACAACCUCAUCAAGUUCUAUCUUCCUCCCACUCAAUUCUCUCGAGAGAAACUCCUUCUCGAGAAAAGCUCCGUUCUUAGCAACAAACACUUUGCCCUCGGUUUUGAGAUAGAAGGUAUACCCAACUGUCUCUUUUGGAUAACCUAUGAAGAUGCACUUUUCCGCUUUGGGUUCCAGCUUUUCAGGAUGGAGCUUUUUGACAUAAGCAUCACAUCCCCAAACUUUAAGAAACGACAACUUUGGUCUUUUGCCAUACCACAGUUUGUAUGGUGUUGUCUCAACGGAUUUUGAUGGUGCCCUAUUUAAAGUGAAUGCAGUUGUUUCUAAUGCAUAACCCCAAAACGAUAAUGGCAAAUCGGUAAGAGACAUCAUAGAUCGCACCAUCUCUAAUAAAGUACGAUUAUGACGUUCAGAUACACCAUUACGCUGUGGUGUUCCAGGCGGUGUCAACUGUGAAACAAUUCCACAUUGUCUUAAGUGAGCACCAAACUCGAAACUCAGAUAUUCACCCCCACGAUCAGACCGUAGGAACCUCAUCUUCUUGUUACGAUGAUUUUCAACUUCACUCUGAAAUUGCUUGAACUUUUCAAAUGUUUCAGACUUGUGUUUCAUCAAGUAGACAUAACCAUAUCUACUCAAAUGGUAAGUGAAGGUGAGAAAAUAACGAUAUUCGCCGCGUGCCUCCACGCUCAUCGGACCACACACAUCGGUAUGUAUGAUUUCCAACAAGUCACUUGCACGCUCCAUUGUUCCGGAGAACGGAGUUUUAGUCAUCUUGCCCAUGAGGCAUGGUUCGCACGUGUCAAGUGAAUCAAAGUCAAGUGACUCCAAAAGUCCAUCGGAAUGGAGUUUCUUCAUGCGCUUUACACCAAUAUGACCUAAGCGGCAGUGCCACAAAAACAUGGCACUAUCAUUGUUAACUUUAACUCUUUUGGUCUCAAUGUUAUGUAUAUGUGUAUUAUCAUUAUCAAGAUUCAAUAUGAACAAUCCCCUCACAUUGGGUGCAUGACCAUAAAAUAUAUUACUCAUAGAAAUAGAACAACCUUUAUUCUCUGACUUAAACGAGUAACCGUCUCGCAAUAAACAAGAUCCAGAUAUAAUGUUCAUGCUUAACGCAUGCACUAAAUAACAAUUAUUUAAGUUCAUAACUAAUCCUGAUGGUAACUGAAGUGAAACUGUGCCGACGGCGAUUGCAUCAACCUUGGAACCAUUUCCCACGUGCAUCGACACUUCAUCUUUCGCCAGCCUUCGCCUAUUCCACAGUUCCUAUUUUGAGUUGCAAAUAUGAGCAACAGAACCGGUAUCGAAUACCGAGGCACUACUACGAGAGCUGGUUAAGUACACAUCAAUAACAUGUAUAUCAAAUAUACCUGAUUUUUUUUGGCCGCCUUCUUAUCAGCCAGAUACUUGGGGCAGUUGCACUUCCAGUGACCCAUACCCUUGCAAUAAUAGCACUCCGUUUCAGGCUUAGGUCCAGCUUUGGGUUUCUUCGUCGGAUUGGCAACAGUUUUGCCGCUCUUCUUUGAAUUACCCUUCUUUCCUUUGCAGUUUCUCUUGAAACAAGUGGUCUUAUUCACCAUCAACACUUAAUGCUCUUUACGGAGUUCUGACUCUGCGACUUUCAGCAUCGCGAACAACUCGCCGGGUGACUUGUUCAUCCCUUGCAUGUUGUAGUUCAACACAAAGCCCUUAUAGCUUGGUGGCAGUGAUUGAAGAAUUCUAUCAGUAAUAGCCUCUUGCGGGAGUUCAAUCCCCAGCUCAGCUAGACGGUUUGAGUACCAAGACAUUUUGAGGACAUGUUCACUCACAGACGAAUUCUCCUCCAUCUUGCAAGCAUAUAAUUUAUUGGAGGUCUCAUACCUCUCGAUCCGGGCGUUCUUCUGAAAGAUAAACUUCAACUCCUCGAACAUCUCAUAUGCUCCAUGACGCUCAAAGCGACGUUGAAGUCUCGGCUCUAAGCCAUACAAGACUGCACAUUGAACUACUGAGUAGUCCUCCUUACGUGUUAACCAAGCGUUCUUAACAUCUUGAUCAGCCGUAGUGGGUGGUUCAUCUCCUAGCGCAACAUUAAGGACAUAAUCCUUCUUCCCAGCUUGCAGGAGCAACUUAAGAUUACGAGCCCAGUCUACAAAGUUGCAUCCAUCAUAUUUCAACUUAGCUUUCUCUAGGAACGUAUUAAAAUUCAGGGUGACUGUCGCGUGAGCCAUGAUCUACAACACAGAUAUAUUCAAAGUGGACUUAGACUAUGUUCAAGAUAAUUAGAGUUUAACUUAAUCAAAUUACUUGCUGAACUCCCACUCAAAAAGUACAUCUCUCUAGUCAUUUGAGUGGUUCAUGAUCCAAUUCCACUAGCUCAAGUCCGAUCAUCACGUGAGUUGAGGAUAGUUUCAGUGGUAAGCAUCCCUAUGCUAAUCAUAUCAACUAUAUGAUUCAUGAUCGACCUUUUGGUCUCAUGUGUUCCGAGGCCAUGUCUGCACAUGCUAGGCUCGUCAAGCUUAACCCGAGUGUUCCGCGUGUGCAACUGUUUUGCACCCGUUGUAUGUGAACGUUGAGUCUAUCACACCCGAUCAUCACGUGGUGUAUCGAAACGACGAACUGUAGCAACGGUGCACGGUCGGGGAGAACACAAUUUCGUCUUGAAAUUUUAGUGAAAGAUCACCUCAUAAUGCUACCGUCGUUCUAAGCAAAAUAAGGUGCAUAAAAGGAUUAACUUCACAUGCAAUUCAUAAGUGACAUGAUAUGGCCAUCAUCACGUGCUUCUUGAUCUCCAUCACCAAAGCACCGACACGAUCUUGUGUCACCGGCACCACACCAUGACCUCCAUCAACGUGUCGCCAUCGGGGUUGUCGUGCUACUCAUGCUAUUACUACUAAAGCUACAUCCUAGCAAAAUAGUAAACGCAUCUGCAAGCACAAACGUUAGUUUAAAGACAACCCUAUGGCUCCUGCCGGUUGCCGUACCAUCGACGUGCAAGUCGAUAUUAACUAUUACAACAUGAUCAUCUCAUACAUCCAAUAUAUCACAUCACAUCGUUGGCCAUAUCACAUCACAAGCAUACCCUGCAAAAACAAGUUAGACGUCCUCUAAUUGUUGUUGCAUGUUUUACGUGGUGACCAUGGGUAUCUAGUAGGAUUGCAUCUUACUUACGCAAACACCACAACGAAGAUAUAUGAAUUGCUAUUUAACCUCAUCCAAGGACCUCCUCGGUCAAAUCCGAUUCAACUAAAGUUGGAGAAACCGACACUCGCCAGUCAUCUUUGAGCAACGGAGUUGCUCGUAGCGAUGAAACCAGUCUCUCGUAAGCGUACAAGUAAUGUCGGUCCGAGCCGCUUCGCUCCAACAAUACCGCGGAAUCAAGAAAAGACUAAGGAGGGCAGCAAAUCGCACAUCACCGCCCACAAAAAUUUUGUGUUCUACUCGAGAUUACAUCUACGCAUGAACCUAGCUCAUGAUGCCACUGAUGGGGAACGUCGCAUGGGAAACAAAAAAUUUCCUACGCGCACGAAGACCUAUCAUGGUGAUGUCCAUCUACGAGGGGGAUUUCAGAUCUACGUACCCUUGUAGAUCGCACAGAAGAAGCGUUAAUAAACGCGGUUGAUGUAGUGGAACGUCCUCACGUCCCUCGAUCCGCCCUGCGAACCUUCCCACGAACCGUCCCGCUAUUCGUCCCACAAUCCGCUCCGAUCUAGUGCCGAACGGACGGCGCCUCCGCGUUCAACACACGUACAGCUCGACGAUGAUCUCGGCCUUCUUGAUCCAGCAAGAGAGACGGAGAGGUAGAUGAGUUCUCCGGCAGCGUGAUGGCGCUCCGGAGGUUGGUGGUGAUCUAAUCUCAGCAGGGCUCCGCCCGAGCUCUCCAGAAACCUUCGUAUAUAUAGGUGGGAGGGGAGGGGCCUUGCCUUGGGGCUCAAGGAGCCCCAAGGGGUUCGGCCGAAGGGGGGGAGGAGGAGUCCUCCUCCAAUCCUAGUCCAACUAGGAUUGGAAGGUGGAGUCCUUCCCUUCCUUCCCACUUCCCCUUUUUUCAUCUUUGAUUUUCUUAUCUCCGUGCGCAGGGGCCUCUUUGGGCUUGCCCACCAGCCCACUAAGGGCUGGUGCGGCACCCCUAAGGCCUAUGGGCUUCCCCGGGGUGGCUGCCCCCCCCCCCGGUGAACAUUCGGAACUCAUUCGUCAUUCCCGGUACAUUCCCGGUAAUUCCAAAAACCUUCCGGUAAUCAAAUGAGGUCAUCCUAUAUAUCAAUCUUUGUCUCUGGACCAUUCCGGAAACCCUCGUGACGUCCGUGAUCUCAUCCGGGACUCCGAACAACAUUCGGUAACUGUUGGGGAUAUACCCCACGGUGUGACCCGGCUUGAAGUAUGACCCGCCAAGACUUGGUGACUCACCGGCGAAUCAGCAGUGACCUGGCGGGCGGGCCAUACAUGACCCGGCAGGCAACUCACACAAACGAUAAAGGCCCAAGGCCCAGCGCGCACCCUGGCAUAAGGCGACUGAUAGAGAGGCCAGGAGGGCCGACUCACACAGAAGGCCCAGGAAGAAAGACUCCCACAAGAAGGAAACAAGACCCGGAUCAGGAUUCAAGAGAGACUAGUCCUAUUCCUACUCCUAGUAGGACUCUACAUGUAAACCUACCCCUUCCACCUAUAUAAGGAGGGGUAAGGCGCCCGAAGAGGGACAAGAUACACAACUUAGGUCUAGACAAGACAAAUCAUGAGAUAGACAGAUUAGACACCCACGAGAUUAGAGGUGGCGAGUCUGCACCCUUGUAAUCGAGAUCAUUGUCUUCAUCAAUGAAACACAACCAGGACAUAGGUUUUUACCUCCAUCGGAGGGGCCGAACCUGGGUAAACUCGCGUCUCUCGAUUCCAACCAACCUCUUCAAGCCGCCACAUGGUUGCGAUGGCCUCACACCUAAGUUCUCUCACGAGGACAUCUGCCGUGACAAAACCACGACAGUUGGCGCCCAUCGUGGGGCCGAUCGCAUGGUGGUAUUGUGUUCUUGGAGGGAAACUCUGUGGGGAUCGAGAAGCUCGCGAAACUAUUGCGCACGAUAACCUGGCAUGGAACAAUCGUGGGGCUUGGUGUGCACAAAUCAACAAGUUCAGUCGGAUUGAUUCGGUCCAAGGAAUUAGGUGCCAUGGUGUCUCAAUCAAUCUGCAUCGACAUUAGCAGAAGCUCACGAGAUGAAGUUUAGAAGAAAUUAAGGUUUUAUGCUAUACAUCGUCGAACGCGUAUCUAGCGAUAUGUCAAUCCGAGGGCGGGUCGGCGCGUGUUACUGACAAGAUGAACAGAUUUCUGCUUAUGCCCUACACAUCAUCUGUUAGUUGUGAAUUGAUGCUGCUACCACAAACGCACACAUAGACGGAGACAUGAUCGAGACCUUUGCCCGUUCGGUGCAUGUGCGUGCAGGAGCAAUCUGACCGAAAUCAAAAGCUGGUGAUUCUUUUUUACUCCUGUUCCGAUCAGCGGUUGUAUGAGUUGUGCCACAGGUGAUCAAAGAUAAGGCAUCAGGGACCAACGUUUUGAUUUUUCCUGUUGAAGUGAUCAAACUACUAUUUCUUAUUGGGUUAUCGCGUCACAUCAAUCAAGAUUUCCCGUGAUGGACUCCGGAUUGUGUGCAAUCAGUCAUCUGCUACUACCAAAAUACUCCCUCCGUCCAGAAAUACUUGUCCUAGAGAUGAAUGUAUCUAGACUUAUUUUAGUUAUAGAUACAUCCAUUAUAUCCAUUUCUAGGACAAGUAUUUCCGGACGGAGGAAGUAAAAGAGAAAGACCACAGUCAGGGGCGGACUCGGAAUCGUCGCGCCCGCAGCUGGCUUCACCGAAGCCGGCCGCGACCCGAACUCGGGACCUCUCGUCAACAUAUAUUAUGGACCGGACGGCUUGAAUCGGGAGAGAUGGCUCGCCACCGUUGCUUCGCCUCGCUUUGCUCCGCCCUGCCGAGCCGGCCGACCUCGCCUCGCGUCCGAGCCGCCAUGGCCCCCGACAAGCCAGCUUCGCAUCACCUGCCCACCUUGCCAUCGCAUACUCACAUCGAGCCGGCCGCCUCAUAUCACCGUAACCACCAACCACAGUCGCGCCUCGCGCUCCAUGUGCCGGCGCCUCACCUGAGCCAGCGCCUCCACGCACAGUCCCACCUUGAGCUGGUCACCUUCCCUGCGCCGCUUCACCAACGCGUCAGCCUUGUUGGCUUUUGAACGUGCGUAUGCAGCUGUACAGGUGUGCCUACGCGGUUCUUGCUUCGGCCAGCUACUUGACGGAACUUGCGUAACUAGCGACACGAAUAAAACUGAUCGAUGGAUUUGAUGGCUAAAGGCUCGUGUCGUGCCUUUGCUUUGUAUUGCUUUUCGUUUUUCUGGUGUUACAAUCAACACCCCUAGGGUGUCUUUUAUACACGUCCACAAGGGACUAUGGAAAUAGACUAGGACUAGGAAUCCUAAUACUACUAGGACUCGGUUUGGCUUUCUUUCCUAAUCCUAAAGAAACAACAUGAUUAACUUCUACAUUCACCUCCUUAAUCUUGUUGCUUGACUUCACUUCUUGCACUCCGACUUUGCUCCUCAUCUCGAUGAACUUCUGUCGACCGAGGGACUUGGUGAAAAUAUUUGGCAAGUUGGUCUUUCGUGUUCACAUGUUGAACCUCGAUCAACCCUUCUUCAAUGCACUCCCGGAUAUGGUGGAACCGGGUAUCUAUGUGCUUGCUCCUUUCGUGAUGAACCGGAUUUUUGCACAACGAGAUUGCAGCUUGGUUAUCGAUCUUCAGUGACACCUUCUGCACCUCCCGCUUUGCAAGAAUAGCUAGGAGUCUUCUCAGCCACACUGCUUGACAAGCCGCCGUGCUUGCCGCUAUGUAUUCUGCCUCGCAUGAAGACAGUGCCACCACCUUUUGCUUCUGAGAAUUCCAGCUAAUCGGAUUCGGGCCAAGGUAGAAAACCAUGCCCGUUGUGCUCUUUCGGUCAUCAACAUCACCUGCCAUGUCGCUAUCUGAAUAUCCAUGAAGGAUGAAUCCUUCCUUUCCCUUUCUAUACGUGCAGCCAAGAUUAAUUGUGCCUUUCACAUAGCGUAGAAUUUGAUUGACCGCGCUCAUGUGUUCGGUUGUCGGAUUCUCCAUGAAACGACUCACGAUCCCGACUGAAUACGCCAAGUCAGGUCGGGUAUGCACCAAAUAUCUUAGGCUGCCCACAACGCUUCGAUACAUUGUGGUGUCCACCGGCGGAUUUGAGCUACGCUUGCUCAACUUGUGACGUUGGUCCAUUGGAACUUGUGUCUCGUAGCAAUCUGACAUGCCACACUUUUCCAAUAACUUGACUGCGUAGGCCGAUUGACAUAGGGAAAUCUCUCCGGAGCUUUGCUUCACUUCGAUGCCCAAGUAAUAGCUGAGUAAUCCUAGAUCACUCAUGCUAAACUUGUUCUUCAUUUGCGCCUUGAAACGUUCAAUUUCUUGUACGCUAUCUCCGGUGAUAAUCAGAUCGUCGACAUAAACUCCAACUAGCAGGUUUGAGCCUUUGGAGUUCUUUGUAUAGACUGCGUGCUCGAGGGGACAUCUCUUGAACCCGAGCGAGACCAGACUUUGGUCUAACUUUGAGUUCCAAGCUCUUGGCGCUUGCUUCAACCCGUAAAGUGCCUUCUUGAGCUUGUAAACUUUCCCUUCUUCGCCUUUCUUCUCGUAGCCGAGGGGUUGUUCCACGUACACUUCUUCUGUGAGAUCGCCAUUGAGGAAAGCGGAUUUAACAUCCAUAUGAUGAACCUUCCAAUCCUCUUGUGCUGCCAAAGCUAGGAGCACUCUCACCGUCUCGAUUUGAGCAACCGGUGCAAACACCUCAUCAUAGUCAACUCCUUGACGUUGAACGUAGGCCUUUGCAACGAGUCUUGCCUUGUACUUCACAAUGGCACCCUCCGUGUCCUUCUUUAACUUGUAAACCCACUUCAAACCUAUCGUCUUUUGGUUUGGAGGUCGGGUUACCAAAGUCCACGUGCCAUUGCUCUCAAUUGCCUUCAUCUCCUCAUGCAUGGUGUGCGUCCAACUACGACUUUUGCUCGCCUCUACGAAGUUCGCCGGCUCCUCAACUCCGAACAGACAUAGUCCGGAGUACUCGAGCGUAACUGGCUUUGUGUACUUGUAGACUUUCUUGAGGGUCUUGUAGCGACGAGGCCCUGAGGAGUCCGUUGUGGCUUGCGAAGGAGGCGACACAAAUUGUGUCGGUGUUGAUGCACUUGAGGAAGACGGCUGAGACCCUGGUGUGUCAUCUACAUCCGUGUCGUCGGCGUAGUCGUCGUGACCGUGACCAUCAUCUUGAUUGUCGUCGUCACUAUGCGCCUCAUUGUCGAUGUUGUCGUCGAGAUCUCCGCCUGUGUCGUGCGCGGCGUUGUCGCUAUCUCCUUGCGACCUAUGCGCAUCGUCGUCGGUGUCGGCACCAUGAUGAUCACUACCAUUGUGGUCACCUUGGUUGGGCGUCUUAUCAACCACUUGGACAUCCUCCCCUGCAUCAUCAUCAGUUGGAAAUUCAACCAUGAAUAUGUUACUGUUUGGAGCAUUGUCGGCUGCGGCGCUCCAAUUCCACGCUUGGUUUUCUUCAAACACGACGUCGCGUGAAAUCCGUAGACGCUUGGUUUGUGGAUCGUAGAAGCGGUAUGCUUUGGUGCCGGAACUCCUCUCGUAUCCGAUGAACACCAUCUUGGUGCUACGAUCGACAAGCUUUGAGAGAUGUGGCUCCGCCAUCUUCACAUGUGCCACACACCCGAACAUCCGUAGAUGAGACACAUUCGGCUUACGUCCGUGAAUUGCUUCAUACGGAGUCUUGUCGAUCACCGCCUUCGUUGGAGCCCGGUUGAGAAGAUAGACCGCCGUCGAGACAGCUUCUCCCCAAAAAGUCCCCGGCAGGUUCUUGCUCUUGAGUAAACUCCUUGCCAUGUCAACGAUGGUUCGAUUGCGCCUUUCAACGACCCCAUUCUGCUGCGGCGUGUAAGGUGCCGUGAGGAACCUCUUUAUGCCAAUCUUCUCGCAGUAGUCGUUGAACUCAUUCGACGUAAAUUCUCCGCCGCGAUCUGUCUCUAGAGCGCGAACCUUCAACUUGUGUUCCAUCUCCGUUGCAGCCUUCAGCUUCUUGAACGCUUCAAACGCCUCAUCUUUAGAUCGUAGGAGAACGACCCACAUAUAUCUCGAGUAGUCGUCUACCACGAGGAAGAAAUACUUCUUUCCCGCGUGAGUUGCUGGGGUGAUAGGGCCACAUAGAUCACCAUGAAGCAGCUUGAGUGCAUCACUUGCACGAUAGGUAGACUGAGCAGGGAACGGCCUGCGGUGCUGUUUUCCAACCAAGCACCCGUCACAUACUUGAUCAACAUGGUCGAUAAAUGGCAUCCCGGAUACCAUCUCCAUCUUUGACAUCUUCUUCAAGGCGUAGAAGUUAACGUGUCCAAAUCUAGCAUGCCAUAACCACGAAUCAUCAUCACUCUUGGCGAGCCAACACUCCGGUUGAGAUUGAUCAAGGUUGAGGAAAUAUAGCCUAUUCCGUGUGCGAUUAACAUGAGCUAGCACGUUUCGGAGGUUGUCGAAGAUCGUCAUCACUCCGCUCUCGAUAUUCACCUUGCAUCCAUUCUCGUCAAGCUUCCCAAUAGAGAUGAUGUUGUUGCACAGCCGUGGGAUGUAGUACACUCCGGUGAGUAUGCGAUGUUCGCCUGUGAGACCCUCAAAGAGGACAGAUCCUUGCCCGCAAAUCUCCACAGCUGAACCAUCACCGAACUUGACCGAGCCUUCAACAUCGUAUUCCAGCUCGAGGAAUUUCUCCUUGCACCCCGUCAUGUGGUUACUGGCACCCGUGUCGAGAUACCACGACACGUUCUGAUCACCGGAUAACUUUGGUGUCACUUUUUCCUCAUGAAGUAGCACCUUCCGGCUUGGUUUCACAACCACCGUUUCAGCGAGAUCACAAACUUCGGCCAUCAGAAGACCUGGACCUUCGUCUUCGUGCUUUGCCAAAUUUGCCUUGAUCUCCCGCUUGUUAGGCUUUGGACAAUCCUUUGCAAAGUGACCCAUAUCGUUGCAGUUAUAGCACUUAACCUCGGAUAAAUCCAAGUUUCGUGGCUUCCGCCCUUUAGAUUGGUCCGCCUUACCACGACCUUGUGGCUUGCCUUUUCCUUUGCCUUUUCCGGUUUGUCCGUCGCGCUUCACGUUGCUUGAGCCUUCGCCACCAUCACGCCUUCCUUUGCUACUUGGGGCCUCCCAAUCUGCGCGCGAGUACAUGAGUUGGUCGCUACCUCCUCCUUUGCCUUUCCGACAGCCACGAGCAUUCUCUUCCCAUGUUCGCAAGCGUCCGAUUGCCUCCGUUAUGGUCAUGUCGUCGAUGUCGUAAAGCUGCUCGAGCGUGCCGAUGAUGUACGUGAAUUUAUCAGUCACCGAACUGAAAAAUUUCUCCACAAUCUCGGUCUCAUCGAGCUUUGCACCAAGCGCGCGGAUCUCUCCCACCAAAGUAGUAAGACGCCUGGCAUAGUCGUUCACCGAUUCAGUUUCCUCCAUCUGCAACUUGUGAAAUUGGCGCUUCAGUACUUGUGCCCGAGCCUUGGUGACGCGAUCUUCUCCGAUCCUCAUCUCCUUGAGUGCGUUCCACGCCUCUCUUGCCAUCUCGAACUCCGCCAAUGUCAUCAGCAUGGAAUCCGGCACAGACUGGGCUAUGGCGGCCAUGGCACCUUCGUCGGACUCGUCAACGACGUCGUCGUCCGUGAUUGCCUGCCACACUCGAAGGGUUCGGAGAAUAAUCUUCAUCUUCACCGCCCACACGCCAUAGUUGGCGUCGGUGAGCAUCGGGUACUCGAUGAGGAUGUUGCGAUGCGCCUGGACGUUGGCGCCCCUCGUUCCUCCACCACUGGUUGCUGACUUGAUGACCUUCUUCACCUUGUCGCCGUUCUUGUUCGCCUUGGCACGGCCGCUGCCGGACUUGACCGACUCAGCGUCGCUGUCCGUCAUCGUAGAUCGUAGAUCGUCGAGGCUCUGAUACCAAUUGUUGGCUUUUGAACAUGCGUAUGCAGCUGUACAGGCGUGCCUACGCGGUUCUUGCUUCGGCCGGCUACUUGACGGAACUUGCGUAACUAGCGACGCGAAUAAAACUGAUCGAUGGAUUUGAUGGCUAAAGGCUCGUGUUGUGCCUUUGCUUUGUAUUGCUUUUCGUUUUUUCUGGUGUUACAAUCAACACCCCUAGGGUGUCUUUUAUACACGUCCACAAGGGACUCUGGAAAUAGACUAGGACUAGGAAUCCUAAUACUACUAGGACUCGGUUUGGCUUUCUUUCCUAAUCCUAAANNNNNNNNNNNNNNNNNNNNNNNNNNNNNNNNNNNNNNNNNNNNNNNNNNNNNNNNNNNNNNNNNNNNNNNNNNNNNNNNNNNNNNNNNNNNNNNNNNNNCUCGGGGCCCACUCGGUAAUACAACAUCACACACAAGCCUUGCAAGCAAUGUGACUUAGUGUAAGUCACGUGAUCUUGUAUUACGUGACGAGUAAAGAGACUUGCCGGUAAACGAGAUUGAAAUAGGUAUGCGGAUACUGACGAUCGAAUCUCGGGCAAGUAACAUAGCGAAGGACAAAGGGAAUGACAUACGGGAUUAUAUGAAUCCUUGGCACUGAGGUUCAAACGAUAAGAUCUUCGUAGAAUAUGUAGGAUCCAAUAUGGGCAUCCAGGUCCCGCUAUUGGAUAUUGAUCGAGGAGUCCCUCGGGUCAUGUCUACAUAGUUCUCGAACCCGCAGGGUCUGCACACUUAAGGUUCGACGUUGUUUUAUGCGUAUUUGAGUUAUAUGGUUUGUUACCGAAUGUUGUUCGGAGUCUCGGAUGAGAUCACAGACGUCACGAGGGUUUCCGGAAUGGUCCGGAGACAAAUAUUGAUAUAUAGGAUGACCUCAUUUGAUUACCGGAAGGUUUUCGGAAUUACCGGGAAUGUACCGGGAAUGACGAAUGGGUUCCGGAUGUUCACCGAGGGGGGCAGCCCACCCCGGGGAAGCCCAUAGGCCUUAGGGGUGCCGCACCAGCCCUUAGUGGGCUGGUGGGAAAGCCCAAAGAGCCCCCUGCACAGGGAGAUAAGAAAAUCAAAGAGAAAAAAGGGGAAGUGGUAAGGAAGGGAAGGACUCCACCUUCCAAUCCUAGUUGGACUAGGAUUGGAGGAGGACUCCUCCUCCCCCCCNNNNNNNNNNNNNNNNNNNNNNNNNNNNNNNNNNNNNNNNNNNNNNNNNNNNNNNNNNNNNNNNNNNNNNNNNNNNNNNNNNNNNNNNNNNNNNNNNNNNGUGCUUAGGAGUUAGACCGGAGGGCUGGCCUCUGUGUUGAGUCUUAGGUGGGGCUGCGAUGUGUCGUUAUUCCGAGGCCGGGCAUGACCGAGAAAAGUGUGUCCGGCCAGAGUGUUAUCGAGCAUGACGGGAAAUGUUGUGCACCCCUACAGUGAUGAAAAUUAACUAUUCGAAUAGCCGUGUCCAUGGUUACAGGACGACUUGGAGUUGUGCCCUGAUCUUAUAAAACUACAAUUGUUACUUAACUGGAAUUAGUUGCCUCGGGAUUGCUUCCUCGCACGGAGUCGAGGGAGGAUCUCUGGGCGUGACCUCACUUUAAUAUUGCUGCAACAAUAUGACUAUUAGUUAUGUUAGACCUGUUCUACUCUCGUCUAUUGCCGCAAGACCCUGAAGAUGCUAGUAUUUGAUAGGACUAGGCCUUCUCUCUCUAUUUCUCGCAUUGCUGCAGUCAGCCCACAUAUAAACACCCCCUUUUUUUAUACUGAUGCAUACUUAGAAUAGUUCUGAUGUAAGAUUUGCGAGUACUUUGGAUGAGUACUCAUCGUUGCUUUGCUCCCCCUUUGUCUCCUUGAUCCGUUGCUGCGACCAGAUGAUGGAGCACAGGAGAUGGAGGUUCUCGCCAACGACGAUUGCUACCCUCGACGGUGCCUACUACUACGUGGAGGCCGCUGAAGACCAGGAGUAGUUAGGAGAUUCCAAGGCAGGAGGCCUCGCCUUGUUCGAUCGUUGUAUCUUUUGUGCUAGACUUCUCUAAGGCACCCCAUGUUUUAUGUUUGUACUCAGAUAUUGUUGCUUCCGCUGACUCAUGUGUUUAUCGAGCUUCCGUAUUCUAGCCCUCAAGGCCCCUGGCUUGUAAUAUGAAGCUGAUAUUGUUUUAUUUGUGUCUAGAGUUGUGUUUUGAUAUCUUCCCGUGAGUCCUUGAGUUUGAUCGUACGCAUUUGCGUGUAUGAUUAGCGUACGAUUAAAUCGAGGGUGUAACAGGCCUCCAAGGUGCCGUCGGGGACAGCCCACCAUUGGUCCCGCCCCUCGGAGUUGUGGCGGCCGCGGGGCUCGACCCCGUUGGUGGAGGCGAGCUGGUCGGCGUGACGGCGUUCGAAGUACGCCGUCCACAACGUGUUGCUGCCGGAGGCGUAUCGCAGGAGGUUGCGUGAGUUCUCUCGCAGGCCGGACCAGAUGUGCACGAUCUCCGCCCGUCGCUCACCUCCGGUGGGUGGUGGUGGCACCGGGACGCUGCCGGCGCUCAACCUCCAAUACGCUGGCACCCGCAUGUCCGGCGGCACUGGGUAGUCUGCCUCGUCGAGGAGGCGGGCCUCGUCCUCGCGGAGGUGCCGGGGGCCGAAGCCAUUGGCGGCCACUCCAUCGCCGGGGUAGCGUUCGGCCAUCGUUCUUGGGGAGGAGAGGGAGAGUGUGGCCACCAGCGGGGGGGGGGNGGGGGGGGGGGUCGCCUUAUAUAGCCGCGGGCGUGCGAGCAUGCGGAGCGGCGGCGUGUGAACGCGUGGCAGGAACCGAUGGGACGUGCGUUGCCGCGCCUUCAGUGCGCCGGCCAUGAAUCAAUGGAAGGUUGACCGCCGGCGCAACCUUCACAUUGAAUCUUGCGGGAAAUGAGGCGAUGAGGACGACGACAACGCGGUCAGUCGCUGACUCGGCGGACCCAUUAUUUUUUUGCACCAAAAACGUUUCCGCCGGCGCCCCCGGGCAACCCCCACCGUGCUGGGUUUGGCGUGGGACCGGCGGGGGCCNNNNNNNNNNNNNNNNNNNNNNNNNNNNNNNNNNNNNNNNNNNNNNNNNNNNNNNNNNNNNNNNNNNNNNNNNNNNNNNNNNNNNNNNNNNNNNNNNNNNNNNAAUCGAAUGAAUUUCUUCAAUGUUUUAUUUAUUCAAAUUAAUUUUUCAUCACAAUGGUUGCCACAAUAACAUGUGAGGUUUUUAUAACAUUUGAUCUAAACUGAAAUUUAUAACAAUUUAAAUGGAAUAUCUGUUUGGCAAACACCCUUCUCAGUAGAUAGAUGUUUUCACGUUGCCAUCUUGUUGCCUCGGAAGUGUCCCUCCCACCACGGAUCAUUUCCCGUGUGGCACUCCUCUUUAUGCCCCUUGCACCGCCUUGGAUUUUUGAACGUGUUGGUUUCUUUCUCCAGUGCCAUGCAUAGCUCGACAUCCCGCGCCGCACCAACAACAAACUGGGUGUCGCCAAGAGAUUUUCUCCACCUCAAUAAAGCACAUGGAGAGGCAAGCUUGAAUCGCCGGUUUGAACACCACCUUGCCAACCGAGCUAGGUUUGCUCUUGUGCAAGAAGACCAUACCAAAUCUGCUCUUUUUAUCAACAAUGGUUAAACGUUCAAACAAUGUCAUCAUAAUCAACAUGACAAAACAUUGCAGAAACUAAGGACAUACUCUCUGGAACUAAAAGGUUCUACCCGAGGCAAUGCUCAGCUUCAUCAGUUGCUUUCCUAUCAUCUCUCCUAAAGAUUUAAAGCAUCAUUGUUCCAACAUAUAAAGUAUUCAAGAAAUCACAAGUACAAUGACAUAUUAAAAAACAGUGAGCAGUGUGGGCACUGCCACCCUCGACUCAUUCGUCGUCACUUCAGCUACAUGAAAGAAGUGUAAAACAUCAAGAAAGCGAUAGUUCUGUGCCUUCACAUCAUGCGAAAUUGCUAUUUUUGGUAGAAUUCGAUGCUAUCUAAGGACGUAUCCUCUAGUUUCCCUUGCCGCAAAAAGAAAAGGAGUUUUUAUUUCAAAAUACCAAGUAAUCCUAGCACACAAAGUUAAAGCAAUCAACUAACAAAAAUAUACUGAUACAUUGUGAUUCACCUUGCUAUUGUUGCUAUCUCAGUCAAAGAGUUUUUGCACGUGAUAGUAACCAUGCUACUUAGGUUUCUUCUAGGUGCGGUAUCAACCGUGUAAACAUAUAUCCAUCCUUGUUGCUCUAAUGUUGAAGCUCCUCUUAUACUCUGCAAGCCCUAUGAAUCUUCAUAUGUUGGACAUAUACUACAAGCCAAAAUGGGUACUCACUCAAGUCAUAUAACAAUGAAAUUCAUUAUCCAAGAUCGUUUACUGAGCUGUUCUGUAACGACCAAGAUGCGGUCCUUUCCGAUCCGGGGAUCGAAGCCCCGAUUUGGAAAGGAGCGCAUCUAAGCGUCUCACAAACAAGGUAACAUCGCACAUACAUAACAAUAAAGAAUGACAAUCAGGGGUUCAAUUGCCAUUACAUAAUAUAUAUAUCAGAGUACAUCACGCAUACAACCAAAGUAGUUCUGCUACGGACUACAAACAUGAGAAAAUGCUAUGCUACCCUGCCUGCUGGCCCAUGAUCACGAACACGCCUCAAUCGUCUGGAUAGCUCACGUACAGGCGGUCUGUCUCCUCAUCGUACUGCCACGCCAAUUGCGUGCCGUCGGGAUCACCUGUCUCUGGGGUACCUGAACCUGUGGGGUUGUGAAGGAAUCUGUGAGCCACGGGGACUCAGCAAUCUAUGACCUCAGUGCCAGAACUAGUCAAGUUAUUAGGUAGGAAAAGGUGAAGUGUUUGAGGUUGCAGCAUCCUAAGCUUGAUUUGGUGGCUAUCUUACGUAGAAAAUAUAUGAAGGUGGACUAUACUAGCGGCCGUGAAAACUUGAUCACUAAGUGGUCCUGAACACCUACCUACGUCAAUCAUAACCCCACCGUGUUCCCGAUUGAAGAGAGAUCUUCGAGGGGACAGUCACGGUUACGCUCACAGUUGGCAAUUUUAUUAGAUUAUGUUUAAGUUAUCUAAUACUGGAUGUUAACAAAAUAUUCCAAGUUGCCACAUAACCGCGGGCACGGCUUUCCGAAAGAUUAAACCCUGCAGGGGUGCCCCAACUAGUCCAUCACAAACGUACACGGGCUGCAAUGUAAUCCUGUAUCACGAAUCUCGUGAUCUCGUCGGAUUCCUUAGAGGAAAACCUCAACUCUGGGGGAAACCAAAGCUUCACCGGGAUUCCUAUACGGAAGAUAUAUCGCUAAGGUAAGACAAGGCUAGUAGGACCUCCCGACGUGUGGACGACCCUGAUAAGAGCCGCGUAUCUCAGUCUCAGGACAUGCCGAAUAAGCGAAGCAUACAGUGGCCAGAGAAAUCUCCCGAGUUGCCCCGGGAUGGCCCCGCACGGUGCUCUAGUUUGGACCAACACUCAUGAGGAGCACUGGCCCGGGUUGUUGAUUAAAGAUCCUCGGGGUGAUCAUUCCCUAUGCAGAUUAUUAAGUGAUUAGCAAAUUAACACCAAUGUUGGGUCCCGCCGAACAAGUCUUAUCACUAAGCGAUUUAUCGAGGGGGUAUGAAAAGACCUCGAUGACGCCUAGAGGGGGGGGGGGUGAAUAGGCUAUUUAAAAACUUCUUCGGAUUUGGCUUAAACCUAAUGCGGAAAUAAACUAAGAGGGUACUUGUCAAGCACAAAUCCUAAAUGCACUAGGCACUGGAACGUGUAACAACAACACGAUCUACCAAGAUGGACACAAUACAGUUACUAACAAGCACAAGUAAGUUACACAAACUUACUUGAGCUAUAUCAUACGACAAGUAGGUGAACGACACAAGAUACUAGAUCACACUAUAGCACACGAUAUAUCAAAAGCUGCAAGUGUGAACGUGUGAAUAUAGAGGGUAUGCUUGAAUGAUUAAUCUUGUACAAGAAAUAUCCAACACAAUAUAAUGAGCACAACCAAUAUGCAAUGUGUGUAUGCUCAAAUAACACAAGUAAACCACAAGUAAGGAGUUAGGGUUAAGGAUAACCAAGGUCACUGAGACGAAGAUGUAUCCCGAUGUUCACUUCCUUGGAGGGAAGCUAGUCACCGUUAGAGAGGUGGAUGUUACCACGAAGGCACACCAACGCCACGAAGGCUCACCCUAUUCUCCCUUUGAGAUAACACCACGAAGGCGUUUCUCAACCACUAGUGAUAAGCCUUUGAGGUGGCUUCCAAACACUCACAAACUUUUCGGGGGGUAAUCACACGGAUUGAUUCCUCUCCGAAGAACUCCUACCGCCUAGGAGUCUCCAACCUCCAAGAGUAACAAGAUCACGAGGAAUGCUCAGAACUUGCUCAAAUCUCAAAUAGCUUGGGUUGAGAGAAGGAGAGGGAGAUGAUCUAUCUUUUGAUUGGAACAACUCUCAAAGGGGCUCACAAAUGCUCUUGGGAUCUAAGAUUUGGUGUGAGAAAAUGUGUGUGAGGUAGAAAUGUGUUCUUAUGAGGAUAUGGCUGUGUUGGACACCCUCUCACGAAGUGGGAGGGGGUAUAUAUAUAGUGGGGAGCGUAAAACAGCCGUUGGGGACACUUUAAGUCACACAGGGGUCGGACAUCCGGCAGUUCACGGAUGUCCGGACGUUCACAAGGGGUCGGACAUCCGACAGGGGUCGGUCGCCCGAGGGCUGUAAGUAUAUCUGGAACCACUGUGGAGUUGAACAGGGACCGGACGUCCGGAGAUGGCCGGAAGUCCGAGUUAUUCGACUCAAACCUCUCUGGUGCAACUUUCCAGAUUUCCAAAAGGGGACGGACGUCCGGCCCUCGGACGUCCGGAGGGAGCCGGAAGUCUGAGUUAUAUGGUUCAAGUUCUUCUCGUGCAAAGCUCCGGAUUUCUGAAGCUGGUCGAACGACCGACCCUCAGAUGUCUGGAGGGAGCCGGAAGUCCGAGUUAUAUGGCUCAAGUUCUUCUGGUGCAAAGCUCCGGAUUUUCGAAGCUGGUCGGACGACCAGCCCUCGGACGUCCGGAGGGAGCCGGAAGUCCGAGUUAUAUGACUCUGAUUUCUCUGGUGAAGGAUUCCGGAUUUCCGAAGCAGGUCGGACGUCCGGCCCUCGGACGUCCGGAGGAGGCCGGAUGUCCGAGGCACUGGUCCUGUUUUCUGAUAACAACAGAGAAGUGGAGAUGUGGUAUGAGCAGAACAGUGGAAAUCUAGUUUGAGCAAGUUCAUCACAAAACCUUUGAUCCCCUCUUAAUAGUGCGGGAUCCCUAAAGACUCAAGAAUUGUAAAAGGGGUACCGAUGAUCCAUACUUGAGUGUAUGCUUUUAUUCGCUGAUCAUCACUCCGCACCGCUAACUUCAAAGGAACAGAUACCUUUGAGUUAGCCCUUUCACUUGAGCUUGAUGUUGUUGUUCCUUCUUGGCUCAAUGUUGAAAGCAAGACAUGAUGAAGUCUUCAAGUAGCUCUCGAUACACAAUGUGGAAAGCCUAGCUUAUAUAUUCAUCUUCAUUUGUCCACCAUGUGAACAUCCACAAGGAUCAAGCAUGUAUUGCUCAGGAAUGCUUAUCUUGAUCUUGUCCUUCUUAGCACAUGAGCUUGUCCUUAUCAACACAUGAUCAUUCACAAUAGCUUAAGAAGGGAUUAGUGAUUAAUUAUCUAUAUGUGUGUUGUCAGCAACACCAAAACACGAUUAAGGGCAUGACUGCACUUUCAAUCUCCCCCUUUUUGGUAGUUGAUGACAACAUACAUAUAGCUCUCAAAAAUAGUAAUAGACAUGUGUGGCUUAGGAGAGUUUUGUUACGAUGCUUAUGAAGGUCCCCUUAUUAUAUGCAUAGUAAAAUAGGUAAGUGCGGGAGCUCCCCCUUAAUGUGUGCAUUGAAGAUAAUAGCAUGAUAUAACACCAUAAUAGUUCAACAAUACAUAGCAUAUCAUAUGAAUCAAUAGGAUAGCAUAAAACUCAUCAUCAUAUGACACAACGAUAAUAUCGUGAUAUCUCAUCACCACAUGAUAGUUCAACAAUACAUCAUCCAUAGGUGAUGACAUAGCACACCAUCCAUAAGUAUCGUUACAUGAUGACACAUCAUUAAGUUCGACAUAAUACAUCAUACCAUACAUUGUGAGAGGAACUAAAAUCGAAACUAAGAUAAGAUAAUGUUCUCCCCCUUUGGCAUCAAGGACCAUAAAGGAGGGAAAACUGGCAAUGCUAUCACAUACUCAAAUAUCACUCUCAUCAAUAUCAUCAUUAAUCAGGCAUCAUCCUCAUCAUCAUCAGCCUCAUCANUCAUCAUCAGGCAAACCACUGCCACCAGCCUCAUCAAGAAAAUCAGCCCACUCAGGACCAGAUGGGAAGCCAAAGUCAGAAGGAGGAGCUGCAGGAAGGGCCUCAUUGUCACUCACAUCAAGAGCGCCCGAGUCUCUCAGACGAGCCUUGAGGGCAUUCUUGGAGGAGAUGAGACUAGAAACCACAUCAUGGGUUUGACCACACUGGAAAGAGAAGGCCUUCAUCAUAGCAGAAUGUGCCUUGCCAAUGAAUUUGGCAAAGUGACCGAGAGGAACUGAGCUGGAUGAAGGGGUUGCUGACCGGGCAGCAGUGCGGCGAGUGGAGGUGGAUGAUGGGGUUUUCUUGGGAGCAUAGUUAUCCGCCAUGUGAGCGGGAAUGACCCACUUGUGAUGUGUGUGAGUGACAGCAACAGUGAAGUCAGCAACAUGGUUAAUAAGAGCCUGGAUGAAGUGGGCAUGAGGGAAGGCUCGCUUGUAUUGGGAACUAGCAAGCCGAAUCUCAUGCCAUAGAAAGUGAGGCACAUUAAUUUUGCUCUUGGGGUGCUCGUACAAAUGUGACAUGAUGUCAAUACAGUAGCCACUGCAGGAUCCCUUAUCACCCAUCUUGGGAUAGAUGGUGCGGAUAAGACACUGAAAGAUGAUAAAGUAGGGAGAACGCCAGAUGUAUACCUGGUUAAGAUCCUUCAUUCGUUCGUCGGCAUCAAGUUCACGGAGUGGUUUGAGGAGAUACCCACACGCCUCAAUUGGCUUAUGUGCAUGGUUAGGAUCAUUCUUAUGGAUUUUGAAGCCGGAGUUGGGGAAACCAAGUGCGGCAACAAACGUAUCAUAAGAGGCUAUGAAGUGAAUGUCUGAGGUUAUCCAGCUAACAGUGUUGUUUGGACCAAAGAAACAUGUGGCAUAAAACUGGUGAAUAGCAGCAGCGUUAAAAUCGCGACGAAAAGCAAAGGGGGCAGCAAGCCCCGAUGACUCAAUGGGCUCAAUGGCACCCGGGUAUUUCGCCGGGUGCGUGCGAAUAUGCUCAAGAUCUAUGAAGUGAUGAACAGAGAGACCCUUAGGAACUAUGACCGUAGUAAAGAUGUCCGCCUGGACGUUUGUGCGGAAACGUGAGUCCAUAGAGUCAUGUACGACAGAGAAUUGAUCAACGUCGCGGCGGAAAGUGAGAUAGGAAGAAUUAGCAACCGUGGUGAAGUUCUUGACUUCACGACCUAAAGUAGCAGGAGGUUCAAGUGAGAUGCGACGAGCUUCACCUUCGGGCUGUUCAGGAGGAGGUGGUGGAAUAUAGGAGGGCCUGCGAGUUCCGGGCUUUGGCAUGGACCUCCGAACGGCGGGCUGGUCAGCACGGUCCUCGGCGACAAGCUCAUCCUCGAAGUCAGAGCCAUCAAACGAUGAGGGGAGCUGUUGAGACGGAGGACGACGGGAAGUCCGUUUGAAGGGACGAUGUUGCCCUUCCGAGUCCGACCCCGUGCCAGUAGGGGCACGAGCGGAUGAGCCAGCAGUGUCCUUCCGGGCGACGUGCUUAAUCUUGGGCAUGAUGCACAAAAACCUACACGGAUGGAAACCCAAUGGGGAACGGUCACGGGCAAACCAUAUGAACGAACACGUGGACUUGGGAGAAAAGGGAACCAAACGCAAGGGGAACGGAGGAGAUACCUGCAGAUCGAGAGAGGAGAGGAAGAAGAGAUGGAUCCCGCGGAGGAGAUCGGAUCCCGCGGAGGAGAUCAGGCAGAUCCUGGAGGUGGCGGCGCGGGCGAGCUCUCCUGCCCCCCCCCCCCCCCCGAAAAGGAGGCGCGUGAGGGCUAGGGCAAGGCCCAGCCCCGCGCCCUUCUAUUUAUAGCCCCCCGAUGUGUCGGACGUUCGACAAGCGUCGGACGUCCGGAGUGGAUUUAGCCUUCGGACGACCGACACUGGCCGGACAUCCGGAAUGAGUUUAGCCGACGGAUGUCCGAGACACGUCGGACGACCGAGAGAGGAGGAGGCAGGGCCAGAUUCUGGAAUUUUGAAUGAUGAGGUGAGAGUAUUCUCGCAUGUGUAGCAACCAAAGGGACCUCUCAACUAACAUAUUUUGGACAUGGUCUGAUUUAAGUCUUUUAAUACAAUUACUAUGAUAAGUGUGGGUCCAAAAUACCAUCAAACGCAAGAGUGCAUAGAAUCAUGCACAAGUUAUCCUCUUAUAAGAGCAAGGCACAUGACACAAGGGUCAUGGCACAAAUUUAUCUCAUUCAUAUGACCAUGAAGAGCUAGGAGAACACCAACACUAGGCAUUUCAUCAAUGUGGUUGACAAGGACAUGCAGGAAAUUACAAAGUGGAAAAGGUAUUAUGUUCAUGCCAUGAUGCAACCUACACAAUGUUGACUCUAAUGUUGUACAUGCAUGAAGUAAAUACUUGUUACCGGAAAAGCAUUGGUAUGGCGUAGAAGUAGCCGAGUCCUGUCUUGACUCUAAUUUCUUCGUGACCAGCACCAUCUUCUUCUGAGAAUAAGUCAAGAUAGCAAUGCUUCUCCAAAGUACCUAAACCACCAAUUAAGCACAAUAUGGUCCCCAAACUUAUUGGGUCCGAAGUAGUUAGUCCAACUACAAUAUAUAUAGGGUAAGAUCACUCAAUUAUGUGCAUAUAGAUAUAAGUUUUACUUUCAAGCACACCCUAACCUUUUAAUGGAUACGUCUAAUUUACCAUAUACAUAUAUUGGAUCAAAGAUACGAUAGACACGGCAUGUGCAUCUACACAUAGUAGAUAUGCCUACACAAUCCUAUCAAAAUCCAAGGAUAUACAAUUUGGACAAAUGAACACAUAAUUUUCUAUUACAGAACAUUCAUGUCGUCCAAAAUGGAUCAGGGUGACAAAUCAACAUAUGGUAGCACCCCAAGUUCAACACAUGAACCGGUCAAGGCAUCACACCAUGUAAGGCAUGCAUUUUGCACAACCUUACAUGCAUGUCUCAGCCCAGUAGAUGUAUAAGUGUAGGUAAUAUGAUUAUAACUCCCACAACAUUAUGAAAUAAAUAGUGCGAGCUCUACCGGGAGACACAUGAAUUUCUCGGCACGUUAUGUAGGUCAACUGAAGAUAAAGCCGAAAUAAAAUGACCUUGUGUGUAGUUCUAUCUCCCGCAUGGUGUCCUCCGUAGGCCUCGGAGUGAUACUUCUGUAGGAUCUGUCCCUGUUCAUGUUCAGGCACACAACGUCUAAUAACACCAUCUACUCAUUCCUUAUAAAGGUGAGGAUCAUCCCAGAAGUAAUGUCUCAAGUCAAAGAAGAAUUUCUUCUUUUGCUGGUAUGUGAAACUAGGUGGUAUAUAUUUAGCAACAAUAUAGUUUGCAUAAUCAGCAUACCACGGUGCACUACAUGAAGUAUUGAUGACAUUCAGUUGCUCAUCGGGCAAGCUAUCAUCAAUAGGUUGUGGGUCAUCAAGAACGUUCUCCAACCUAGACAAGUUAUCUGCUACAGGGUUAUCAACACCCUUCCUGUCGACAACGUGCAAAUCAAAUUCUUGUAGCAAGAGAACCCAUCUGAUAAGUCUAGGUUUAGCGUCCUUCUUCUCCAUGAGGUACUUAAUAGCAGCAUGAUCAGUGUGAAUAGUGACUUUGGAAUCAACUAUGUAAGACCUGAACUUUUCACAUGCAAACACGACUGCUAAAAAUUCCUUUUCCAUAGUAGCAUAGUUUCUUUGGGCACUGUCUAGAGUUUUACUAGCAUAGUGAAUAACAUUCAACUUCUUAUCAACUCUUUGCCCUAGGACAACACCAACAGCAUAAUCGCUAGCAUCACACAUGAUUUCAAAAGGUAAGUUCCAAUCAGGUGGUUGAACAAUAGGUGCAGUUAUCAAAGCCCUCUUAAGUAUUUCGAAGGCUUCCUCACAAUCAUCGUCAAAGACAAAAGGAAUAUCCUUUUGCAAGAGAUUGGUAAGAGGCCUAGAAAUCUUAGAGAAGUCUUUCAUGAACCUUCUAUAGAAACCAGCGUGACCAAGGAAACUUCUUAUACCUUUGAUAUCUGUGGGGUAUGGCAUUUUCUCGAUUGCAUCAACCUUAGCCUUAUCGACUUCAAUACCUCUUUCUGAAAUUUUAUGUCCUAAGACGAUGCCUUCAUUCACCAUAAAGUGGCACUUCUCCCAAUUCAAGACAAGAUUGGUGUAUUUACAUCUCUGCAAGACUCGAUCAAGGUUGCUGAGGAAAUCAUCAAAAGAAGAGCCGUAAACGGAGAAGUCAUCCAUGAAAACCUCAACAAUCUUUUCACAAAAGUUAGAGAAUAUAGCCAUCAUACAUCUUUGAAAGGUGGCAGGUGCAUUACAUAAGCCAAAAGGCAUACAUCUAUAAGCAAAGGUACCGAAAGGGCAGGUGAAAGUGGUUUUCUCCUCAUCAGAUUGUGCAACUCGUAUUUGGGAGAAACCAGAAUAACCGUCUAGAAGGCAGAAGUGUGUGUGCCCCCCCCCCCCCAGUCUUUCUAGCAUUUGUCGAUAAAAGGCAAAGGAUAAUGAUCUUUCCUAGUGGCCUUAUUCAAUUUUCUAAAAUUGAUCACCAUCAUAUAGCCAGUAAUAAUCCUCUGUGGGAUCAAUUCAUCCUUAUCAUUAGGGACAAUGGUAAUGCCUCUCUUCUUAGGGACGCAAUGCACCGGACUCACCCAAUCGCUAUGAGCAACAGGAUAAAUAAUACCUGCUUCCAGGAACUUUAGUAUUUCUUUUCUUACUACCUCUUUCAUCUUAGGAUUCAAUCUCCUUUGAUUAUCAGCAACUGGUUUGAAAUCAGGAUCGGUUUUAAUCUUGUGCUGGCAUAGAGUGGGACUAAUGCCCUUAAGAUCAACAAGAGUAUAUCCAAUAGCAGCACGGUGCUUCCUCAAAGUUUUUAGUAACUUCUUUUCUUCAUGCUCUGAGAGGCUAGCACUAAUUAUGACAUGAUAUCUCUUUUUCAUCAAGAUAAGCAUACUUAAGAAUACGUGGCAACUGUUUAAGCUCGAACACGGGAUCACCCUUUGGUGGAGGUGGAUCCCCAAGCAGUUCAACAUGCAAAUUAUUCUGAAGGAUAGGAUAUUGUUCUAAGACAACUCUAUCUAUCUCAUCCCUUUCAUCCAUAUGCAUAUCAUUUUCAUGCUCAAGCAAGUAUUGCUCUAAGGGAUCAGUAGGAGGCACGGCAAUAGAAGCUAAGGCAAUAGUUUCAUCCCUACUAGGAAACUCCUUUUCAUGAGGUUGUCUACCAAACUUGGAGAAAUUGAACUCAUGUGACACACCUUCAAAGCCAACUGUGACAGUUUGCUUCUCACAGUCAAUAUGAGCAUUGACGGUAUUGAGGAAGGGUCUGCCAAACAUGAUGGGACAAAAGCUAUCUUGAGCGGCAGCAAGAACGAUGAAAUCAGCAGGAUACUUCGUUUUACCACAAAAGACUUCAACAUCCCUAACAAUUCCCACAAGGCAGAUAGUAUCUCUAUUGACAAGCUGAAUAGUGACAUCAAUGGGUUCUAUCGCAAUAGGUGCAAUCUCGUCUUUGAUUUCAUCAUAUAAGGAUUGAGGUAUUGCACUAACACUAGCACCCACGUCACAUAAACCAUGAUAAUAAUGAUCUCCUAUCUUAACAAAAACAACUGGCGUGCCAACAAUAGGCCUAUGUUUGUCUCUAGCGUGAGGUUUAGCAAUUCUAGCAGCAUCUUCACAGAAGUGAAUAUUAUGUCCCUCAACAUCAUCGGAUAGAAGAUCUUUGAUAAUAGCAAUGCUAGGUUCAACUCUAAUUUGCUCAGGGGGUGUAGAUGUUCUAAUUUAGCCUCUACGUAUCACAGUUGAAGCUUUAAAAUGAUCCUUUAUCCUAACAGGGAAAGGUGGUUUCUCAAUGUAAGCACUGGGAACAACAGGAUCAUUAUAGGCAAGGACUCUCUCUUCAACUGGAGUGGGUUUAACUACAUUGACUUCUAAAGGAGGAUGAUAUUUAAACCACUUCUCUUUGGGGAGAUCAAUAUGAGCAGCAAAGGAUUCACACAAUGAAGCUACUAUCUCAGAGUCAAGUCCAUACUUAGCGCUAAAGUCACAAAAAGUAUUUGUUUCAACAAAGGAUUUAACGCAAUCAAACUUGAAAUUCAUACCUGACUCCUUACCUUCUUCAAGCUCCUAAUCUUCAGAGUUGCGUUUAAUUCUCUCCAAUAAAUUAUAUUUGAAGUCAAUAUCUCUCUUCAUAAAAGAACCGGUACAAGAAGUGUCAAGCAUGGUGCGAUCAUCAUGAGAAAGCCAAGCAUAGAAGUUCUGAAUGAUAAUUUCUCUCGAGAGCUCAUGAUUGGGGCAUGAAUAUAACAUUUAUUUAAGCCUCCCCCAAGCUUGAGCGAUGCUUUCUCUGUCAUGAGGCCAAAAAUUAUAAAUAUAAUUCCGAUCACGAUGUACUAAAUGCAUAGGACAAAACUUUUGAUGAAAUUCCAAUUUCAACCGAUUGUAGUCCCAUGAUCGAGUAUCAUCACAUAGCCUAUACCAUGUCAACGCCUUAUCCUUCAAAGAUAAAGGAAAUACCUUCUUCUUGACCUCAUCCUCGGGCAAACCUGCAAGCUUAAAUAAACCACAAACUUCAUCUACAUAGAUUAGAUGCAAGUCUGGAUGUGAUGUUCCAUCUCCUGUAAAAGGAUUAGCGAGCAGUUUCUCAAGCAUACCCGAAGGAAAUUCAAAGAAAAUAUUUUCAGUAGGUGCAACAGGUUGAGGAGAAACUCUUUGUGCUUCCGUUCGAGGUGAAGAUACCCCGAACAAGCCCCUCAAAGGAUUAGUAUGUUGGAAUUAUGCCCUAGAGGCAAUGAUAAAUAAGUUAUUAUUAUAAUUACUAUAUCAAGAUAAUCGUUUAUUAUCCAUGCUACAAUUUUAUGGAAUGAAGACUUAGAUACAUGUGUAGAUACAUAGACAAAACACUGUCCCUAGCAAGCCUCUAGUUGGCUGGCCAGUUGAUCAAGGAUAGUCAGGGUCUUCUGACUAUGUACAAGGUGUUGUUGCUUGAUAACUGGAUCACGUCAUUGGGAGAACCAUGUGAUGGACUAGACCCAAACUAACAGACGUAGCAUGUUGAUCGUGUCAUUUUGUUGCUACUGUUUUCUGCGUGUCAAGUAUUUAUUCCUAUGACCAUGAGAUCAUAUAACUCACUGACACCGGAGGAAUGCUUUGUGUGUAUCAAACAUCGCAACGUAACUGGGUGACUAUAAAGAUGCUCUACAGGUAUCUCCGAAGGUGUUCGUUGAGUUAGUAUGNNNNNNNNNNNNNNNNNNNNNNNNNNNNNNNNNNNNNNNNNNNNNNNNNNNNNNNNNNNNNNNNNNNNNNNNNNNNNNNNNNNNNNNNNNNNNNNNNNNNGUCUCGUGGGCUCGGAGAUGUGUAUAAGAGACAGGACCCACCGCGGCUGCGGCAUGUGGUGGUGCGGGUGCGCGUGAUGCGGAGGCGGGUGCGGAUGCGGGUGCGCGUGGGGUUGGUGAGGCGGCACGGCCACCUGUGAUUCGGUGGUGGUCGCCGCCAUCUGCAUCACCGUCCGCGCCGCCGCCGCCGAGGAGGGUCGCCUGGGGUUGGGGGAGUCUCGUGAGGUUGCGGAGGGCGGAAAGAGAGGGUGCCCGUGGGUGAGGUGACUGGAUAUAUAGCGGGCUGGCGGCGGAUUCAGGCCGUCGGAUCUAGGAGUUCGUUAUUCUGCUGGUCGUUGAUUGAAUGUGCGAGGGAGGCGACGUGUAGGGCCGGUGGGAGGUCCCAGGUUUGGAGCGCGUUGGUAGCUGCCGUUAUAGCGCUGACAGUGUGGGCCCUGUGGUUUGGGAGUGCGAUUGGCGAGUGUUUUUCUUUUCUUUUCGAGAGUGUUGUUGCUGGUUUUAUAUAAUGCUUUUCGUAUUUAUUAUACUGCCAUAAAUCAGUGUAUGGUUGAGUGUCUUCCGAUAACAUUUGGGCGAAUAGGAACGAAACAACUAUGUCAUUCUGUUAAUAUAAAUUAGUCUAAAAUUUGUCUUACAUUUUGAGACGAAAAUAAUAAUGUUCAUGUUAAUUGGCAGGUAUGAAUGAGGUCGUGCUGGACAAAGCUUUUUAAGAUAGAAAGUACUAAUCCUUCCAUUCUAAUCUCAAGUUAAUUUAGUGUACCAUAUAGCACACAUUUUGCUAUCAAAAUUAAAGAUAUAUAAAGAUGUGCGAAGAGAGCUAGUAUUAAGAAGUUUCGUUGAAUUGGUAUGUGGGCUCACCGUAAAAAUGUUGACAACAAAUGAAUAGAACUUUCAUCAAAAUCAAACAAUCACUAUGGAACCUUUGGUAAGUGGUUGAUUCGAGAACCCAUAUGCACACUAUAUCACACCAUGACCAUCACAAGAUUAAGAUUUGGAUAGUUCAACCACUAAUGACAUGAUCUUGUGUGUCAUAUACUAUGAUUUUUCUCUUCACAUCAUGGAGAUUCAUUUGAGGUUUACGCCAAGCCUCUCAAAAUAGAAUGUUUCAACGUUCAUGGUGUUGUUAUGGUCUUCGAGGAUCUAACCGCUUGAUCGUUGUUCAAGCAAACUAUUAGGUUUUGCAUGAGGCUUUGAUAAGAUAUUAUACGCUUCAAUUCGCCGUUUCAUGGUUUGUGUGUCUCGUGUUGUGGUUAAGUGGCUUCUUUCAACAAACGGCUAGUUCUUGCUCAAGAAAGUCUAGUGUCGACACAACAUGAAUGUACGAGUGAUUUGCUUUAGGGUACCAAUGUUAGGUUGCACUAUUCUAAGUUGCAUAGGAUCUCAUGUUUGGCCAAGUGUAAUUAUAUGCCAAGUAAUAAAUAUGUAUUCUAUUGCAAAAUAAAAUGGUAUGUAACCUAGUAAGUAAACAAAAUAGGAUAUGACAACCGGUUAUUCUAAAGUACACGUGUAUCUUAAGUAUUAACUUGAUACCGAACUUGUGGACAUGCAUGUGGGGUUGUCGGUGGGGUUGUAUAAUUAAGAAGUGAUAUUAUGUGGCAUUAGUAUCGGUGGUGCUUACAUGUCUAUAUUUAGAAAUAUGAUAUGGAAUGACUUUAUUUAGCCAUGGGCAUUCAAGUUAGCAUGUGUUGUUUUUAGCAUAUCAUUUGAAUGGGAACUUAGAUAAUUCGGUUUUUAAGGAGUGGAGUUCCUUCUCUGUAAGAAGAGUUGGUCUAGAGUGUGAUUUAGAUCAAAAUAAAAUUAAGGAGCUAGUGGUAGCGGGUUGUGGCAAAACAGUAAUAUCACGGUGAUGGUAUCUCAAGGGGUGCUUUUCCUCUCAAUGCUGAUGAGAUAUCUAGAGCUUUUAUUUAUAGUCUUCUUUGGAACAAAUAGCAUUGAAGUCAAAAUAUCCUCUCAGUGGUAGUUUAUACAAAAUAACUAUAUGUAUAACUAUAAGUGUGUUCUUAUCCGUCAAAACACUUCCGUGCCCUUCAACUAGAUGUCCUGCUUUUUUCGAUACUCCAUGAUGCGCGCAUACAUCUUUAUUAGAAUACAUUAUUGAUCGUCCAAAGCAAAAUGUAAGGUAUAGUGAAAGGCCCAACCAUAGCAGGUGGAUGACAGGAUUGCAUGACUCAUAAACAUAAUACAUAACUAUUACUAGAUCACCAUCCAAACCAGUUGAAUGUUUGUUGUGGUGCUUCUAUGGUUGCACUCAAAGGCUAUAGGCACAUGAUCCUCCACGGAUUGCACAGAGCACCACACAUUACUACUCCCUCCGUCCCAAAAUUAUUUUUUUAGGUUUGUCUAGAAAUGGAUGUAUCAAAAUACUAAAACAUGACUAGAUACAUUCAUAUCUAAACAAAUAUAAGACAAGAAGGGACGAAGGGAGUACAAAUUAGAGUAGCACUACCCCCUCAUCAUUGACCGGUCAUUGUCCACAUGUUAGUGAUGAUCAUUAAAACUAACUGGGCACUCCAGAUGUGUUAGUGAUAUCAAUUUUGGUUUCGGUUCAAUGGUUAUCACGGAUCGUUCUAAUGUUGACCAGUAAGUGAUAGCUUGUCCCAAUGAUUGAACUAGACUGAUUAUUAUCACCCAUUGUCUGUUAUAUUUGACUCGUAUGUGUGUAGACAUCUUAAGUAUGGCCCUUUGGUUUUGAGUCGGAUAGUGUUGUGAUAUACACAACCUAAUAUAAUUCAUCGUCCACUCCUCAUCUCCAAUCCAAACUUUGUUAUCGCCAUCGAGUCCCUUCCCCCCACUGGUCAGUAUUGUAAUAUAUUUCAAUAAUACCAGAGCAUUGGCAUGUCGGUUGAUGUGGUUGUAUGGGGGGGGGGGGGGGGGGGUAAUAUAUAACUAGGUUUUUGCUUUUUCUUUAAAAAAACAUGGUCGUUGAUGGGCCACGUAGUGUGUGUGCACAGCUGGAGAUACAACAAAGUGGGAGGGGCAGUGUGUCGUGGUUUUGUCACGGCAGAUGUCCUCGUGAAAGGACUUAGUACGGGAACCAUCGCACCUUGGUGGCGACUCAAAGGGGUUAAACGGGAGGAACACGGCGGGUUACCCAGGUUCGGCCCCUCGAGAGGAGGUAAUAGCCUACGUCCUGCUUUGUGUGUAUUGAUGUGGAUUCGAUUACAAGGGAGGCGUAACUCGCCUAACCUAGCACUCGAUGAUUUCUCACCUCCCCUCCUCCUUCCGACUCGCCUUUAUAUAUAGGUCGAGGCUUUAGGGUUUUACAAGAGUCCCUUCCUCCUUACAAAUCGUGACCACCGUGGUCUCUAAGUCGCCGUCUUGCAAAACCCAGAGACCUUCCAUAAAUCAUAACCGUCCCGCGGCCUUGAACCGCCCAGGCUGAGGCCCAAGUAGCUCAAAGGAUGAAUCGCCUUACUAGUAACCCGACCCAUAUUGGGCGGGUCACUUAAUAAGCAAUAUCCCCAACACAGUGGGUGUGGGGUAGUGCCAAAACAGUCGCCACAGUGGCUACACCGGCUUGGAGGUGGUGGUUGGGUGCUUUGGAUGGAUUGGUGGUGCGGCAUCAAGCAUCGGCAUGAGGGCGGAAAACCAGGAGCUCAUUGGGCACUGGGUGGCGUGCCCAUCGCUAGAUCUGGGCACGACAUCUAGAUCUCGAGGUGGAUGCGGCGUUCAUCAAUUGCAUGGGCUCGCUCUCAUCGGGUGUGUGGCUAUUUACUAUGAUGAGUCCAUGUAUGUCUAUUAUGUUGGUUGCUUUGCCCAUCAAGUAGAGUUAACUCGUGUUGAUACCACUAAUAAGCGUGAUGAUUGCGCUUGAUUUUUUCAACAACUUCCAACCUUGUUAAAUGUUAUUGGCUAUUCUUGUAAAAAGAUGAGAAUGCUUCACAUAGCUCAUACCGACGAACUGACUGAUGCAUUAGACUUGGAGGAAGUAGAAACCAGGAGGGGUAUGAAUCCAUAAAUGGGUUUGGGAAGGCCAUGUGAUACUCGUUGGAGCUCUCACUACAAUACUAUGAAGCAUGUUAUCUCUAUGUAUCCUACAAUAACGUGUGUUGUCACCAAGAUUGCAAAAGAGUAUAAGAACACAGAGGCAAUAGCGAUAAUGCCACGUUGGCAUCAUUUUAGACAUUUGAAUUUGUUUCCAUGGCACACUUUAUGCAAGAAAUAUCUGGCUACACUAAUGACUUGAGUAUAUAUCUACAAAAGAAAUAUCAAGAUGUUGUCCAUGCUACGGAGCUUGUUGAGCUCAAAAAGUUUCACUUGUAGUGCUUGAGGGAAGAUGAUGGUUGUGACCAUUUCCUUCAAAAGGUCACUUCUUUUUGUGUAAAGCACAAGAUAAAAGUUACAUGGAGGAUCCUUACUACCAUGUUGGAAGACCUAAAAGAGAGCUCUUCAAUACCGCAAUGAAUUUACAACGCUUCCAUGUUGAUACGUGAAACGAUGUGGAUGUCGCCUACAGGGGGGGGGGGCGAAUAGGCGCUUUAAAGUAAUUAUGGUUUAGGCUUGAACAAAUGAGGAAUAAAACUAGCGUUCAAUUUGUUAGGCACAAACCCUAAAACAACUAGGCUCACCUAUGUGCACCAACAAAUUAUGCUAAGCAAGACAAACAACUAAGUGAUAACAAGAUAUAUAACAUGAAACACUAUGGCUAUCACAAAGUAAAGUGCAUAAAUAAAGGGCUAAGGUAUGCGAUAACCGAGGCAUGCAGAGACGGUGAUGUAUACUAAAUUUCACACCCUUGCGGAUGCUAGUCUCCGUUUGGAGCUAUAUGGAGGCACGAUGCUCCUCAAAUGCCACUAGGGCCACCGUAAUCUCCUCGCGCCCUCGCACAAUGCAAGAUGUUGUGAUACCACUAAGGGCCCCUUGUGGGCGGUCGUUGAACCCGUACAAAUGGUGACCCUUGGGGGCGAUCACUGAACCCGUACGAUUGGCAACCCUUGGCGAUAGUCAUCGAAACCCGUACAAAUUGCCCGGGGCAAUCUCCACAACUAAAUUAGAGACCCGAUGCUUGCUUGGAGCUUUACACCACAAUGAUUGAGCUCCGGAGACGCCACCAACCGUCUAGGGCGCCAAAGCACCCAAGAGGCAAAAAAUCUUGGGUCCCAAACACCCAAGAGAAAUAAGCUUCUCAAAUUUUCACUUCCACGUAACACCAUGGAGAACUCAACCCGAUGCAACUAAUGCAAUGGAAAAGAACACAUGAAGUGGUAAAGUCCCUCACUCUCAAAUCCAACCACAACAACAAAAGCUAUUGAUGAAUAUGUUAGGACGAACAAGGAGGUCACAAGGAAAUCCAAGAUAUAGAUCCAAGGAGGUGCCCUCACACAGAGGAGAAAGUGAUUGAUGGAAAUGUGGAUCUAGAUCUCCUCUCUCUUUUUCAUCAACAAGGAGCAAGAAUCAUUGGAGGGAUUGUGAGAUAGAAAGAUCAGAGAAGGUCAACAAUGGGGGCAAACACAAGCUCAAAGGAUAAUAUACAUUGGGGAAGAAGACCCCCUUUUAUAGUGGGACAAAAUUCCAACUGUUAUUUGCUCACCUCGCAGUAAAGCAGUACUACCUCUUAAGGCGGUAGUUCCAAGAGUAGCAGAGUGAGCACGUGGAGUGUCGGUGCGGUAGUGCCGCCGGAGCGGCACUACCUUCCAUCCAUCAGUGGUACUACCGCUUGGAUCACUUGGUACACAGGAACAGUGGUACGGAGAAGUGCUAGAGCGGAAGUACCGCAUGAAGUGGUACUACCGUCCUAGUACCGUGAUACUUGUGAAGUGCGUUGGGAUUUUCCUCGAGAGGAGGGGAUGAUGCAGCACAGUAAAGUUAAGUACUUCCCUCGGUGAGAAUCAAGGUUAUAAAACCGACAGGAGGACCACACAAUUUCCCAUCUUCAACGCCUACACACAAAAGAGCACACACUUGCACCAACGUGGGCAAGAGGGUUGUCAAUCCCCUUGCACUCGUUACUCGCAAGCGAUAAGUAGUGAUAGAUAGAUAAUAAACGGGGGGGGGGGGGGAUAAAAGGCGGUGAGGUGUUUUUUACUAAUAUAUUUGUGAAGAGACCCCGGGCCAUAGUUUUCACUGGAGGCUUCUCUCUCGAAGAAAGCAUACAGUGGGUAGACAAAUUACUGUUGGGCAAUUGAUAGAAAAGCGCAUAGUUAUACAAUAUGUAUUCACGGCAAUGAUCAUGUAUAUAGGCAUCACGUCCAUAAGCAAGUAGACCGACUCCUCUCUAUAUCUACUACUAUUACUCCACCAAUCGACCCCUAUCCAGCAUGCAUCUAGACUAUUAAUUAAAAACAGAGUAUUGCUUGGAGGAUGAUGACAUGAUGGAGACAAAGUAAAUCCAUUUAAUAUGAAUGAACCACAUAGUUUUAUCCUUAAUGGCAGCAAUACAAUAUGUGUGAUGUCCAUUUCUGUCACUGGGAUUAAGCACCGCAAGAUUGAACCCGCUACAACACACCUCUCCCACUAAAGAUAAAUCAAUCUAGUUGGACAAACCAAACUGAUAGAUCGAAGAUAAUUAUGAAGCUAUAACAAUCAUGUGUAUAAGAAUUCAGAGAAGAUUCAAAUAUUUAUUCAUGUAUAAUUUGAACAUAAACCCACAAUUCACUCAAUCCCAACAAACACACCGCAAAGAGUGGUUACAUAAGAUAGAUCACCGCGGGAAUCGCAGUGAUCUUGGCANNNNNNNNNNNNNNNNNNNNNNNNNNNNNNNNNNNNNNNNNNNNNNNNNNNNNNNNNNNNNNNNNNNNNNNNNNNNNNNNNNNNNNNNNNNNNNNNNNNNCCUGUUUAAAAUUCGUAAUUUUAAAUCAAAUUUAAGACGUGAAAUAUAAUUUAUGUAUUUACUUUCUGAGAAGAAAUAUAAUUUUUUAUGAUAUUUUAGAAAAUACCACCAAAAUAAAAAACGAAUGAAAAAAUAAACAUAAUUGGGCUUGCCAUUAGUAGCAACGGGAGGGAACGCUUGCGGAGUGACCAGGUUCAGAAUUGGGGAGCUCCUAUGGGAAAACACUAUUCGUCACUAUAUGCGAAGCGGUGUCGAAGCUUCGCACAAAGCAGGAGGGGUGUCGAUUUUAAAUGGGCUGGCCCAUUUAGCGGGUGUAGCUCGACUUUUUUCAUUUUUGGGAAACUUCUACAAGGUUCUCUGAACCAUUUUUUCCCUUUUCAUUUUUAUUUAUUAUUAUNNNNNNNNNNNNNNNNNNNNNNNNNNNNNNNNNAAAAAAUGUUUUGGAUUUGGAAAAAAUCAAUUUUCGAUUUUUAAAAAAUAUUCUCGAUGUUAAAAUGACUUUCUGUGUUUUCCAAAAAUUGUUCUCAGUUUUAGAGCUUGUACUUAAGAUUCAAGUAUGUUCUUGGUUUCAAAUUUUGUUCUUCCGAUUCAAAAAAUGUCUGUGCUUUCAAUAAUUGUUCGUGCAUCCAAUUUUUUUUGGCUUUUUCCAAAAGUGUUCUCUGUUUGAAAAAAAAAUGUCAAGACUAAACAAUUGUUUGUGCUUUAAAAAAUUGUUCACGCAUACAAAUUUGUUCAGGAAUUUUCAACAUUGUUCUAGGUUUCAAAUUUUGUUCUUAAGAUUCAAACAUUGUUCGUGUUUUCAGACAUUGUUCGCGCUUCCAAAUUUGUUCGUGGUUUUUUAAAAUUGUUCUCCAUUUAAAAUUUUGUUUACAAGAUUCAAAAAAAGUGCGUGUUUUGAAAAAAAUCACGCUCCCAAAUUAGUUCAGGAUUUUUCAAAAUUGUUCCCGGUUUCGAAUUUUGUUAACAAAAUUCAAAACAUGCUCGUGCUUUAAAAUUUGUUCGCUCUCCCAAAUUGGUUUGGGGUUUUUUGAAAUUGUUCAGUGUUUCAAAACAUUGUUCUCAGGAUUCAAAAAAUAUUUGUGCUUUAAAAAAUUUGUCCGCGCUUCCCAAUUUGUUCAUGAUUUUUCAAAAUUGUUCUUUGUUUCAAAAUUUGUUCUCAAAAUUCAACAAAUGUUUGUGCUUUAAAAAUGUGUCCGCGCUUUCAAAAUUGUUUUUUUUUUCAAACUUUCUUCUCAAGAUUCAAAAACUAUUUGUGCUUUAGAAAAUUGUUGGUGCUUCUAUAUUUUUGUUCACGAUAUUUCAAAAUUUAUUCUCAAACUUAAAAAUUGUUCAUGCUUUUAUAAUUUUGUUCGCACAUUCAAAUUUGUUAGGGGUUUUUCAAAAAUUUGGUUCCGAGAUUCAGAAAAUGUUUGUGCCUUAAAACAUUGUUCGCGUUUCUUAAUUUGUUCACGAUUUUGCAAAAUUGAUUUCAUAUUUCGAUUUUUUUUUGCUUGAAAUAGAAAAGUAAAAGGAAAAAGUAAAGAAAAAAGGAACCCAAAAAAAGGAAAUAAACAGAAAAGGAUAAAAAGUAACAGAAAAUUAAAGAAGCAAAACUAGGUAGGCCCAGGCAGAAAAGGAUAAAAAGUAACAAAAAAAUAAAGAAGCAAUGAGCGGCAGGUAGGAUCUCGAAUAUUUUGCGUCCAAUAGUGAUGGCUUCGCACAAGAGGGACGAAGCAAAUGGGCUGCCGUCGCUAGCGAAACGAAACCGGCUCGGUUUNCUGAAACAGUUUUCAAAUUCAAAAACAUUUAUCAAAUACAAAAAGAUUUUUUCAAAUUCUGGAACAUUUAAAAAAAUCUAUAACAUUUUUAAAAUUUCAGAAUAUUUUUCAAAAUUCCGGAAAAUAAUUCGAAUUCCGAAUUUUUUUCUCAAUUUCUUGGACAUUUUUCCAAAUUGCAGAACAUUUUUUAAAAGUCUGGAAGAUUUCUUGAAAAUCCAGAAUAUUUUCGAAACAGAAAUAGAAAAGAAGAUGAAAAAAAACCUGGUUCAGGAAGUCUUCCAGAAAGUUCCCAAAAUAGGAAAAAAUAUGGCUUCGAAAGUUUAGAAAGUCCCCAAAACCGGCAUCCCCGCAACUGUUAAUGGGCAGGCCCUGAUCAUCUUAGCUCGCGUUCUCUCUGUCCGAAGCCGAGGCAAUCUGGGUAAAUAGGGUUUUACGCUCCAUGCAUGAAACUGGUGAGAUCUCGCAGAGGGGAGGGGCAAAUUCUCUAACUUUAUUUCUUUUCCAAUUUUUAAUUUUUCUAUUUUCCUUUUAUUUUAUUUUCUACUUAAUAUUUUUCUUUUUCAUGUUUUUUGUUUGACAAUUUUAACUAUUUAUUCUGAAAUUUAUAAACAUGUUCUUGUUUUAGAAAUUUGCUUCCAAUUUAAAAAUUACGAAUUUUGAAAUAUGUUAUUGUUUAUAAAUUUUUCAAAAUUUCAAAAAACUUUCAUGUUUUUUCAAAAAAUGUUCUUGUUUUCAAAAAUGUGCACAAACUUAACAAAAAAAGUUCUUGUUUUCAAAUUUUGCUAUGUUCAUGUUUUCAAACUAUUGUUCGGUUAAUUCGAAAUAUGUUGCGAAUUUGUAAACAUUUUUUAAUUUGGGAAGAAAAUAAAACAAGAACAUUUUUUAAGGAGAACACUUUUUCAAAUAUGCGAUUUUUUUGAAAAAAUGUACAUUAUUUUCUUUUUGUGAAAAAAGGAUUUUCUGUAAACUUUUCAUUUUUUAAAAAUUUCAAACAUUUUUUGGACUCUGAGAAAUCUAGAAACAAAAAAACAGNNNNNNNNNNNNNNNNNNNNNNNNNNNNNNNNNNNNNNNNNNNNNNNNNNNNNNNNNNNNNNNNNNNNNNNNNNNNNNNNNNNNNNNNNNNNNNNNNNUUUUGAAUACAAGAACAAAUUUUGAAAAAUUGUGCAAUUUUUUUAAUGCGAGGACAUAUUUUGAAACACAUACAUUUAUGAAAAUAUGAACAUAUUUUGGAAGCAAGAACAUUUUUUGCAAUUGCUGAUUCUUUUUUGAAGCACAAACAUUUAAAUAUAAAUUGUGAACAAAAGUUUAAACACGAGAAUUUUUUUGAAAUUCAAAAAAAGGAAGUUGAAACAAAUGGAAUAGGAAAAGGAAAAUAGAAAGAAAAUGAAAGGGAAAUAAUGAAAACGACAACAAUAGCCUUUUUGUAAAACAAUAACAUUUUUAAAAAUCCUGAACAUUUUCUUAAAAUACGGAACAAUUUUUGAAAAUCCCGAACAUUUUUUAAUUUAUGAAAUAUUUUGAAAAACGGCAGUUAAUUAAAAUUUUAGAACAUUUUUUAUAUUUUAAGAACUACUUUCGAACAUGAACUUAAUUUUAAAAAAAUAACCUUGAAAAAAGAUACAAAAAGAUGAANNNNNNNNNNNNNNNNNNNNNNNNNNNNNNNNNNNNNNNNNNNNNNNNNNNNNNNNNNNNNNNNNNNNNNNNNNNNNNNNNNNNNNNNNNNNNNNNNNNNGCCUCCAGCGUGGCUGGGCCAGGCGCCCCGGCCUGCUCCACCACCGCCUCCACAGGCCCAGGCCUCAGCCGCCCCCCUCUCAAGCGCCAGGUCAAGAGGCCCAACCGAGGUGAGCUAUCCCUCGCCCCGAAGUGCAUUUUAGUCAUCUCGCGCCCAUGUCCUGUGGCCCAUUAGCAUUUAGAUUAGGCCCCGUAGUAUUUUUUUUCUUUUAGGGUAUUUUUUCGGGAUUUAAUUAAAUUCCAGAUUUUGGACGUAUAUUUAGAUGUCCGUAACUUUAAAACCGUAAAUCGGAUCGAGACGUGUAAUAUAUGGUUUUGUGGUAGUUUUGCGCGUAGAAUACGAAUUUGAAACAUGCAUAAUUGUUUGACGUAGUUUUACGUGUCAAACCCCUAGCUUAGUGUGUUGUCCCAAUAGGGGAACAUCCCGUAUUUAUUUUUCUUGCGGUCCGGAUUGCUCGAGUGCCUUAGGUAAAAUGUCCAUGUUUUAGGAAUCAUUUUUCCAUGUAUUUUAGAGCGGUCAUAGGUAUUUUUCCAUGUAUGGAUUGCCGGUAGUUUAUUUUCCCGUGUAUAGGUUAUCUUUCCUGCAUUUUCGUGUGGCAUUAUUUUGUUGCGCAACCCCACAUAUUUUAUAUGUUUUCGGGGUAAGUUAGUUUUAUCUUUUGAGUAAGUUAGUUCGCGCGAUAUUUCGCCGUGAUGCCCUUUUGUUUAAUUCGUAGGAUUUAAUCCGUUUUUCGUUUGACGGGGUUGUCAACUAGAGAGUUGUUCUUGGAUGUUUAGACUAGCCCCUGGUAUUUCUGGUUGCAAUACAAAUGCAUGUUUAGGUGUGGUUUGAUUGCUCUCAAGUUGCUAGAAAUAGUGCUGUUUUAGAGGAGCUGAAAUAUUUCUAAGUCUGGAAUCUGUUAUAUUUUGUUGUUGUCUUGUCUUGCUUGCAUCUUGUGAUCUGUAGAUCUUUUGAGGUUAGCCCAAUGGAGUUAGUUGUACCCCUUGUGUUUCUCUAGUAUGCUGCAAUUUUCAUGCCAUUUGGAGUCUUGUAACUAUAGGUUUUGCUGCUGUCAAUAUUGCUUCAGAUCGAAAACUGCACUUCCAUGAAGUGUUAUUUUCACUAAGUAUGAAAUAGUGUGUGGGAUGCCAUUUUGUGUCUUCCUUCCCUAGUGAUACUUGAUGCCAUGCUAGUUGUUGUUAGUUGUUUGUAGUAGUGAUUCUUGCCCUCUUCCGUUCCAUGCCUUGCUUGAGCAUAUCGGAGUUGUGUAGCCGUAGUUGUGGGGCGUUGAAAGUGCUAUGUGGCUGAUUUUGGCGGAUUGUAGUGACUUCUUGUUUAGCUCGUAGAUGUGGAUCCGUAGCUCCGUUGUGAUCGUGUCCUACAUGAAACUUGCUUAGAAUCUCGUGCAGUUUCAUUUUCUCUUGCUGGUUGUUUGUUUUGAAGUGCUCGUGACCGUCGUUGCACACAUAUUGCAUUCAUGACAUCAUAUCUUGCGAUGCUUGUAUCUUUUGAACCGUAGCUCCGUUGGAGAUAUUCUUUAUGUGUAAAUUGCUUGAAAUGAUGCAUAGAAUCACGUGAACCUAUUUGUUUUGCUGUUUAACAACUAAUUAAAUGUGUUAAUUCAGAUCUGGACAGAAUUGUAAAUCAACAUGUGAGGUCGUCUCGGAGAUGCUAUAUGUCGUUUCCGACCUCAUUUAAAAUGUCUAGAUAGGUAGUUUAAUUUCCGUUUCACCUCUUGCAUGUUUGACAACAUUAAUAUUGCCGUGUAAAUAACCGGGAGUGAACUAAAUAAUUCAUAUGUGGAGUUUCGUCAAUAUGCAACCCGUUGCAUAUUGAACUUCACUUAAUGUGUAGUGUUUGAUUGUGUGAAUUGUCAUGCCGUGACUUGCAUAUAUUCAGCUUCUCAUGCAUCAUAUGUGUUGUGCAUCGUGUGGUGAAUGCCGUGUGUUGAUUUGUGUUUCCGGUUUGCUUCGUGUCGAUAGAGUUCCGCAGCGUGCCGGAUUGUGAGGACCCGUUCGACUACGUCGGUUCGUCUGCUUCACGGAGACAUUCUUCUUCCAAGCGGGGUCUGAGUCAAGAUGAUCAUUUCCCCAGAUACCAUUACUAUCAUUGACAUGCUAGUUAUUUCGAUGCUUUCGAUUAUGUCUCGUUGUCUACCACAUGUUAAAUAUCAGCCUCUUAACAAUGCCAUGAAAACCUUUAACCUAUUCAACCUAGCAAACCACUGAUUGGCUACGUUAGCGCUUGCUUAACCCUGUGUAGCGUUGCUAGUUACAGGUGCAGAUGCUUCCAUGUGAAAGCAUGGGUUCCUUGUUAUAUCACCAUAUUAAAUGUUAUUAAAUUUAAUGCACCUAUAUACUUGGUAAAAGGUGGAAGGCUCGACCUUUCUAGCCUGGUGUUUUGUUCCACCUUUGCCCCCUUAGUUUCGGCUACCGGUGUUAUGUUCCAUAAAUGAGCGCUCCUAACACGAUCGGGGUUGUUAUGGGGACCCCCUUGAUAAUUCAUUUUAGAUUAAAGCUGGUCUGGCAAGGCCCAACAUUGGUACUAUUUGCCCAACAUAAUAACUUGACAAUAUUGAAAUGCAUAGGGAGUUAGCGCUACCCGAGGAGUAAUUCUACAUAAUACAGGGAGGGCCAGUGCUGAUGGUGGUGGUCCAAAACAGAGCACUGUGCGGGGCCACCGCAAGGAAACUCGAGGUUUGGCACUCGUACGCGUAGCUUAUCCGUCGUGUCCUGAGAACGAGAUACGCGGCUCCUAUUGGGAUCGUCGACACGCCGGGCGGCCUUGCUGUAUUAGUUUUACCUUUGACGAGAUAUCUUGUGCAUCGGGAUUCCGGUGAUGCUUUGGGUAAUCUCAGAGUUGAGGUUUUCCACUAGGGAAUCCGAUGAGAUCGCGAGCUUCGUGAUUGAGGAUUUCUAUGCGGCUUGUGGUAAUUUGUGAUGGACUAGUUGGAGCACCCCUACAGGGUUAAAAUAUUUUCGGAAAGCCGUGCCCGCGGUUAUGUGGCAACAUGGAAACUUUGUUUAACACUGGUUCUAGAUAACUUGAAGUUAAUUUAAUUAAAAUAUGCCAACUGUGUGCGUAACUGUGACUGUCUCUUUCGUGAGUUCCUUCUCCGAUCGAGGACACGGUGGGGUUAUGUCUGAUGUAGGUAAGUGUUCAGGAUCAUUCAUUUGAUCAACAGUAGUCCACGUCCGUUAUGCGUAGAUCUUCCCCCUCUUACUUCUUGUGCUCGUAAGUUUAGCCACCAAAUAUAUGAUUAGCCGCUGCUGCAACCUCACCACUUAACCAUACCUCACCCACUAAGCUUUGCUAGUCUUGAUACCUUUGGAAAUGAGAUUGCUGAGUCCCCUGUGGCUCACAGAUUACUACAACACCAGUUACAGGUACAGGUAAAGGUUACUCGACGCGACCGCGUUGAUUGUCCAUUUGGAGGGGGGGGGGGGGUCUUCGUCGAUCUAGGAUGGGUUCCAGGCCGGCAGCCUGGGAUAGCANNNNNNNNNNNNNNNNNNNNNNNNNNNNNNNNNNNNNNNNNNNNNNNNNNNNNNNNNNNNNNNNNNNNNNNNNNNNNNNNNNNNNNNNNNNNNNNNNNNNGAUUAAUUAGAGUAUGACACGUGGGCCCCCACUAAAUUAAUAUGAUUAAUUACUAUUUAAUCUUAAUUAAAAACCGAGUCUAUGACACAUGGGACCCACUGCUAAGUUGACCAGUCAACUGUUGAUGUCAGCAUGGCAUCAUGCUAAUGUCAUAAUAGCAUUUAAUUGAAUUAAUUNNNNNNNNNNNUGAAUUAAUUAAAUCUGUUUUUAGUUCCUAAAUAAUUAAUAAAAUUUUAAAAAUUAGUAUUAAUUAAACCGUAAGUCAGAUCAAAAUAUUUUCAACAUGAAGUUGAUAAGCAGAACGAGACGAACCCGGAUACACGGUCCAUUCGUGUGUCACGCGUCCCUAGGAUAACAAGCACGAAACUUUUCCAUCGUUUCCAUCUGACCGGUAGUAGCCCGAGACCCGAAAAAUAUCGUGAGAUAUUCUUCCGAUCCGUCUAUGACGGAUGUUGCUGCGUUAGCUCAUGCCUAGCCUGCAUAUUGCCAUGUCAUGCAUCGUGUCGUAUCUGUUGCUGUUAUUUAUUGUUUCUUCCCCCUCUUCUUACCGGUAGACCCCGAGGUUGACGCUGCCGCCGGGUACUUCUUCGACCCUGCCGACCAGCCUUUUGCCGCAGAGCAGCAAGGCAAGCAAACCCCCCUUGAUCAUCCCUAUAUCGCCUAUGUCUUUCUUCCUCUUGCUUGCAUUAGUAUGUUGCUACUCUUGUAGAUAGCUGUUAUAUCUGAAGCAUAGCAUGUUUUUGAUGAACUGCUACUUUCAGUACAAUACCUUUAAACUGCUUAGUAUAGGUGGAGCAGUCUUCCCCUCUGACCCCGUAGUCCACUUGCCCCGCUUUGCUUUCAAAUCUCGAUCCCUGAUCGACGAGCCAUACCCGACACAGCACAUACACCCCCUUAGUUGUACGACGGUACAGGGAUACUAUCGGGUACCGAUGGUGACACCUCGCUAAGUACUCAUAAUGAUAUCUCUGUAGUACAGCUAGUCGGUCGUGGUUAUCAAGGGUGAUUCCUCUUUCACCAUUCCUGACGAUGACACCGUNNNNNNNNNNNNNNNNNNNNNNNNNNNNNNNNNNNNNNNNNNNNNNNNNNNNNNNNNNNNNNNNNNNNNNNNNNNNNNNNNNNNNNNNNNNNNNNNNNNNGAGAAUUGAGUGGGAGGAAGAUAGAACUUGAUGAGGUUGUCGAACCUCUCAUCCCUCUGGAUGGUGGCGCAGGGUAAGGGGAAACCCCUGUCGUUGCGACGCUGGUUGAGGAGGAAGUUAAUGAUGAUGAUCAUGAAACUCCGGAUCAAGUUCCCGUCGAACCUCGCAGGUCGAUGAGACCGCGUACUACUCCACAGUUGUACGGUAAUCCCGUCUUAUCAAUUAUGUUGUUAGACAACAAUGAGCCUGCGAAUUAUGAAGAAGCAAUGGUGGGCCCGGAUUCCAACAAAUGGCUGGAGGCCAUGAAGUCCGAGAUAGGAUCUAUGUAUGAAAACAAAGUAUGGACUUUGGAACUACUACCUGAAGGCCGCAAGGCUAUUCAGAACAAAUGGAUCUUUAAGAAGAAGACAGACGCUGACGGUAAUGUGACCGUUUAUAAAGCUCGACUUGUGGCAAAGGGUUUUUCACAAGUUCAAGGAGUUGACUACGAUGAGACAUUCUCACCCGUAGCGAUGCUUAAGUCCGUCAGAAUCAUGUUAGCAAUAACUGCAUUUUUCGAUUAUGAAAUCUGGCAGAUGGAUGUCAAAACAGCAUUCCUUAACGGUUUCCUUAAGGAAGAGUUGUAUAUGAUGCAACCCGAAGGUUUUGUCGAUCCUAAAAAUGCUAACAAAGUGUGCAAGCUCCAACGAUCCAUUUAUGGACUGGUGCAAGCAUCUUGGAGUUGGAAUAAACGCUUUGAUGAGGUGAUCAAAGCAUUUGGGUUUAUACAAGUGGUUGGAGAAUCUUGUAUUUACAAGAAAGUGAGUGGGACCUCCGUGGCGUUUCUAAUAUUAUAUGUGGAUGACAUAUUGCUGAUUGGAAACAACGUGGAGUUUUUGGAGAGCAUAAAGGAUUACUUGAAUAAAAGUUUCUCUAUGAAGGACCUAGGAGAAGCUGCUUACAUUCUAGACAUUAAGAUCUAUAGGGAUAGAUCGAAACGCCUGAUAGGACUUCCACAAAGUACAUACCUUGAUAAAGUUUUGAAGAGGUUCAAAAUGGAACAGUCCAAGAAGGGGUUCUUGCCNNNNNNNNNNNNNNNNNNNNNNNNNNNNNNNNNNNNNNNNNNNNNNNNNNNNNNNNNNNNNNNNNNNNNNNNNNNNNNNNNNNNNNNNNNNNNNNNNNNNGACUAUAAAGAUGCUCUACAGGUAUCUCCGAAGGUGUUCGUUGAGUUAGUAUGGAUCAAGACUGGGAUUUUUCACUCUGUGUGACGGAGAGGUAUCUCGGGGCCCACUCGGUAAUACAACAUCACACACAAGCCUUGCAAGCAAUGUGACUUAGUGUAAGUCACGGGAUCUUGUAUUACGGAACGAGUAAAGAGACUUGCCGGUAAACGAGAUUGAAAUAGGUAUGCGGAUACUGAUGAUCGAAUCUCGGGCAAGUAACAUACCGAAGGACAAAGGGAAUGGCAUCGUGGCUACUCGUCCUCUUGGUCGACUUUAAAAUUCCCGCCAAUGAAGCAAUAGCCCUCGGGGCCGGGUUAUCUUGCCUGUAAUGACCUGAUGUUCUUGAAUUAUUCAGCCUGGUUGGAUCUGGCGAGCCAUGUCUGUGUAGCCCCCGAGUCUUAACCCGACUCAAGGAGACGGCUUGAGAGUCUCCAUACUUGACUGUGGCAUAAACCGGUGGAGAAAAAUGCUGGUACCCGCUCCAUCUGAUGUGUUGAUGUAGAUCGUACCGCGGGGACGGCGGCUUGCGCACUUCUGUUGGGUGGCUCAUACAGGAGAGCACUGCACCAGUGGGUUGAUGUAAACCGGACCAUGGCGGCGACUUGCGUCCUACUGUUGGGCGGCUUGUACAGGUGAGCACUGCACCGACGGGUUGAGUUGAAUGUGAGAGCUGACUGACAAUUUGGCACGGACUAGAGAAUCGGUCGGGGUGUUGUAAGCCGUUUUGGUCGCGUGGACAUGAGAGUUGGCCGCGUCAUUGUAAGCCGUCUUGGUCGUGCGGACAUGGGAAUGGGCCACGUCAUUAUAAAUCGACACGGGCGGCGAGUUGACAGUGUCAUUCGUAUUCCGGGAUCGAUGUGUGAAUCCGACGAACUGUGCGGCAUGGACGAAAUACCAUUGUAGAACGAUGCCGACACAUCUUUCAUAUUCGCGAUAUAAUACCAGCUUUGUAUUUGUCCUGCAUAAAAAUAGCACAUGCCAGAGUAAUUGCUCUCACAGGAAAUAAUAGAUGUUAAUAAAAUAGACUGAGGAGAUAUCACCUGAUGAAUUUUGAGUGGCAGAUGAAUUAGUCCGUUUGCGGCUGCAGCAAUCUGAAUUUUACUGAUGCCUUUUGUAUGAUUUGGUCUCCUUUUCUUUUUCUUUGAUCAGCAGCCACUUGAACGCAUGCAUGAGACUUCGACAUUGGUUUUUUGAGAAGUUGUCAGCGAUCCCGUAUGUAAAAUCUCCGAAGUAACAAUCUGACAGGACGUCAUUGCACUCUAAAAUCUCCGUGUGUUCAAAAACUGGCAUAUUGUAGCCACAACAGUAGUGCCAUACGGAGUUGACGAUGAUGUUGGAAACAACCAUGCAACCAUAACAGUGGCCGGCCUUGAAGGUGUUGCACAUGAGCGAGCCAUAGGGUGUGGGUAGCAACCUGAACACCUUAACGUACAUCUUGAGAGCUUUCAGUGUAUAGACGGUAACAUUUGGCUGAUCCAGUAUGCCCUGCUCUUGCGACGGAGUAUAGCGGCUAGUCCUGGAGUGCGGACGUUUGGAGCUUUCAAACUUUUUGGUUUCAAAAAAAUCUGAAAAAAUAUGGAAGUAAAAAAGGAUGUUAUGCGUAUGUGUGUAAAAAUUUAGGAUGAAAUACCUUGAAAUACGAUCUGCACAAAAAGACAAAUUCAUGACCUCAAAUGAUGAAUAGUAUCAUGUGUAAAAAAGCCUCAGAUUUGUCUUUUUUACACAACCCUCAUUUCAAUGUAUUUUUUUCUGAAAAUUUACACACAUGUGUGUUACGCCUUCACUUAUCCCUGUAUUUUUUCAUAAUUUNUUUUUGAAAUGUAAAAAUAUGAAUUUUCAUGAAAUUUGAAUUUCAAAUUUAAAGGCCUCCAUGGAGCUCGGCCACCAAAAGCAAUUUCCGCUAGUCCUGCAUUUGACUUCAAACCACGCAUGACCUCUAUGCCAGGAAUACCCGCUCGCUCUGCUUCUGCAGGUGGAUGACACAAGGCGGAGCAGGCGGGUCGCUGCGGAAGCCGGCACUACGGUGGCUCUAGGCGCGGCGCGGUGAGGCUAGCGCGGCGAGUCGAGGUAGCAAACAGGCGACUUCACUGUUCCAGCCGAGUGAACAGCGGUAGCGGCGGCCGACGAUUCGGCGAUGACAGCAGCCGAUGACUCGGCGAUGGCGGAGGCGGCGCGAAGACAACGCGAGACAGUGGCGGUUCCAGCCGAGUCCGCGGCGGUGUCUAGCUGCGCCGACAGAGGCAAGAUGGAGCGGGUGGGGAAGCAGGCCCGACGCAAGUGCAGCACUGCGCACGGAGGUGCGCGGUGCGGCGAAGCGAGCGGCUUGAGGUGGAGCUGUGCGCGUAGGCGCGCGAGCACGGCAAAGCGGGCAGCUCGAGGUGGAGUUGUGCGCGUAGGCGUGCGAUCUCGGAGAAGUGUGCCAUGGCGGAUGCGGCGGGCGUGGCGAGGCAAGCCGGCGGCUGAGGCGAAACGAGGCAAGCCAUGGUGGAUGCGGCUGGCGUGGGGGGUUGAGGUGAGCAGCGACGUGGUGCACGACGAGAUCGGCGGUGGUGGAAAUGGCACGGGGGUGCGUAACCGGGCCGGCUUGAGGCUUGUAGAAGUUAAUCAUGUUGUUUCUUUAGGAUUAGGAAAGAAAGCCAAACCGAGUCCUAGUAGUAUUAGGNNNNNNNNNNNNNNNNNNNNNNNNNNNNNNNNNNNNNNNNNNNNNNNNNNNNNNNNNNNNNNNNNNNNNNNNNNNNNNNNNNNNNNNNNNNNNNNNNNNNCUCAGGACGAGAAUUCUUGUUAGUAGGGGAGAAUUGUGACAUCCUCAACUUUUGCUACAGUAAUGCAUGUAAUUAAGCGACAGUGAUCCCGCGCUAAUGAUGCCACGUCACCGUGAAUUAUAUCAAUGAUCUCGUGUUAGUUGAAACCGAAUUAAAAUUCAAAACUUAAAAUUAAAGUCGAACGAGAAAGGUUUUAUGUUGUUAAAGUAAAAACGCGGGGGAGUUAUAAAAAUUCUCUAACGAAUUAUAAAUGUGAAUCGGGCACUUUUGAAAUUAUUAGGUAAUCCCUAUAUAUUUAAAAGAGAAGCUUUGUGUAAAAUAAAUAAAGAAAAGAAAGUAAUUAAAGAUAAUAAUAAAAGAAUAUUAAAAAAGCAAAACAAAGCAGAAACCCCCUUGCCCNNNNNNNNNNNNNNNNNNNNNNNNNNNNNNNNNNNNNNNNNNNNNNNNNNNNNNGGGGUAUAAGACCCCCACGGGCAACCCUACCCACCUCCAACGCUCAUUCCCUCCCAUGGAGCCGCCGCCACCCAGCGACCUUGGCGCCCCGCCCACUCUCCCCUGAUGCCCCACCUACCGCCCCCACCAACCGAGGUGCUCGCUCACCCCCACCACUCCCCCCUCGCAACUCCCUCCCCACCAAGGCCCCGCUCCCCCACUCCCUCGGUCUCCCUCGUCUACCCCACCCACCGAAUCCCACGAGGGAUCCCUCCCUCUCCCGUCUCUACCUCCCUCCCCUCGUCCCCCUGGACUGAGGCUGCCCCCACCUCGGUCUUUCUCCACCUCGCCCCUCCUCUCGUCUCCCCCCUCCACCUCCAGAUCGGCUCCACCUCCCACAUCCAUCCGCCCCGAGCCACCGGCCGACCCCUCCGGCGUUCCCUCCGACGACCUCCGAAUCGGCCAGUCCCGGCGGCCCCUUUCUCCGGCCCCAUCGUCACCAACCUCGCCGGGACCGCCACCGCCACCACCUUGUCCUCCUCCACGCCGGAUCCGACGCCGUCUCCUCCGCACCUCUAGAAAACUCCGGCUACACCGGGCCCUCUCGUCAACGCCGGUGUGCCCCGGGCCCCGGCCAUUCUCUUCUCCUUCCUCUCCCGGUUCCAUUCCGGCAAUCGGCGCUCUCUUCCGACGUAGUUGUGCUCGUGUAGGUGUAGUUGGAGGUUUCUCCUUCUUGUGUGUUGAGAGAGAUGUUGUGUGUAACACAAUGGUUGCACAAGAGAGUUGUGUGUGAGAAAAUAAAAAUAAAAAGAUGUAUGUAUGUAUGUAUUAGAUGCCCGUAUGUAUGUAUGUAUGAGAUGNNNNNNNNNNNNNNNNNNNNNNNNNNNNNNNNNNNNNNNNNNNNNNNNNNNNNNNNNNNNNNNNNNNNNNNNNNNNNNNNNNNNNNNNNNNNNNNNNNNNCCUUGGGGCUCCUUGAGCCCCAAGGCAAGGCCCCUCCCCUCCCACCUAUAUAUACGGAGGUUUUAGGGCUGAUUUGAGACAACUUUCCGACGGCAGCCCGACCACAUACCUCCACGGUUUUUCCUCUAGAUCGCGUUUCUGCGGAGCUCGGGCGGAGCCCUGCUGAGAUUAGAUCACCACCAACCUCCGGAGCGCCGUCACGCUGCCGGAGAACUCAUCUACCUCUCCGUCUCUCUUGCUGGAUCAAGAAGGUCGAGAUCAUCAUCGAGCUGUACGUGUGCUGAACGCGGAGGUGCCGUCCGUUCGUGGGACGGUUCGCAGGGCGGAUCGAGGGACGUGAGGACGUUCCACUACAUCAACCACGUUUAUUAACGCUUCUGCUGUGCGAUCUACAAGGGUAUGUAGAUCUGAAAUCCCCCUCGUAGACGGACAUCACCAUGAUAGGACUUCAUGCGCGUAGGAAUUUUUUUGUUUCCCAUGCGACGUUCCCCAUGAUAGUAUCCAUAGUGACAAGUGACAAUAAAUUUCAGCACACUAUAUGAAUGUUUUCUUACCAAGUUCCAGUUACCAAAGGCGCUUCACUCCCCGGCAACGGCGCCAGAAAAGAGCCUUGAUGACCCACAAGUAUAGGGGAUCUAUCGUAGUCCUGUCGAUAAGUAAGAGUGUCGAACCCAACGAGGAGCAGAAGGAUCUGACAAGUGGUUUUCAGCAAGGUAAAAUCUGCAAGCACUGAAAUUAUCGGUAACAAGUAGUUGUGUGGUGAGAUGAUUCGUAGCGAGCAACAAGCAACAAAAGUAACAACGGUGCAACAAAGUGGACCAAUCCCUUUUGUAGCAAGGGACAUGCCUGGACAAAGGCUUAUAGGAGGAAAAACGCUCCCGAGGACACACGGGAAUUUCUGUCAUGCUAGUUUUCAUCAUGUUCAUAUGAUUCGCGUUUGUUACUUUGAUAGUUUGAUAUGUGGGUGGACCGGCGCUUGGGUACUGCCCUUACUUGGACAAGCAUCCCACUUAUGAUUAACCCCUCUCGCAAGCAUCCGCAACAACAAAAGAAGAAUUAAGACAAAGUCUAACCAUAGCAUUAAACUAGUGGAUCCAAAUCAGGUAGUUACGAAGCAACGCAUAAACUAGGGUUUAAGCUUCUGUCACUCUAGCAACCCAUCAUCUACUUACUACUUCCCAAUGCCUUCCUCUAGGCCCAAAUAAUGGUGAAGUGUUAUGUAGCCGACGUUCACAUAACACCACUAGAGGAAAAACAACAUACAACACAUCAAAAUAUCGAACGAAUACCAAAUUCACAUGACUACUAUUAGCAUGACUUAUCCCAUGUCCUCAGGAACAAAAGUAACUACUCACAAAGCCUAAUCAUAUUCAUGACCAGAGAGGUAAUGAGUAGCAUCAAGGAUCUGAACAUAAACUCUUCCACCAAGUAAUCCAACUAGCAUCAACUACAAGGAGUAAUUAACACUGCUAGCAACCUUACAAGUACCAAUCGGAGUCGCGAGACGGAGAUUGGUUACAAGUGAUGAACUAGGGUUUGGAGAUGAGAUGGUGUUGAUGAAGAUGUUGAUGGUGAUGAGUCCCCUCCGAUGAGAGGAGUGUUGGUGAUGACGAUGUCGACGAUUUCCCCCUCCGGGAGGGAAGUUUCCCCGGCAAGAUCGUCUUGCCGGAGCUCUAGAUUGGUUCUGCUCAAGUUCCGCCUCAUAGCGGCGGCGAAUCCAAGAAAAAGCCUCCUCUUGAUUUUUUUUCCGGAUGAAACCCUUCUUGUAGCCAAAGGGGGGAGCCAGAGGGCCAGCUGAGUGCCCACAAGCCCCCUAGGCGCGGCCAGGGGGGUGGCCGCGCCUAGCGGGCUUGUGGCCACCUGCUGGUGCCCCUCUGGUACUUCUUCGGCCCAGUAUUUUUAUAAAUUCCAAAAUAAAUCCUCAUUGAUUUUCACGGCUUUUGGAGUUGCACAGAAUAGGUAUCUCAAACUUGCUCCUUUUUCAGGCCAGAAUUCCAGCUGCCGGCAUUCUCCCUCUUCAUGUAAACCUUGCAAAAUAAGAGAGAAAAGGCAUAAGUAUUGUACCUUGAAGUGAAAUAACAGCCCAAAAAGCGAUAAAUAUCAACAUGAAAACAUGAUGCAAAAUGGACGUAUCAAAUCACACCGAAUCGUGGACCUCAAAGGUAUGUAACUUUUGGAGACAACUCCAAAGGUAAGGUACUUGGUCUCAGUAAGGUGGCCGUAUCUCAUGACAGUUCCAUUCAAAAUGUCAUGCUAGUAGAAUCUCUUGGCUACAAUCUACUUUCCGUAUCUAGAAUAGCAGAUUUCGGUUUUGAUGUGCUAUGUACGGAAGUUGAAUGCCGAGUGUUUCGUAGCGACAAUCAUAACAUUGUCUUUACUGGUUUCCAUAGAGGUGAUCUAUACAUUAUUGAUUUCUCUAAUAUAUCCAAACCCCGUACAUACCUUAUUGCAAAAUUUUCUAAGGGUUGGUUAUGGCAUAGAAGGCUUGGACAUGUUGGUAUGCGUAAUCUUGACGAACUCAUCAAAGGUGAUCAUAUUCUUGGUCUUAAGGAUGUUAUCUUUGACAAAGGUAGACUCUGCAGUGCUUGUCAAGAGGAAAACAAGUUGGAGGAAGUCAUACCGUGAAGAACAUUAUGACCACAAGAAGACCCCUCGAGCUGCUUCACAUGGAUCUCUUUGGUCCCAAUGCUUAUAAGAGCCUUGGUGGAAAUUCUUAUGGUCUAGUUAUUGUUGAUGAUUUUUCCAGAUUUACAUGGGUGUUCUUUCUCAAUGAUAAGUCACACAUACAAAUGAUCUUCAAGAACUUUGCUCGAAAAUCUCAAAACCAGUUUGAAGUGAAGAUCAAGAAGGUUUGGAGCAACAAUGGAACGUAGUUCAAGAACACUAUUGUGGUUACUUUUCUUGACGAAGAAGGUAUCUUACAUGAGUUCUCGGCGACGUACACACCUCAACAAAAUGGAGUUGUUGAGAGGAAGUACCGGACACCCAUAGAGAUGGCAAGAACGAUGCUUGACGAAUACAAGACUCCAAGAAAAUUUUGGGCAGAAGCCGUGGAAACAGCUUGCCAUGCCGUAAACCGACUCUACCUGCACAAGCUUCUCGGUAAAACGACAUACAAGCUACUCACCGGUAACAAACCCCAAGUUGGAUACUUUUGAGUAUUCGGCUCUAAGUGCUAUAUUCUUGAUAAGCAUCGUCGAUCUAAAUUUGCACCUAAAUCUUAUGAAGGUUUCCUUCUUGGUUACGGAUCAAACUCUCACGCUUACUGUGUCUACGACAACUUCACUCGAAAAUUUGAAGAGAUGGUAGAUGUGAAGUUUGAUGAGACUAACGGUUCGCAAGUCGAACAGUUGCCAAUUGAUAUAGGAGAUAAGGAACCUUCAGAAGCCACCAAAGAUUUGUCCAUUGGCAAGAUUCGUCCCAUGGAGGUGAAGGAAAGCACUUCAUCAACUCAAGUGGAAGCUCCUACUUCGCAUCAAGGAAAACCGCAAAAUGACAUGGAAGCAUCCACAAGCGAUACACGACAUGAUGAAGAAUAGGAAGAGAAACAUCUCGAUGAUCCACCUCAACCUUCCUCACCACCACCUCAAGGAGAAGACGACGCCAACGACAAUGCUCAAGAUGACGAUGAAUAAGAAGAAGAAGCUCCUCCAUCCAACAAGAAUAAGCUGUCAAGAGUUAAAGCAAGAGUGGACAUAGAUCAUCCGCUGAAACAAAUCUACAAUGACAUAAAUGAUGGGAGAAUCACUCACUCUAAAACUCGACUAGCUAACUUUUGUGAGGAUUAUUCUUUCAUAUCUAGCAUUGAACCCUUGAAGGUGGAAGAAGCUCUCCAAGAUCCAGAUUGGGUGAAUGCCAUGCAUAAAGAGCUACACAACUUUGAGAGGAACCAAGUAUGGACACUUGUUGAAAAACCAGAAGGCAAGCAGAAUAUAAUUGGUACAAGAUGGGUCUUUCAGAAUAAGCAAGAGGAAGACGGACUAGUUGUAAGCAACAAAGCACGUCUCAUAGCCCAAGGAUACACACAAGUUGAAGGUAUGACUAUGGUGAGACUUAUGCUCCUGUUGCUAGACUUGAAGCCAUUUGUAUUCUUCUAGCUUAUGCCAAUCAACAUGAUAUAACUCUCUACCAAAUAGAUAUUAAAAUUGCCUUUGUCAAUGGAGCAAUUGAAGAGGAAGUUAAUGUUAAACAACCUCCUGGUUUUGUGAACUCUAAGAAACUUGAUCAUGUUUACAAACUUCGUAAAGCUUUAUAUGGUCUUAAACAAGCACCUAGAGCUUGGUACAAAUGCCUAACAGAGUUUCUCAUUGAAAAGGGUUUUGAGAUUGGCAAAGUUGAUGCAACCUUAUUCACUAAAAGAGUAAAUGGUGAACUAUUUGUUUAUCAAACAUAUGUGGAUGAUAUUAUCUUUGGCUCUACUAACCCACAUUUUAGUGAAAAGUUUGGAAAGCUGAUGUCAGAGAAGUAUGAGAUGUCCAUGAUGAGUGAACUGAAGUUCUUCCUUGGAUUGCAAAUCAAACAAUCGAGAGAAGGUACGUUCAUCUCUCAAACCAAGUACACCAACGACUUGAUCAGGAAGUUCAACAUGCAAGAAUGCAAAGCUAUGGGAACCCCAAUGCCUACUAGUGGACAUCUUGACCUCACUAAGGAUGAUGCACCCAUUGAUCAAAAGGUCUAUCGAUCAAUGAUUGGAUCAUUGUUAUAUCUAUGUGCCUCUCGUCCUGAUAUCAUGCUAAGUGUUUGCAUGUGUGCCCGCUAUCAAGCAGCACCUAAAGAGUGUCAUCUAUUGGCUGUGAAAAGGAUAGUGAGAUACAUUAUACAUACACCAAACUUUGGCAUAUGGUAUCCCAAGGGAUCUUCCUUUCAUCUUGUUGGCUAUUACAACUUGGACUAUGCUGGAGACAAGGUUGAUAGAAAAUCCACCUCGGGUACAUGUCAAUCUCUUGGGAGAUCUCUUGUCUCUUGGACAUCAAAGAAAUAAAACUCGAUACCCUUAUCAACUGUCGAAGCUGAAUACAUUGCCGCUGGAUCAUGUUGUGCUCAAUUACUAUGGAUGUCUCAAACGCUUAAGGAUUAUGGCUUUAAUGUUAGAGAAGUCCCAUUGUUGUGUGACAAUGAAAUUGCUAUUAAGGUUGCAUAUAAUCCUGUGCAACAUUCUAGAACCAAGCGCAUCCAAGUGCGACAUCAUUUCAUCCCUGAUCGUGCUGCCAAAGGAGAUACCGAUCUCAAGCAUGUUCGUAUUGACAAACAACUGGUUGAUAUUUUCACCAAACCACUUUAUGAGAAAGUGUUCUGUCAUUUGAGGAGUGAGUUGAACAUCAUUGAUCAAAACUUGAGCUAGACUCACUCGGAUGCAUGCAAGGGCAUGAGCUUGACUGACUGUUCCUUGAUGCCAUUGAUAUGACUAUCUUAUGUCUUGGAAACUAUGCUCCCUUGUAUUGCAUCUAACCUUUUGUAGGUACUUGGAAGAAAUACACUCCACAAGAUUGCAAUCAACUCACAUAAAAAGCAAUCUUGACAUGGCCAAGUAUCAACAACUUUUUCUUCGGAGAUGGAGGAAGAAGACAACAAAAUCAUAUCCUUGACAAUUAUAUGAUAUUAAAUUUCACUCAUGUCAUUUGGAUAUAUUAUGUUCUUCCUUGCGUGACUAACGUUGUAGGUGAAAAGUGAACCAAAACGUCAUGGAUAGCUCCCAACUCAAGAUGAUCAUCCACAACAAGUUCACCUACAUGCCACGUUAUCAACAUCACUCAAAAUUAUGUACUCAUAUCCUUGAUAAAGCUCUACACCAAUUCAUGGUGUACAACAACUCAAGUGAUAUGAAGACAUUGAAAUGCUUAGUCUAAAAAUGGCAACCCCAUUUCACGCUUAACGAUGAGUAUGACCUAUGAUCAAGCAUCCUUGCUUGACUCCUCAAGUCAAAUACUCUAAUAUAGGUGACCUAGUCACCGCCCCACAUCUAGAUGGAGAAUAUCGGAUGGUUCACAUUUGAUCUUUCACAUUCUUAGAACCAUUCCACUCUCAUCUAUAUGUGUAUAUUAAUAAAAAAAUCGUCUCUUAUUCUUCUUACUUCUGUUUAACUGUCUCAGUUGGAAUUAUCAUUCUUUUGGACUCUUGACCUUUUGAAAUAAUUCUUUCAAUGAGAUUAUUUUGUGUUAAAGAGUUGACUAUCAUUGCAACUUGGUUUCACCGAAUUGGGAAACUCGUUCCAACCGAUUUCUCCAAGAGGCCUAAAUAUCAAUAUCGGUUCUACCGAAUUAUUAUGCCUCGGUGACUCCGAUUUUUCUAACUUUGUUGCUCUGAUAGUUUCUUCCGGACUAUUGUCUUAGGGGGAGACAACUUCUCUAGGGGUAGAAAAUCUCAGUGAUCCCAUGCAAUAUAAGAGUGAGAAUCCUCUAGGAUCCCUAAUUUAGGGGGAGAUCAUUCAAGGAACUCUUAUACAUACCUAACGGGGAGAGCAUUCAAUGAACCCUACAAAAUAUCUAAGGGGGGAAAAGACAAAUUCCAGGAACCCUUACAAAAGAGGGAAGUAUCUAGGAUCCUCUUUUUUCUCUCAAUGAUCCCUUACCCUCUGACCUUUCUUUUUGGUACCUGUGCCAAAGGGGGAGAAAUAUCAUUAAAGCUUCCAUUCAAUGAACCUAUUUAUAGGGGAGAAAUACUAUCAAAUACUAUCAAGAAGCUUAUACAAAAGAGGAAGCAACAACACUAAUGGGAGAUACUUGUAUCAAACUCGGCAUGGGCGUUCGGUAGAAACCGAAAAUUCGGUUUUUAACAUUCGGUUAUUUUGAAAAUUCGGUUAGUAAAACAACAAACCAAAAGUAACAAGCUAAAACAGCAAACCGAUAUCUCGAUUAACUAGGAACUCGGUUCGGUAUUCGGUUUUGCACUGAAAAGCCACGCUUUAACCAUUUGUGCUUUGUGUGGAGCCGCGCCACCCUCUUAUAGGCAAAAGUAUCUGCCACAUCUCCUAAAGCGGGCGAGGUGGGACUAAAGGAAGCGUUGUUUUGCCUCCUCGCAAGCGCAGGCACACCCACCCAUGUGAGUUGGCAUUCCCUCGUUUUUUUCAGUGUCUGGCCUUCCCUCGUUGUAGGCCCAAUAUCCUUGCAUGCACUUUGGUGCUUAGCAACCACAUCUUGCACAAACAAACAAAGAAAAAAUGUGGCCACAUGGGUGCAUGACUCCCAGGAUUCAUGUUGUUCGGUUAAAAAACUAGAAGGAACGAGGGCGUGACUCCCGAGAGUCGUUGGCUGCGCGCGUGCACCUACUUUUGCGUUCUUUCAAUACACCGAGUCCCGAUGUGUGGUUUUUCUUCAGCUAACCGAAUUGAAAACCGAAUCCACCGAAUUUUGUUCGGUUAGUGGACAUGAAAACCAAAUUUUCUGUGGUAGUAGAAAAAACCAAAUUUUCGGUUUAUUCGGUUUCGGGUUUGGUUCGGUCUUCGGUUCAUCGGUUUUUAUGCCCACCCCUAUAUCAAACCCUACACAUUAAGGGGUAGAGAGAUAAAUACUGUUUUAAUUAGCUUUAUUGGUUUGAACUUAUUUUCCCUACCUACUCCCAAUAUCUACAUGCCAUGAUUCACGGGGAGAGGAAACUUUACAUACUCAUUUUUAGGGGAGAAAAAAGUUCUUGUUACUUGGAGACAUAUUCUUUCAUUUAAUCUUAUCUUAACUAUGUCUUCGAUUUCUUGGUACUUUUGAAUUUCUUUGCAUCUUUACAACAGGGUACUCUUCUGUUAUCUAACAUUUGUUUUCCCAAGUGUACUCCUAUGUCAAGAUGCUCAAGAUCCUCAAGGUAAGUAUAUGCAUCAUAUCCUUGUUCAUGAUGACCUCUUGUUUCUUACACAUAUUGUUUGCAAGAGGGAGUCUUAAACAUGGUAGUCUUUCAUUCACAUGUGUUUGAUGCAUAUAGCCAAGAUUCCUAUGGCGUGUCUUGUCCUUCUACCUUGUGUGUGCCCAUGCAUUCCAAAAUAAAUAUCCUUUAAAGGGAUUGCACACAUUUAGGGGGAGCUUGUACUAGUCAUAUUGUCAUAUCCUUAUGAGUAUCUUUAUUUGAAGCUUUGAUUUUAUGUUGUCAUCAAUUACCAAAAAGGGGGAGAUUGAAAUCACAUAUGCUCCCUUGGUGAUUUUGAUAAUUCAUGACAACAUACAUUGUCUCUUGGACUAACACUUUUACCUAGAUAUUUCAAGAUUAGUCCAUGGAGAGCUACGACUUAAGGUUUAUGUGGAGAUACCCCUGGAUGCAAGAAAGGAAUAAUAUUGGCUCAAGCUUCAAGCUAGAAGACUCUUCAUUUUAUAUUUGUGAGAUAUCACUUUUGAGUCCAUAGGAAAGCCAAUACUAUUAAAAGGGGGUGAGAUAGUAAAAUGAACUGAUUGCUCGAAUGCUCAAAGUUAGCCACCAAAACACUCAGUCAUUUUCCCCACAUUUCCACUCUGUCAAAUUCCACAUUCACAAAUAUGGUGUCACCAACAUUUCCGUAUCGGACCCACCGAGUUUGACCUUAGACAGGAACCCUAGCCAUUCCCACCAAAUCGGUGCAACCGAAGAUGCAUCGGUAUUACCGAGUUUAGGUGACCAACAUUCUGUUGCCAAGAUUCACAAAAUCGGAAUUUCCGAGUUUGAGUAUCGGUGCCACCGAGUUUGGCCAUAUGAUCGUUAGUCACCUUUUCGGUGCCACCGAGUUGUAUAUAUCGGUCUCACCAAGAUUCAAAAGUUCACACUUUUAGUGAUAGUCGGUACCACCGAGUUUCCAACUUCGGUGUCACCGAGUUUGCUCUUUUGUGUGUAAUGGUUGGAUUUUGGUUGCUGCCUAUAUAUACCCCUUCACCCCCUCUCAUUCGUGGGAGAAGCACUCAGAACACACACUUCAUUUCCAGAUCCAUUUUCUGAGAGAGAACCAGCUUCUCAUGUGUUGAGACCAAGAUGUUCCAAUCCAAUCAUUUGAAACUUGAUCUCUAGCCUCCCCAAACUGCUUUCCACCAAAUCAACCUCUCCUACCCAUGCAUAUUUCGUGAGAAAGUGAUUUGUGUUGAGGAGACUAUCUUUAGAAGCACAAGAGCAAGGAGUUCAUUGAUCUACCACAUCUAUUACCUUUUGGAGGGUGGUGCCUCCUAGAUUGGUUAGGUCUCGCUUAGGAGCCUCCUACUUCGUGUUGUGGAGUUAAACCAAGAUGUUUGUAAGGGCAAGGAGAUCGCCUACUUCGUGAAGAUCUACCAUGAGUAAGGCUAGUCCUCUAUGGACGGAAGCCGUGGUGGGAUAGACAAGGUAGCUUCUUUGUCGACCCUCCGUGGGUGGAGCCCUCCGUGGACUCUUGUAGUCGUUACCCUCCUUGGGUUGAAGUCUCCACUAACAUGGACGUACGAUAGCGCCACCUAUCGGAACCAUGCCAAAAAUCGCCGUGUCAACCUCAUGCGUUUGAUCUCCCUACCUUACUCCUCUACAUUACACUUGCAUGUUUUACUUUUCGCUGCUAUACUCUUAGAAUUGCAUGUGUAGGGUGACUUAAACUUGAUACAACUGCUAGAUUUCUGUCCUCCUAGAAAUUAGGUUAGGCUAGAAUUUUUAUCUUGACAAGUAGUCUAUUCACCCCCCCCUCUAGACACAUCUUCUAUCGAUCCCUUAUCGGGGCAGGCGGGGUGCGUGGGACGACGGAGGAGUGAGCGCGCGCAGGGACGGUGGCUCGCGCAUAGAGGGGCGAGACGUCGAUGGUGGAACCCCAGUACCUAAAGGUGGUGGUUGUGGCGCGCGUCUAUGGAAGAGCCGGAGGCGAGGUGGCUUGCGUGCAUGGCAGAGGCGGAAGUGGCCCUGAACGGGUGCAGGGCGUGCACAUAGGGGUCGUGUCAAGCGUAGGGCGGUUUUCCCCUUGAUUUGGCUUGAGUAGACAUGGGAAGGGUUAGUUGGGUCACGUAGGGGCUUGAUUUGAGGCCGGGGCUGGGGCAGGCCCGGUGGCGGAGUUCCGGGCGACAUCCGGAAACGACGGGACUGGGCGACACAGGAACGGCGGGGGUUGUGGGAGGCGGUGGGGCCGAGGCAAGGACCGGCGGGGCCGUGGGCGGCUACGGGAACGCCGAUGCAAGAUCACGGGUGGGUUGGGCGGCGUCACUGUGUUGGGAACAGUCGGGGGCGAGUCGGGUGGGCUGGUGUGGCGUCCGGAACGUGGGCGGCGUGUGCGAGUCGUGAAAGUGGGAUUAACGCUUAGUAGCGUUAACGGUUAACCAAGGUAAUUUCGUUAACGACUUUUUUUGACCGUUGAUUGUAUGAUUAGACGUUUCAUAUUUUAAUUUAGAUCUGUCCUGUCAUGCUUUUUAUAGUAGAGAUUUAUGUUUUCCCUUGGUAAACGCCCCUUGAAGCAUCAAGUCGUGAAUAUAUGCUCUUUAGGUGUUUGAGAAAGGGACCGUUUUAUCUUGAGGACUCGACUUGCGACAAGAUUAUUGAAAAAUCACAUGGGCACGUAGGUGCAUCCUGAUGUGAACAAAUGUUCGGACGGAAAUUGGUUUCAAAAUGGAAGCAAAUUCUUAACCGUCUUAAUACAAGAUAAUAUAUGGCCAUUGUUAGAAAUACUCCGACGGACCGUUCUUAUACGUCUUCCUUAUAUUUCGAGAUAUAUAAAUUGAUUUAAAAUUUGGUUUAAAAAUGGAUGGAAAUUUGUUUUAAAACGGAUGCAAAUGGAUGGUCAUUUAUUUUAUUUAAAUACUUGGACAGAUUUCUUCCUCUGCGUAAGUUACAUCCCCGUUCCAUGUUGACACACAAACACGUCGCGUGUACCCUCGAUGUCAGAGGUGAUGCACCGCAUCUCACGUUGAAGGAGACCCGACCGACAGCGCGAUACACAAGAGAGUCGGCGGUCAUUUUUGAAGAGCCGAAACCCCACGCGUCCGGGAGAGACCUUGUCUUGGCGCACGAAGGCUAUGGGAUGCCCUAGGUUGGUUCGCCCGCUCCUAGAGCCUUGAGGAUCCCUGCUCUUCAACACGAAGAACGAACGAAAAAUGAGAUAGAAAGAACACGGGAGAGUUGUAAAAACUAGAUAAAAAAUAGUAAAUUGAUUUUUUAGAUUGUGUGUUCUUCAAUCGACAUCACUUUUCAUCUAUUUGUGAGGCAGCUGGACUUCCUAUACAAGAAAAGGACUUCAAAUCCCAUCCAAAUCUUUCCAAAAUAAACUGAACUCGGAUUUAGAUAAGUCUGAGACACCAGUUCGGUUUUGGGGUUCACAUGCCUAAAACGACCUUGGAUGAAGAUGAAUAUAAAAGAAAAUUUAACCGUUUCGAGGAGACGAAUAACUUACGUGUUGAACAUUUUUCGAUUUGAGGCCGUCUUAUGGGCCGAAACACUCGUACAAAACAAGAAAACGAGGCGCUACCUAUCACACACGUGUCUGAUUGGGCACGCCACUUUUUGGCUUGUGGUAGGACCAUAUUCCGAUGGCUCUAACUUUUGAAUACGAUCUUAGAUUGAGAUAAUUUUUAUAUCAAAAUUGAUCAUUUCGACGAGACGAAGACAAUCAGUGUAGAACAUUUUCUCAUAUGAUGUCAUCUUGGGGGCUUAAUCAUCUGAACAGUAUUUUGAAUAUGAAAUAUUAGUACUUUGAGCACAGUUUCGGCCUUCGAGAUGAGAUCAGACGGUGAUGGCCCAAACUUUAAAGAUCCCCAUGUCAACACUACGAAACUAUGUCAUGUUGAGUACGUUUCCAUGUGAGGUCAUCUUUAAUGAAGUUUUUGACCAUCCCAAAAUCUGGUGUUAACACAUGCCCCCCUGUUUUUUUGGCAAAACUUGUGUGCCGAAAAAUAAUUUGCAUGGAGCUUGUUCUAAGGACGAUGUCAACACUUCAUCAUCCAUUUUGUAUUUGCUAAGGGCGAUAAUCAUAUAUCAUCCAUGUUUACUCUUAGGGCGAUAAUACUGUAUCGGCCAGUGCAUUUUUAUUUUAAAUCAUGCCUCAAAACUGAUUACCACCAAUCGGCUUUAAAGAGACGUGAAUGAAUCCGUUCCUUGUAUCACUAAGGAAAUCAAACUCCGAGAGGUCACGACCUGUUAAGUUACUAACAUCAGGAUGAUUCCAGUCCACCAAUGCAUCGACCAAGGCAACACAAGCCGAAUUAUCUGCGUGAAUGACUUCUACUUCAUCAUCGACCCAUUGUAUUAAGAAUUGAUGCUUGGUAGAUGGCACACACCGGUUAGCAUGAACCCAAUCACGGCCUAGUAUAACAUUAUAGUUACCUUGCACCUCGGUGAUGAAGAAUGUGGUGGCCAAAGUUUUGCUUCCCAUAGUGAGCUCCAUGUAAUGGAUUCCGGGACUAAGGGGUCAUCGGGCCGUCGACCUAUCUCUACGGGCCGGACUCAUGGGCCGCUCUAUGACUAUCAUUCAAGGGUCAAACUAUAAGACGCCGUCAUGUUCAGGAUGGAAACUUUCGAAGUCUUGGUGUGCGCUCCAAGUCAAGACGAUAGUAUCGGCAUGUUUAUUCCCUGAUGUAACCGACCAUAUGUAACCCUAGGUACCCCUGGUAUCUAUAUAGACCAAAGGAUUUUAGUUCGUAGAGGACAUCGACAAAACCAUAAUAUGGGAUUUAGUUCAUCUGAUCUCGUGGUAGAUCGACUAUGUAAUCAUCAUACACUCAUCAAUAUAAUCGAGCUUGGCGUAGGGUUUUAUCUCUUUGAGAGGGCCUGUUUUUACCUGGGUAAAUAAUGUCCCUAUGUUUUCUGUUACCCAUCAAUCCAAGAUCUACAGCUCAGGACCCCCUACCCAAGGUCCGUCAGUUUUGAUACCGACAUUGGUGCUUCCAUUGAGAGUUCCGUUGUGCGAUCGCCAAAAGAUCGGUGGCUCGCUUAGUCAUCAGUGAUAGCAUCCACACCGAGGAUGCCUUCGUCCCCGGCCAGCUCUUCGUGUUCGACAACAUCGUUCUACAUGUCGAUGCGGCGGUCCACCUCGACCAGAUCGUCGGCUUUGCCCCAGAGCAGGAGAUCAAGUUAGUCAACCUGGAGUACAUCGCCAACGCCCAUGGCGAUCUCAUCCUUACGGGGCUCUCGGCCUUGUCCGAGGAGCCUGAAAAUCUCAAAGCUUUAACUUCAGGCCCUUUCCCGACCCCGUCCCCGAGUUGAGAUUUACCCUGGAUCCGGCUUUCAUUUGGGAUCCGAUCAAAGCGUCUGAAGACCACGGUUCAAUCUUGACUGAGCAUGCUCCGUGUGCCGACGUGUCGGAGAUCAACUCUUCAAGGAUUCAGAAGACUAGUCUGACUGACCUCUCGCUAUUAAACAAGUCGCUGGCUCGGAUCCACACAAUAAACAUUACGAUGACCCGUCCUUGGAUUGAUCUUGAGGUGGGCCAUGGGGAAUUUUACUCACACCCACCACCCACUUGAUACCCAUUAUCGAAGAUUUAGCCGAUAUGCUGGAUUACGCCUGUGAGAUGACCGAGGAUUUGGACGAAGAUGUCGACUCCACCCCCCCUCGCAUUGCUGGAUGGUGGAUAACCACCUUCACCUACGACGUCUAUAUGGUGGACAAUCCUAGCGAUAAGGGCGAGGGCACCAGAGGGAAGGGCGAUGUUGAGAGUUAAGUGUGUGAAAUCGAUUUUGGUGAAGGUAGUGUUGAGAGGUCGUGUUAGGGAAUAUGGUGGAUUGUCUUGUUGAGCUGAGUUUCGUGUUUAUCACAGCCUACCUCAUGGUUACACGGGCAGGUGUGCGGGAUGUGGCGCAUGGCGUGUGUCUUUGGGAGACACACGACAUGGCAUAAUGUUUGAACUGGACACAAAUACGUGUUCCAAGAGGGGAUGUUGUUGAUGGUACGAGGACGUUGGUUCCUUUGAGUCAAUGUUAUCAAACUAUCUGAAUAGUCGCGUUCCCGGAUAUGGACUAUUUGGAAACUUACAUUGUUCAUAAACAACUUGAAUGGAUACUCUAAAAAUGUGCAAGAUAAGUGCGAGUGCUCUGGAAGGCCUUCUCGUAGGGAGACAUAAGAGGGUCCGUAGUAGUGUAUUAUUGUGGUGACUAGUGGACUCGUUGCACUCACUCACUUGAAAGGAAUUACUGGUAGUCAUAGUACAGGUUAAGCAAGAGUAAAACCUGUUUUGCAGCAGUUAAACUCCACACACCCCUAGUUGAUAUUGAUGCACAUGUAGAUAGUUCUGAUGUAAGUCUUGUUGAGUACCAUGUAGUCAUAGUUUCUUAAAUUAAGUUUUGCACACGAGACUUCAGUUUCACUAGUAGUUCCACGUGGAGUUCAAAGAUGACCGACUAGCUUGGGAAUCUCAAACAGAGGUUUGGCUCCUAUAUAUGGAGGGUCUUGUAGAUAGACAUGCUUCAUCAGCCUUCUUUCUUUCCAGUUGUUGGUACCGAGACAAUUUUAUGAUUCCUUGCUUGUAUUAUUUCGUAUGUUGGGCCAUGACACCCUUGUUUGUAAGAUCAUACUAUGUUUUUUUUCUGAGCCCUUAUUAAAUACUCUAACUCACGGAGUUAUGUUGUGAUGCCAUGUUGUACUACACAUACUUGCAAGUUAUGCCUAUGUGUGAUAUGUAUUGCUAUGCGCGGGGAUCGACACCUAGUUGUGUGCCUUUGGUAGCCUUCCUUCCAGGAAAAUGCUUCUUUGUGCCUCUAUUGAGCCUUGGUAGUUCGCUACUAUUCCGGACACAUUAAUUGACCGACAUGUAUCCUUAUUUGCUCGUGUGUUUGUCCCUAUAAGAAAAUGUAAUAUGAUGUUUACUAAAGUCCUCGUAGCUUGCUACGAUUCGGUUACACAUUCUAAUGACCGACACAUGCUCUACUGUAUUACCUAUGUCUUUUUGUUGGUCUAUUAAACAUAGGUGUUUAUACCCCAGACUUAUGCAUAGAUAGUAAUAGUUUUACUUGGUGAUGAGGGCUUGUUGGAGGACUACUGUCAGCAGCAAUCAAGACCACAAAGAAUACCUCUGGACAGGUCAUCGAGAAGUACUACAGAAGCACUGAAGUACAAGACUCAAGUUGUCGGCAAGCUUUGCACCAGCAAGCUCCGUCCCACCGCUCCAUUGAGGCAAGGAUAAAAAACUUGCCGAUAGGUGUUGAGCGGGCAUGCAAUUAGGUAAAGUUUGUCGAACACGUGGCGACCCACCAUCAAAGUACUAACUUUAUUGACACCCGUCCACGGGCGUGUCAAAGAAAUAAGAGCUAGUCAGUCGCCCGGUAUAGGCCGAGGGAUGUUUACCUUGUCGGAGGUGUCCUCAGCUUGACACCUAAUGGAGCAUUAAAUGCUCCUUGUCCUAGGCCGUAAGCGUUAGGUGUAGACCAUUGUAGCUUAUGUGAGCAGUUUGAGCACUCCUCUUGUCGUGGUUUUGUCACGGCAGAUGUCCUUGUGAACGGACUUAGUGGUGAGGCCAUCGUCGCGAUGUGGCGACUCGAUGGGGUUAAUUGGGAACGAGAGACGGAUUUACCCAGGUUCGGCGCCUCCAAUGGAGGUAAAAGCCCAUGUCCUGCUUUUGUAUCUAUAUUGAUGGGAACCUCGAUUACAAGGAUGCAGAAUCUCUAACCUAGCUCUCGAGGGUUUAUUAUUUGAUAUUUAUGGUUCGAGAGCUCUCGUUUAUAUAUAGGUAGAGGCCCCAAGUUUCCAAUAGAGUCUGGGUCAAAAACGCUCGUGACCUACUAUAAUUCUAUCCUAUGUUACUUCCCAAGUUAAGAAAGCUUCUCGCGUAUUUUUCCCUCUGGGUCUUGAGUCGUCGUCUUCUGGUGUUGGCUCGUAUGGCGGUUUGAGAGAGAGCCUUGGCGACCCACCUCCACCUUAUUACUACUCCUUUGUAUCUUGACCCAGCCCCAUAGGGCGGGUUACAUCCUAGGAUUAUAUCCCUGACAUUAGGCCCGUGGUUGAUUUGAACUUGUUCACGUCAAUCUAUCUUGAUCAAGCAAUAACCCGACAUGCCUUUCAACGUGAAUCUAAGUUUUUCACAGAUAAGAGAUGAAAGUAUUGCCGGGUCAUUGCCCCCUCUUAGGGACUUAACAUCUUUUCAGUCUUUACUGAUAUGAUGUCACCAAGCUGACUGCUGUUAUCCUAGAUCAUCAUGGCGAAUCUUUUCGAAAACAACAUUGAAUCUGGUCUAGCUCGAAAAUCUAGGUGUUGGAAAUAUGCCCUAGAGGCAAUAACAAAAUAGUUAUUAUUACAUUUCUUGUUUCAAGAUAAUCGUUUACUAUCCAUGCUAUAAUUGUAUUGAAUGGAAACAUAAAUGCAUGUGUGGAUAUAUAGACAAAACAAUGUCCCUAGUAAGUCUCUAGUUGACUAGCCUGUUGGUCAAGGAUGGUUAAGGUUUCCUAACCAUAGAGAAGUGUUGUCACUUGAUGACGGAAUCACGUCAUUAGGAGAAUGAUGUGAUGGACAAGAACCAAACUAUAAACGUAGCAUGUGAUCGUGUCAUUUUGUUGCUAUUGUUUUCUGCAUGUCAAGUAUUCGUUCCUAUGACCAUGAGAUCAUGUAACUCACUGACACUGGAGGAAUGCCUUGUGUGCAUCAAACAUCGCAAUAUUACUGGGUGACUAUAAAGGUGCUCUACAGGCAUCUUUGAAGGUGUCCGUUGAGUUAGCAUGGAUCAAGACUGGGAUUUUUCACUCCGUGUGAUGGAGAGGUAUCUCGGGGCCCACUCAGUAAUACAACAUCACAUAUAAGCCUUGCAAGGAAUGUGACUAAAGAGUUAGUCACGGGAUCUUGUAUUACGGAACGAGUAAAGAGACUUGCCGGUAACGAGAUUGAAACAGGUAUGGAGAUACCGACAAUCGAAUCUCGCGCAACUAACAUACCGAAGGACAAAGGGAAUGAUAUACGGGAUUGUGUGAAUCCUUCACAUAGAGGUUCAACCGAUAAGAUCUUCGUAGAAUAUGUACGAUCCAAUAUGGACGUCCAGGUCCCGCUAUUGGAUAUUGACUAGAGAGUGUCUCGGUCAUGUCUACAUAGUUCUCGAACCCGCAGGGCCUGCACACUUAAGGUUCGGUAAUUUUUUUGAUAUAGUUGAAUUAUUGAUGUUGGUAAUCGAAUGUUAUUCAGAGUCCAGGAUGAGAUCCUGGAUGUCACGAGUGUCUCUGGAAUGGUCCGGAAACGAAGCUUGAUAUAUAGGAUUGUUGCAUUUGGCUUCCGGAAAGAUUUCGAGCAUUAUCGGUAAAGUACGGGGAGUGACGAAUGGGUUCCGGGGUUUUACCGGGAGGGGCCAGCCACCCGGGAGAGAACCUAAUAGGCCCAUGGGUGGCGCACCAACCCUUAGUGGGCUGGUGAGGCUAGCCCAAUAGGGCUAUUUUGGCUAGAGCAACAAUAAAGGGAAAAAAGAGAGGAGGUGGGCAAGAAGGAAAGGACUCCUCCUCCAAACCGAAUUGGAGGAGGAAACCUUCCUCCUUGGCUCGGCCUACCCCUCCUACUUGGAGUAGGAGGCAAGGCAGCCACCCCUUGGUUCCUCCUAUAUAUAGUGGAGGUUUGAGAGGGUUUUUGCACCUCAAGCCUUUGUGCAAACCUCUCUCCCUCCACUACUUCGUGACAUACCGUAGCUAGAUCGGUACGGCACGACGAAGCCCUGCUGGAGAAUUCAGCUACCUCUUCAUCUCUCUUGAUGGAUGAAGAAGGCGGAGAUCAUCAUCGAUUUGUACGUGGGCUAAACACGGAGGUGCCGUCCGUUCGGUGCUAGAUCGGGACGGAUCGUGGGACGGCGACGAUUUGGAUCGCGAAGACGUUCCACUACAUCAACCGCAUUUCUUAACGCUUCCCGCUUAGCGAUCUACAAGGGUAUAUCUGAUCUCCCUCUCAUAUAUGAUCAUCACCAUGAUAGGUCUUCGUGUGCGUAAGAAUGUUUUUGUUUCCCAUGCAACGUUCCCCAACAGUGGCAUCAUGAGCUAGGUUCAUGCGUAGAUGAUAUCUCGNNNNNNNNNNNNNNNNNNNNNNNNNNNNNNNNNNNNNNNNNNNNNNNNNNNNNNNNNNNNNNNNNNNNNNNNNNNNNNNNNNNNNNNNNNNNNNNNNNNNUUGCUGAAAUUCUGGUUAUGAGUUAGACAUAGUUGCAACAACAAGAUCAAACAGAGUUUGUCAAAGUUUUUCUUUCUCUCUCAGUUUGUCAACUGAGUUGCUUGAGGACAAGCAAGGUUUUAAGCUUGGGGGAGUUGAUACGUCUCCAUCGUAUCUACUUUUCCAAACUCUUUUGCCCUUGUUUUGGACUCUAAUUUGCAUGAUUUGAAUGGAACUAACCUGGACUGACGCUGUUUUCAGCAGAAUUGCCUUGGUGUUAUUUUUGUGCAGAAAUCAAAGUUCUCCAAACGUCCUGAAAAUUUACGGGGAGCAGUUUAGGAAAAUAUGAAAAAUAUCUAUGCCAAGUUCCACCUGAGGGGUUGGGCCAGUGGGCCACAAGCCCUGGCUCUGCCGCCACCCCCCUGGUGGCGGUGGGCAGGCUUGUGGGGCCCACACGGCUCUGCCGCCCCCAACCUGAGGUCUAUAAGUUCACUUUCAUCCCAGAAAAAAUAAAAAGAGAAGUUUUUGUUGCGUUUGCGAUACGGAGGCGCCGCCACCACCUGUUCUUCAUCUGGAGGGCAGAUCUGGAGUCUGUCUUGGGCUCCGGAGUGGGGAAAUCGUCGCCAUCAUCAUCAUCAACCUUAUUCCUCUCCAAUUCCAUGAAGCUCUUCGUCGUUCGUGAGUAAUCUAUUCGUAGGCUCGCUGGGCGGUGAUGAGUAGGAUGAGAUCUAUCAUGUAAUCGAGUUAGUUUUGAUGGGGAUUGAUCCCUAGUAUCCACUAUGUUGUGAGAUUGAUGUUGCUACUACUUUGCCAUGCUUAAUGCUUGUCACUAGGGCCCGAGUGCCAUGAUUUCAGAUCUGAAAUUAUUAUGUUGUCACCAAUAUAUGUGUGUUUGAGAUCCGAUCUUGCAAGUUGUAGUUACCUACUAUGUGUUAUGAUCCGGCAAGCGGAGUGACAAUAACCGGAACCACUCCUGGUGAUGACCAUAGUUUGAGGAGUUCAUGUGUUCACCAAGUGCUAAUGGGUUGGUCCGGUUCUUUAUUAAAAGGAGAACCUUAAUAUCCCGUAGUUUCCUUUUGGACCCCGCUGCCACGGGAGGGAUGGACAACAGAUGUCAUGCAAGUUCUUUUCCCUAAGCACGUAUGACGACACACGGAAUGCAUGCCUACAUCACAUUGACAAACGGGAGCUAGCCACAUAUCUCAACGUGUUAUAACUGUUGCAUGAUGAAUAUCAUCCAAACAAAUCACCGACCCAUUGCCUACGAGUUUGUCCUACUGCUGCUGUUACUUGUCUUACUCUACUGCUGUUACUACUGUUGUUGCUGCUGUUACUACUGUUGCUAUUGAUAUUACUUGUCUUGCUCUGCUGCUACUGUUGCUACUACUGUCGCUUGCUACUGUUGCUACUUGCUACUGCUAUCACUACUGCUGUUCCUUGCCACUGUUAUUGCUCGUUACACUGCUACUACCUAUUACCAUUUUGGUUCGCUGGACGUUGACGGGAACUGGCAACUUCCGUCAACGAGGCAACUUGGCGCCACUGAUACAAUCGUUAGGAAUAGUCUGUCGUCAACAGAUCGUUUCUGACACCGUUGUUAUCAUACUACUUUGCUACUCAUACUUUGCUUGCAGAUACUAAUCUUUCAGGUGUGGUUGUAUAACAUCCCAAAUUUUGGAAUGUUAAAAUAAUUAUUAGAUCGUUUGUUUGUUUGUUUGAGUGAUUGAAACUUGAGUGAAAUAUGAAACUUUUAAAAACUUUUGAAUGAGAGGGAAUAAAAUGACUUCCCCUUUUCCUGUGAACUCAAUUUCAUCUAUUUAAGAAAAAUCAAAGAGAGAAGAUAACAUGACUUAUUCUACCAUAAAGAUUUUUGAAGGGUGGAUUUGAAAACUAAUAAAAGAUUUUCCAUAUGGAUUUUAUUUUCAUAUUUUGUCUUAUUGCUAUUUCAAAGCUUAAUUGGAGUCAUAUAUUAAAAAUAUGAGAGGAGGAACAUGACCCUCCAAACCACGGGACUUUUUGAAAGUUAUUUGAACCCUAAAACUUAGAGGGACAUUUGAAAAAAAAUUGCAAAAGAAAAUAAAUCUUUUAGGCAAUUUUGUGAAAAUAAUUUUUUCUAAAGUUUUUAUUUUGGUCGUGGAAAAAUGUUAAUCAAAUUCUAUAUUUUCGGCUAAUAAUUUUGGUAUAUAAUAUGCCCAUAUUUGGAAUUGUUUUGAUCGCCCUCUCUCUGCCGCCAGGCCCCACCGACUGAUCCCACCUCUCGCACGCUCUCCUCCCUCCCUCGGUCAUCUCUUUCCUCCCCAGCCGAUCCCCUUCCGUACCAUCGCCGGCCACCACCGGACCCCUCGGAUCCUGCGAUCCCCUUCCCUCCCGAGGUCUCCCCUCCUCCUAUAAAAACCCCCUGCCCCUCCUCGCCUCGUUCCCCCCCCCCACAACCACCUCGUCAGAGCCGAGCUCUAGGAGAGCCCCGCCACCCCUGUCGCGCCUCCCUCGCCCUUCCCGCACCAACUGACCCCACCAGCAGCAUCCCCUCGUCCACCACGACCCAUUUUCCCCUAGCUCGAGCUUUCGCCGCUCCUUGCCACUCCCCUCGCCUCGCCGGAGCUCGGACGGACAGGAGCUCCUCACGAACUCCCCCGACCGCCCCUGCUCUCCCCCAGCCACGAAGCACCCCGCCGUCGCCGUCAAUCAACGGAGGAGACUCACUACCGUCCUCCCCACGCCUCGGCCGCCGCUGCCGACCAUCGCAAGGGCGCCCCCGACCACUGCCACUUCUCUGCCUCGCCGGAGAAACCCCUGCAGACCCUCCCCACGGUGAGCUACCCCCAUCUCUCCUGUAGCCGUAGGAUCUUUCAUCUACGGUGUAGAUUAGAAAUAGAUACCCCUUCAGUUUUAGUUAAAAACCGAGCCGGUUUUUACUUCACUUAAGUUUUAGCCGAGAGGAUUUAUCUAAAUACCGGCCGUUUGAUAGUUUUCCCCGAAGCACUCACCCCUUAGCCAAUUAGAGCACGCCACAUACCCCCCCUGCACUAGUUAGUUUAAUCUGUUUUCAGUUUUAAUUCAAAAACACAAAGAGUUUCAAUAUUGUUUUGCUCAUAACAUUUGAUCCAUAACUCCAAUGGAGUUGAAUCUUUUUCCAGUAGAUCACAAUUUUUCUGUAGUUUUCGAAAACAUAUUGUUUGCCUAUGUUUGAAAUUCCAAAAUUUGAAUUAGAUCAGAUUUAGUUUAAAUCUUGUUUUGCUUAUUCCAGGAGUUUAAAAAUAGCUUUUAAUUUGAUUCUUUUUGCUACUGCUUCCUAGUGAUAAUAUUUUUCAGUAGUAUAAGUUUAAAUUUUUUUUAAAUAUUUUUACUUGGGGUUUUAUCAAAAACAGGUUCUGUUUUGAUUAGGUGAAGUGAAUUUCUUCACUUUAUGCAACAGUAGUUUUAUGCUAGUGAUGUUAUUUUUGCUUUUUAAUGAUUGUAGUGCUUAUGGUGUGUAUUUGUUUGUAUCGAUAGAUACCCAGAGUGCGAAGCGUGCUACUUAGAAGUGCUUGAUAACGACAACUAUCAGCAAGGCAAGUCAUUUUAUCAUGUAUUACCUAUGUUUUAUGCAUUGUAGUUCUACCCUUCAAACACCCUAUUGCAUGCUGAGUAGGUACAUGGAAAUAUUGGUUACUUGUUGUAGUAUCAUGUGGUAGGCACCCAACAACCCCGUUACUUGCCCCGGGACGACAAAUUUUAUAUAUCUAUGCUUGUGUAGACGGCGUUCUGGAUGAGAGUUUAUCACGAGUGAUGCGAGAGUAAUUUAAUAACCAAGACCGGUUAAGACAAGACUUUUCAAGACCUCGUGAUGCAAUGCAACUCUGGGUGAAGGACGGUUUAGAUGGUCUCCCUGGAGAAACCAGUGGACGACCCGGGAUUCAUGGAGGCGUGCCAUGACAUCUUGUGGAAAGCUUCACCCGGGCUCGAAGAGAUGGACGGAGGCUUCAAGACCCAAGGCUUACCUGCACAGCCACAAGUCAUUAUGGGCCCUGGCUUGGUUGGACAACAUGGCGACUCAGGACAGGCGGUGCUAGCAGAUGUAGAAGAACGGUAGGAUUGGAUGGGCACCGACAGGGGAUCAGAGGAACCCGUUGAAAGACCAUGUUUUUAUCAUCCGGUCUUCAAACACCCUGAAGUGCGAGGACAUACACGGAGGCGAUCAAAUCUUGUGGGGAACGUGUGCAAAACUCUGCAGAGUACUCAAACCUAAUCGAUUAGCCGUGUCCACGAUCAUGGACAACUUGAGCCAAAGGAACUGAAGUUAUCUGAAAUUCUCAACACCUUUAUAUAAUAUUGAUGUGGGUAAUAUUGAUAACUUGGGUAUGAGAACUGGUUGGCGGAACCAUCUCAUUAACAACCAACAACGUAGUAAUAUUUUGCUUUUAGCCCCUCUAUUAUUGUAGGAGAAAACUUUGCUUUUCCGCUAAAAACUUACAGCCCCUCCUGCCAUAUAUGCAUAUAGAAUAGAUGAUUACUUUUCACCUCUCUCUUGUUUGACUUGCCGGCAUAUUCAAUAUGCUGACCUACACGGCUGCGGCGUCUUAUGUUGCAGAUACUUUCUACGACGAGUAAGUGUACGAUUCAGGGUUACGGUCCGCACUCAACCUGCCGUUGGUGUUAUUUGGGACUCCACUCCCUUGACUGUUUACGUUGAGAUUUUAAGGUAUAUAUCAGUUUUAUGUUAUUACAUGUGAUUGCACUUUGAUAUAUACAUUUAUGUACUGUGUGUGCCAGCAUAUUGAUCUAGGGAUGGCACAGAUACACAUAGGCUUGACUCGUUUUGAGUCGGCUCGCUACAGAUAUGGUAUCAGAGCACAUGUUGACUGUAGGACAUGACCCUAGAAACUGGAAACUUCUUAGGAUAGGAUCUCUCAAAAAUCUUAUUUUCGAGAACACCUUUCACUUCUCAUCUCUUUUGAUUUCAUAAAAUGUUCUCCCUCACCUCAAAUAGUUAUACAAUCCCCUUACCCCUUUGACCUCAUGAAGAAUAAAUGGAGUUCUACUUCAAAGUAAAGAGGAUUUCACCAUGCAUUUGAAGAAUUGAAGCUACACCAACAGAAGACUCUCAAGACCCGAAGAACUCGAAGACCCUAAAGUGUUCGAAUAAUUAUAUGACCAUUAGAAGUCCAAACCCCUUUUAUAUACCCACGUUAGAUACGAUGAUUUGUGAGCCGUCAUUGGUGUGUGUUUUCCGACGGCCACAAAUAAAACCUAUUCUCAAAAAUAUUGUUUGUAUUCUGUGAUCUCCCUCCCUCUCUUACCCGUCUCAUCCCCAAAACCUCAACCCUACCAGAUGGAGUAUGAAGCUGGACUUGUAGUCUUUGGACCAAUGACCCAGCUGGAGGCUGAAAUAUGGAUUCAGAACAUGGAGAACCACUUCGGGAGCAACUUGAUCUCAAGGAAAUAUGAAGUGGCACACGCUCUCCAGUACUUUACCCAAAGUGCUGCUAUCUGGUGGAAAAUGCACCAUGCCAUACAAGGAUUUAGUGGAGCAGAAACUUGGGACGAAUUCAAGAACACUCUGUUAAGAUCCUUACUUAUUCAGAAGUGCUAUGAUAAUCCGAAGGAGAAGACUUGUGCAUGCAAGAUCUGUGGAGAAAUAGGACUCACCCAGGAAGAACACAAGGAUGGAUGCACUCAUUGUGAAGAAAAUCACCUAGCUGAGGAGUGCCCAAGUAGUCAGGUGACUUGUUUCCUUUGUGAAGGAACCACCCACUACCCAGCUCAAUGUCACAUUUACCCCAAGGUGCAACAAGUUGUCAAGCAACAGAAAUAAGCAAUGGAGGAAACCCUCACGAAGAAGAUUUUAGAAGAACUUGUGAUGAAGGAAAAUAUUGGAGACCCCGAUGGACAAGGCCUAACCAGAUUUUUCUCCAAUGCAUGCUACUUAUGUGGAGAAGAAGGACAUUAUUCACAGGAUUACACGAAGGGAAGCCAAGAGUAUCUGGGAAACUUCCCGACGGAAAAAGUGGAGUUUGAUCCACUUGAAAUAGAAGAACUGGCCAAAAUGAAGGAGUCCGGAAAGAAGAAAAAGUACCCUCGGGAGAGCCAAAUCUCUGCAGAUAAAGACCUGAGUCACGUCAGAUGUUUCAAGUGUAUGGAAUUUGUCCACUACAAAUACAUGUGUUCAGGAAGGAAGUCGGAAACCCAAGGAGCAAAAGCAAACACUAAGACGCCUCGAGACUUGUCAGAACUCAUUUGCUUUCGUUGCAAGGAAGCAGGACAUUUUGCCAAUGAUUGUCCACAUAGGAAGAAAGCUAAAAUGGAGUAGUUAAGUUUUGACCGCAACAAUUAGUGUAAUCUGAAGCACUCUUGUUUUUCAUGAGAUCAUGGAGUUGAAUUUUUGUAACAAAAGCCUCUGAGAUUGUAAUAAUUCAUGAACCAAUAAAAUUGUUGUGUCAUGAUCUCCUAUGUUGAAACUGUAUGCGUUGUUUUCUCUACGAGCAAAGAUCUCUGAACAUUUAUGAGAUUAAGAGAAAAUAUGGUCUAUGCAGGCAUGAUUAUAAUUCAUUUUUAAGUGUGGUAGUAAUCGGUAAACCCACAGGAUCCACUGAGUAGGAAUGUACCGUAAUUACCAAGGAGACACAUACAUUCCUGUGAGUACCAAUUUACUGACAGCUGCAGAUGACAACUCUCUACGAGUCAUUCCUCAAGGGCCCAGAAACGAUCAUGACCCUGACCAGUGAUCAUGAUUACCCGAAAAUCCUGAAGGACAUGAUGAAGCACAUUCAUCUUGAAGGAGAUGCAGUCUACAAAGGCUACCCGUUCAUGGAAAAUGGAGUGGAACUUUGGUAUGUGGAAGUACACCUCCACCAUGUGAAAGGAGUUUGUCCAAAGACUAUGGGGCAAUACUUUUUCAUUUCACGUGUACCACGAGCAAUUUUCUUUGAUGCUGUUCGUGAAGCUCUCAUGGAAGCCAUACGUCAGAUUGGAGAAAUACUUGAAGCAAGACUCCGUCAUACCCAGGAAUACUUGAGUGAAGUGCAUGCGGAGAUGAUGGAGAUGAAGCUCAUGGCCACCCUGAGAAAGCAAAAGAUGGAUGAUUUCAAGGAACACAUCGAAAAGUUCCAGUGGAACUAAGGUAUCUCCAAGGGAGACAAAUGAAUAAAGUUGGCAGGAAUGCUUGACCAUACCGAACAAUGUGGAUGGCAGCAUUUGUAAUAAAGUUACUUUUGAAUUUGGAGUUUUGAGAGGAAAUUAAGGAUGUAAUAAAGGAUUGAGUAUGAAAUAAAUAUGAAUUAUCGUUGAGAAAUACCUUCUUAUGGUAUCCCACAGAGUGGCGUGUGAACCAAAAGUAAGUCUGAGGAUUUUUAUUGGUUACCCCAAGAGUAUGAUGGAAUGAAACACUAUAGGAUUUAAAGGCGGAGUAAUUCCAAGUAUGAGUAAAAGGGGGCCUGCAACCCACAGACCCCGAGACUAAUAAGGAUCAAGUACUACCUUUUUGGAGAAGGAAACUUGUAUCAACAAACGUUUUCUUAGGAGCAUACGAAAACCUGAGAGUUGUGAAGAUACGUUAAAUGUUUUGUUCAGCUUGCAGAACCGAUGGAUUACACGAACUUUGUUUGUGGACAAGAAAAAUUCUGCAAUGCUUGUGAGGAUGCCCAAGUGUUAUAAUGCGAGAUUCGCUAAACCUUAUACAGAGAAAUGAUUUGGAUGCGGAAUGGAUUGAUCACAAUGACAACUUACUCUUAUCAUUUAUCUUGCUAUUCGGAAUGGUAAAUCUGAGGGACUUACCCAUAGAGAGAGAUGACGUUCUUGGAAGCUUUUGUUUAAGCCUUAGAAUGGUAUGAUGAAAACCCCAUGAACAUGGCAUCUGUUGUCACGCGUAAGAAAUUUUACGGUGAGGAUGAAACCAAGACCCCUCUCUCUGCAGGAUAACCAUAAAUGCUAGACCACCAUGAGAACCAUCGAUAUGUUAUUUAGAAUUGACCACGAGAGUGUCAAUUAAGAAGACCCAAUAACGGAAGAAGCUUAUAUCAACAGAAUAACCCUCGUUUUGAUGGAGACGUUAUGAAUAUAGCGGAAGAUAUGAGGACUGUGAGGAGUCAGAUGCCAAACCUCCAGGGAUUUUUAAAGUUUUGAGGGACCAAUAAUCUUUAUUUUAAGUGUGGUAGCAUCCCACUUUGUCGGAGGUUGGAUUUGUUAGAAGACCCCCAAACCUAACCUUUCUUUCUAGCCUCUUCGAAUCUCGAGGACGAGAUUCAUUUUAAGUGUGAUAGGUUUGUAACAUCCCAAAUUUUGGAAUGUUAAAAUAAUUAUUAGAUUGUUUGUUUGUUUGUUUGAGUGAUUGAAACUUGAGUGAAAUAUAAAAAUUUUAAAAACUUUUGAAUGAGAGGGAAUAAAAUGACUUCCCCUUUUCCUGUGAACUCAAUUUCAUCUAUUUAAAAAAAAUCAAAGAGAGAAGAUAACAUGACUUCUUCUACCAUAAAGAUUUUUGAAGGGUGGAUUUGAAAACUAAUAAAAGAUUUUCCAUAUGGAUUUUAUUUUCAUAUUUGGUCUUAUUGCUAUUUCAAAGCUUAAUUGGAGUCAUAUAUUAAAAAUAUGAGAGGAGGAACAUGACCCUCCAAACCAGGGACCUUUUUGAAAGUUAUUUGAACCCUAAAACUUAGAGGGGCAUUUGAAAAAAAAAUUGCAAAAGAAAAUAAAUCUUUUAGGCAAUUUUGUAAAAAUAAUUUUUUCUAAAGUUUUUAUUUUGGUCGUGGAAAAAUGUUAAUCAAAUUCUAUAUUUUCGGCUAAUAAUUUUGGUAUAUAAUAUGCCCAUAUUUGGAAUUGUUUUGAUCGCCUAAAUCUUCCUUUUACCUUCCUGUUUUUAAUUGAAAGGAAAUUUUUCCUUUAUUAGGAAAUCGCCAAGGGCCCGUUAGGAAGGUCUGGCCCAAGACCCUUCCCUCGCCAAAUCCAAAACCGAUCGGAUCGGCCGCCCGAUCUGUUUCUCUCUCGCUCCCUCUCUCUGCCGCCAGGCCCUACCAACCGAUCCCACCUCUCGCGCACUCUCCUCCCUCCCUCGGUCAUCUCUUUCCUCCCCAGCCGAUCCCCUUCCAUACCAUCGCCGGACCCCUCGGAUCCUACGAUCCCCUUCCCUCCCGAGGUCUCCCCUCCUCCUAUAAAAACCCCCCUGUCCCUCCUCCCCCCGUUCCCCCCCCCAAGACCCCGAGCUCCUCGCCCUAGCCACCCCCCUGCAACGACCUCGCCGGAGCCGAGCUCUAGGAGAGCCCCGCCACCCCUGUCGCGCCUCUCUCUCCCUCCCCACACCAACUGACCCCACCGGCAGCAUCCCCUCGUCCAUCGCGACCCAUUUUUCCCCUAGCCCGAGCUUUCGCCGCUCCUCGCCACUCCCCUCGCCUCGCCGGAGUUCGGCCGGACAGGAGCUCCUCAGGUACUCCCCCGACUGCCCCUGCUCUCCCCCGACCACGAAGCACCCCACCGUCACUGCCAAUCGACGGAGGAGACUCACCGCCGUCCUCCCCACGCCUCGGUCGCCGCUGCCGACCAUCGCAAGGGCGCCCCCGACCACCGCCACUUCUCUGCCUCGCCGGAGAAGCCCCUGCAGACCCUCCCCACGGUGAGCUACCCCCAUCUCUCCUGUAGCCGUAGGAUCUUUCAUCUACGGUGUAGAUUAGAAAUAGAUACCCCUUCGGUUUUAGUUAAAAACCGAGCCGGUUUUUACUUCACUUAAGUUUUAGCCGAGAGGAUAAAUACCGGCCGUUUGUUAGUUUUCCCCGCAGCACUCACCCCCUAGCCAAUCAGAGCACGCCACAUACCCCCCCCCCCCCCCCCCCCCCCCCCCCCCCCCCCCCCCCCCCCCCCCCCCCCCCCCCCCCCCCCCCCCCCCCCCCCCCCCCCCCCCCCCCCCCCCCCCCCCCCCCCCCCCCCCCCCCCCCCCCCCCCCCCCCCCCCCCCCCCCCCCCCCCCCCCCCCCCCCCCCCCCCCCCCCCCCCCCCCCCCCCCCCCCCCCCCCCCCCCCCCGCGUGCACUAGUUAGUUUAAUCUGUUUUUAGUUUUAAUUCAAAAACAGAGAGAGUUUCAAUUUUGUUUUGCUCAUAACUUUUGAUCCAUAACUCCAAUGGAGUUGAAUCUUUUUCCAGUAGAUCACAAUUUUUCUGUAGUUUUCGAAAACAUAUUAUGUGCCUAUGUUUGGAAUUCCAAAAUUUGAAUUAGAUCAGAUUUAGUUUAAAUCUUGUUUUGCUUAUUCCAGGAGUUUAAAAAUAGCUUUUAAUUUGACUCUUUUUGCUACUUCUUCCUAGUGAUAAUAUCUUUCAGUAGUAUAAGUUUCAAUGUUUUUUAAAUAUGUUUACUUGGGGUUUUAUCAAAAACAGAUUCUGUUUUGAUUAGGUGAAGUGAAUUUCUUCACUUUAUGCAAUAGUAGUUUUAUGCUAGUGAUGUUAUUUUUGCUUGUUAAUGAUUGUAGUGCUUAUGUUGUGUAUUUGUUUGUAUCGAUAGAUACCCGAAGUGCGAAGCAUGCUACUUAGAAGUUCUUGAUAACGACAACUAUCAGCAAGGCAAGUAAUUUGAUCAUGUAUUACCUAUGUUUUAUGCAUUGUAGUUCUACCCUUUAAACACCCUAUUGCAUGCUGAGUAGGUACUUGGAAAUAUUGGUUACUUGUUGUAGUAUCAUGCGGAAAACUUCACCCAGGCUCGAAUAGAUGGACGGAGGCUUCAAGACCCAAGGCUUACCUGCACAGCCACAAGUCAUUAUGGGCUCCGGCUUGGUUGGACAACGUGGCGACUUAGGACAGGCGGUGCUAUCAGAUGUAGAAGAACGGUAGGAUUGGAUGGGCGACGACAGGGGAUUAGAGGGACCUGUUGAAAGACCAUGUUUUGAUCAUCCAUUCUUCAAACACCCUGAAGUGCGAGGACAUACAUGGAGGUGAUCAAAUCUUGUGGGGAACGUGUGCAAAACUCUGCAGAGUACUCAAACCUAAUCGAUUAGCCGUGUCCACGGUCAUGGACAACUUGAGCCAAAGGAACUGAAGUUAUCUGAAAUUCUCAACACCUUUAUAUAAUAUUGAUGUGGGUAAUAUUGAUAACUUGGGUAUGAGAACUGGUUGGCGGAACCAUCUCAUUAACAACCAACAACGUAGUAAUAUUUUGCUUUUAGCCCCUCUAUUGUUGUAGGAGAAAACUUUGCUUUUCCGCUAAAAACUUACAGCCCCACCUGCCAUAUAUGCAUAUAGAAUAGAUGAUUACUUUUCACCUCUCUCUUAUGUGACUUGCCAGCAUAAUCAAUAUGCUGACCUACACGGCUGCAACGUCUUAUGUUGCACAUACGUUCUUCGACGAGUAAGUGUAUGAUUCAUGGUUACAGUCCGCACUCAACCUGCCGUUGGUGUUAUUUGGGACUCCACUCCCUUGACUGUUUCCGCUGAGAUUUUAAGGUAUAUAUCAGUUUUACGUUAUUACAUGUGAUUGCACUUUGAUAUAUACAUUGAUGUACUAUGUGUGCCAGCAUAUUGAUCCAGGGAUGGCACAGAUACACAGAGGCUUGACUUGUUUUGAGUCGGGUCGCUACAGGUUGAAUCUGACGCAUUCAGCGGCUAAUACUUGAGAGUAUCCUCUCACCUCCUAUAGACGUACCAACAAAUUUGGGUCGAAUACGCUACCCUCGAAAACUGCUACGAUCCCACGCGCUGGUGGGCCGUCAACAACAUUCUUCUAGUUUCGAUUGUCGUGGAGUGCUAGCAGCAUUCUUCUGGUGCCGUUGCAAGGGGAAGAACAGUUGACAUCAGCGACUAAACCCCACAUGCAAAAAUACAACCAACUACUCUAAAAUACAUGGCAAAAGGGUUCCUAAUACAAGAGUGUUUUAUCUACGGGGUUUGACCAAUCCGGACCGCACGAAAAAAAUAAAUACGGGCAAUUAUCCUAUUGAGUCAGCACGCAAAACUAGGCAUUCGGCACGUCAAAUCACUUCAAACAUUUACGCAAGUUGCAAAUUCGUAAUCUACGCGGAAAAUUACACAAGAUCCGUAUACAACUUGCCUCGAUCCGACAUACGGUUUAGAAACUACGGGCAAAAGAAAUUAACUAAUAUCCCUGAAAUUAACUAAAUCGCAAGGAAAAAAAUACAUAAACUACUACGGGCCAAAUCUAGGCAUAAUGGGCCUAACAAAGGCACGCAACAUAACUACCAUGCGCCCGAGCGAAGGAUAGAGGUGGGGCCUCACCUUGGGCCUUGGGCCGGCUGGACGUGUCGGCCUGAAGGCGAUUCGAUGCUGAGGGGAGGCUGAGGGGGUUGAAUGGGCCGCGGGGCUAGAUGCGGCUAGGCCGGCUCGGGCCCAGGAGCUCGCGAGGCAGUCUGGCGAGGCCUGGCGGUCAACGCGGCUGGUUCCUCGUCUCCCUCUCGAGACAGGCAGGAACGGCGGCAGCAUCUGAGGCGAACGCCGGCGCAGGGAGCAGAGACGGCGGGCGAAGGCGAGGGAGACCAGAUCCUGGUGGCCUUGGGCGGAUCCGGGCCCUAGGGAUCCAUUCCCUGCGGCGGCGGCAAGAUCCGAGGGGAGAGUCGGGGCGGCGGAGGCUUGUUUCGGCGGCCAUGGAACCUCCUGGAGGUCACUGACGGCGGGCACGGGCAGGCAACGCGUGGGAGCGAGGGACACGGGGCGACGCACCGCGCGGGCCCGAGGGUCGGCGCUCCGGCCGGCGGGGCUUCGGCGAGGCAGCACGGGGAGGCUUACACGGGAGGAGCUCGGGAAGAGGAGAGCUUGGGGUCGGGCCCAGCUUCGACGGGCUUGGUUCGGGCCCGGGCGGGCCGGCGGCUGGAGGGAGAUAGGGGAGAGAGGAGCUGCGGCUGGGGUUGGUGGGGCAUGGAAAAUGAGGUAGAUGGCUAGGGUUUGUUGUCUAAAAUUCCUCGGGAGGUCUAUUUAUAGACAAAGGGGGCUAGGUUUAGCGGAAUAUCGUUCCGGAUCCAACUGCGCGGUCGGAAUCGAACACUUCCGCACGCGGGGACGAGUAAGUGGCUGUGUAGAGUGGUUAGCCAGAGAUGAGAGGGAAACGGGCGACCCAACAACGAGUUUUAAAAUACCGAAAGACGUCCGACGAUAGUCCGAAUACGAUGCCGCUACGAUCGACCAUUCGGGUACCAGACGGACUCCGAUUGCGACGAAAUUUGGCAGGCGGUCUACCAUAAUAUAUUAAUACCGCACGCCACGUUCCAACCCAAUCGGAGAAAGUUUUAUACACACUUUUGAAAACAAGAUUUAAACGAUGUUGCGGGCGCGUGCGUGUGUGGUCGGGCUCAGAACGGACAACGAUGAGAACCGGGAACUAACAACGGAUGCAACUUUUGAAAACUGGUGGCAACGGGAUGCUGAUGCAAUGCUGAUGAUGCGCAUGAUGCGAUGAUGAUGCGACAAAUAAAAAUAAUCACACGACGGAAACGGAAUAAAGGGGGAAUCUUCUAGAACGUCGAUCUCGGGUUGUCACAACUCUCCUACACUACAAGAGGAUCUCGACGCGAGAUCCAAGAAUGAAAGGGGAAGAGGAAGAGAAAGCACAUGGUAAAACUUAAUUGCUUAUUUGACAAACGAGUGAAACCAAUGAUCCUUAAAGGUUGCAAUGGGAUGAGGAAUGAUAUGAGAAACAAGCAAGAAUUCAUGGAAAAUUUCGGCAGCACUUCGGUAGGAAAAAGGGACAAAAAAAUCGAUAAGAUAGGAAAACUAGACAAGAUUCAUAACAAACAACUAAAUAGAGCAAGGGAACACCAUGAUCUUGUCAGAACAAGAUGAUAGAUUGAAGAGAGCAACAUCACAAAGCCUCCGUUAGAAAGAAUAGAAACUAUCUCUUUAAAAGAAGAGAACGAAGAAGAAAUAGAGAACUACAACCACAAGAAUCUUGAAGAACAUCUUGAGAAGAAUUGAAACCUUGAUGCACCACCAUGACGAACCUCUUGGGGAACACCGGAAUGAAAUGAUGAAAGAAUAAGAUUAAAGGCCUUGCAAUGAUUUAGAUGAAGCUUCUCAAUGAGAUACUUGAUAGAACUUGGAACUUUGGAAAAUAAAGAUAAGCACUUGAGAAAAGAAUUGAUAUCAUGAGGCACUCCGAAAGAAGAAUUGAAACCAUUUGACGAAGCAAGAAUAAGAAUUAUGUUAUGCUUAUCCUUCAUCAAGUUUAAUUGACGACAAGCAACGGAUUUAACAUACCCCUUAUUCUUCUUGAAAGAAACUUGAAGAGAGAGAUAGAUAUGCAGCACAUGAAGCAUAAUCGAAGGAAGCACCCGUAAGAAUUCACAAUUGAAUGGAAAUACCAAGAGUUAAUGGAUAUACAUGAGAAUGAAAAGAUCAUGAGCCACCUGAGAGAAAACUUGAAUAAGGCGCCGGAAUAAAUGAGAGACGAACGAAGAGACAACAAUUGAGAAGAAUUUGAGAACGAAAUCUGAAAGCUGAGAACGAAGAGAUCUUCUGAAAUGAUGGCCUUCGGAGGAUCAAGAAUGAAAACAACUGAGAAAUGCACCGGAUAGCAAGAAAGGGAUUACUCAUGACUGGAACAAUUAAGAUGAUGGCACCAAGCUGAAAUGAUGAAUCUUCAAGAGAAUGAACCAAGAUUCGAGAGAAACACCCCUUCGGUCUUCCAAGCUGAGAAUGAUGACGAGAAACAACACCAAGAACUACUGAGACAUUCCAGAAUAACGAAGAAUGAAAGGUUGAUCCAAAGACAAGAAACAAUUCAAAUUGAUCUUGAAGAGGGAAUCUGACUGAUGAAAUCCAUACCUACGUCAUAGUUGAAAGAAUUAGAGAUCUCCGGGAAAGAUUACAAGAGCCAGAUAAGAUCCUGGGAAAGAACAUGUGGGUUAUGGGCCCACUCAAAGAAACCAUCGUUGAAAAGAUUGCUCAGAGGGAGAAAUAUUGCACCGGUAUGAACAGAACUAGAUGAGGUUAGCACCUUGAAAUAAUUCAAAGAAUUGAAAACAAGAAACUACUCGGAUAUCUUCAGCACUCUGGAUAGAAAAGAGAGGAAUGAAUAAACAACAUAGGCUGAUAAGAAUUUCCAACAUAGGAAAAAUUUAAAGGAUGAAAAGGAUAUGAUGAACACGGAAAACUGAAUUGAAUUCACCAGAAAAGAUAACUAGAUCGAAUCAAGAUGAACACGAAGCUCCUGAGAAUCUACACAAUGAACCACCGGAUAAGAGAGAAAAGAAAAGAUAGCGGAAGCAACAAUGAAAUGAAAUGCACUUGGAUGAAAUCCAAUCACUGAAGAAAAAGGGCGGGAGGGCGGGGAAAACAAAAACAACAUGGGACAGAUGAGACAAACUCCGGAAAGAAAUGAUGAUUGGCCUUGCAAAAAUUGGAGAGGAUAGGAUAACUUGAAGAGAAGCACACCGGUUGAAAAAGAAUUAAUAUGACAACUCCGGUUAACAAGAAAUUUAAAGAAAAGUUGAUUUGAGGAACAGAAUUUGCAUCCUCAUAAGAAUAUGAGAACACGUCUUAGAAAAGAUAUGGAAUCACCAUUUGACAUCGAAGCAACUUGAAUUACCAUACUCCAACAAAACAAAGGAUGAGGCUUACAAAACAAGCCAGAACAAAUUCAUGAGAGAGAUAUCGUCCGAUAUUUUCGUGGACGGGAUCGCACGGGCUCGAUCCUUACAGUAGCCAUCCUGUGCAAGGCAGUGCACACGACAUACGAAGCGUCCCCGAGUCGUAGCAAGCUACAAGGACUCUUUAAGACACAAUGAGAGCCGUUGUAAUACGACCGUGAACAAACAAAUACACUAGAUGUCGAACCCCAACCUAACAUCAUGCAUUUGUUGGAAGAUCGUCCUAUAAGUAACUACUUGAAUUCCCACCUAAGAAUUCCCGAAAUUUCUGGUCAUGCAAUCUGGUCCAUGGAUACAAGGAGUAAAAUAUCACUCAACUCCUAUAUUAACCCGUCCAGUGUAUCACAUCCGUCAACACAUAACCAGAAUCUCGGACCUUCAUCUACUACAAACCCUCGUGAUCACAACGAUACAAAGUAUGGCAGUACUCCCAAACAAUCUGCACCAGUACUGGGGACAUCGGGGUUAUCUCGCCACUACUAGUAUUGAAGCAAUUACGAACAUCCUUCAUUCUGAGAUACUAAGAAAUCUGAACGAUAACGAUGUGCUCGAGAAUUCCCUGGAGCUCAACUCCUCGGAAGAAAUCAAGUCACACAGGAGGCACCAAGACAGAACUCCGUCACAUCGGCAUCAUAUAGAUUCCAAAAAUAUCCGCGUGAUCCUAAAAAAAUUGAGUGAGAAGAGGAGUAGAGUUAAAAUAUUACGUCAAGAUUCCUCACCAGAGCAUAGAAGAGGAGAAAAAAGAAUCCUACUCUACGAUAAAUAACUAGACUCAAAGAAAUUUUUCACUAGACUCGACUCGGCCAAGUUCGAUCAAUCAAGGGGGCUCCUAGGUCGGUGCUGCUUUGAUACCAACUUGUCACGCCCAAGAUGCGACCCUAUCCUCAAUUUGGCACGAGGGCCUCGUCAGGGAUAGGAGCGCAUCUCGUCGUUUCGCAAGAAUGGAUAUCGUUACAAGUACAUGUACUGAAAAGAUGAGAUAUAUAGAAUUGGCUUACACUCGCCACAAGCUACAUCAGAGUCACAUCAGUAUAAUACAUAAACAUCAUGAAGAACAGCAGGGUCUGACUAUGGACGAAAACAAACGAGAAAUGAAAACGACGUCCAUCCUUGCUAUCCCAGGCUGUCGGCCUAGAACCCAUCCUAGAUCGAUGAAGAAGAAGAAGAAGCAACUCCAAAUGAACAUUCAACGCGCUCGCCACAAGUAAUCUUUACAUGUACCCACAACUUGUGUUGUAGUAAUCUGUGAGACACAGGGGACUCAGCAAUCUCAUUUCCAAAGGUAUCAAGACUAGCAAAACUUAAUGGGUGAGGUAUGGUUAAGUGGUGAGGCUACAUCAAGCGAUUAAGCAUUAUAUGAGAUGGCUAACUUACGAGUACCAGAAUUAAGAGGGGGCAUGGUCUACGCAUAGCGGACGUGAACUACUGAUGAUCAAAUGAAUGAUCCCGAACACCUACUUACAUCUGACAUAACCCCAUCGUGUCCUCGAUCGGAGAAGGAACUCGCGAAAGAGACAGUCACGAUUACGCACUCAAAUGGCAUAUUUUAAUUGAGUUAACUUCAAGUUGUCUAGAACCAGUGUUAAACAAAGUUUCCACGUUACCACAUAACCGCGGGCAUGGAUUUCCAAAAAGAUUUAACCCUGCAGGGGUGCUCCAACUAGUCCAUCACAAAUUACCACAAGCCGCAUAGAAAUCCUCGAUCAUGACACUCGCGAUCUCGUCGGUUUCCUUAGUGGAAAACCUCAACUCUGAGAUUACCCAAAGCAUCACCAGAAUCCCGAUGCACAAGAUAUUUCGUCAAAGGUAAAAGUAAUCCAGCAAGGCCGCCCGACGUGUCGACGAACCCGAUAGGAGCCGCGUAUCUCGUUCUGAGGACACGACGGAUGGGUCACACUAGGAGAAACCAAACCUUGUGUUGCCCCGCGGUGGCCCCGUGGUCUGCCAGUUUGGACCAACAGUCAUGAGGAGCACUGGCCCGGGGGUUGAUUAAUUACUCCGCGGGUGUCGGCGGGUCCCUAUGCAUUUAUUAGUUAUUAGGCAAAUGUAGUACCAAAGUUGGGCCUUGCCAGACCAGUCUUAAUCUAAAAUGAAUUCUCAAGGGGGUCCCCAUAACAACCCCGGUCGUGUUAGGAGCGCUGAAUUAUGGAACAUAACACCGGUAGCCGAAACUAAGGGGGCAAAGGUAGAACAAAACACCAGGCUAGAAAGGUCGAGCCUCCCACAUUUUAGCAAGUAUAUAGGUCCAUUAAAUUAAAUAGCACUAAAUAUGGUGAUAUAUCAAGGAACCCAUGUUAUCACAUGGAAGCAACUGCACCUGCAACUAGCAACGCUAACACAUGGUUAAGCAAGCAGUAACAUAGCCAAUUAGUGGUUUUCUAGGUUGUGAACGGGAUGAAGGUUUUCAUGGCAAUGUUGAGAGCCUGAAAUUUAACAGGUGGUAGGCAACGAGAAAUAGCGACAGAAACGAUAAUACUAGCAUGGCGAUGAUAGUAAUGGUAUCUGGGGAAAUGGUCAUCUUGCCUAAGAUCCUGCUUGGAAGAAGAAUGACUCUGUGAAGCAGACGAACCGAUGUAGUCGAACGGGUUCUCACAAUCCGACAUGCUUGCGGAACUCUAUCGAGACGAAGGAAACCGGAAAAAAGCAUCAACACAGAUAUUCACCACGGCACAUGCACGACAAGAUGCAAUCCACAUAUGAUGCAUGAUCAGCUGAAUAUAUGCAAUACAUGGCACGGCGAUUCACAACACACAAACACUACACAUUAAGUGAAGUUCAAUAUGCAACAACUUGCAUAUUGACGAAACUCCACAUACGAAUUAUUUAAUUCCAUCCCGGUUAGGUACACGACAAUAUUAAAUGUGGUUAAACAUGGCAAGAGGUGAAGCGUAAUUAAACUACCUAUCUAGGCAUUUUAAAUGAGGUCGGAAAUGACAUAUAGCACCUCUGAGAUGACCUCAUACGUUAAUUUACAAUUCUGUCCAGAUCUGAACUAACACGUUUAAAUGUUUGUUAAACAGCAAAACAAAUAGGUUCACGUGAUUCUACGCGUCGUUACAAGCAAUUUACACCGCAAGAUAUGAUGGCAUGAAUGCAAUAUGUGUGCAACAACAGUCACAAGCAUCUCAAAACACACAACCAGUAAGAAAAUAUGAAACUACAAGAGAUUCUAAGCAAGUUUCAUAUAGGGCACGAUCAAAUCGGAGCAACAGUUCAACAACUACGAGCUAAACAAGAAAUGACUACAGUCUGCCAAAAUCAGCCACAUAGCAUUUUCUACACCCCACAACUACGAGCUACACAAAUCCAAAAGGCUCAAACAAGGCAUGAGACGAUAGAGGGCAAGAAGCACUACCACAUACAACUAAUAACAUCUAGCAUGGAAGCGUGGAUCACUACGAAAAGAAGUCACAAAAUGGCAUCUCACACACAGUUUCAGACUUAGAGAACAACACAGUUUAUGAAACUGCAGUUUUCGAUCUGAAGGCAUAUUGACUGCAGCAAAACCAUAAGCUACAGGACUCCAAAUGGCAUGAAAAUUCACAGCAUGCUAGAGAAUCCUAAAGUCUACAACUAACUCCAUUGCAUCAACCUCAAAAGAGCUACAGAUCACCAGAUAAAUUCAUGCAAAGACAGCAACAAAAUAUAACAGAUUUCAGACUUAGAAAUAUUUCAGCAUCUCCAAAUCAGCACUAUUUUCUAGCAACUUGAGAGCAAGCAAACCACACCUAAACAUGGAUUUCUAUUGGAACCAAAAUUACCAGGGGCCAGACUAAACAUCCAAGAGCAACUCUCUAGUUGACAACUUAAUCAUACCAAGCACGGAAUAAAACCCACAAAAUAAACAUAAGGGCAUCACGGCAAAAUAUCACGCGAACUAACUUGCUCAAAAGCUAAAACUAAAUGCAUAGUUAAAUCCUAUGGAUUUUUCUACCCCGAAAACUUAUAUAACAUGAGGGUUUGCGAAAUGAAAACAACGCCACACGUAUAUGCGGAAAUAUGCCCUAAACACGGAAUAAUAACUAGCGACUAAACCCCACAUGCAAAAAUACAACCAACUACUCUAAAAUACAUGGCAAAAGGGUUCCUAAAACAUGAGCAUUUUAUCUACGGGGUUUGAGCAAUCCGGACCGCACGAAAAAAAUAAAUACAGGCAAUUAUCCUAUUGAGACAGCACGCAAAUCUAGGCAUUCGGCACGUCAAAUUACUUCAAACAUUUAUGCAAGUUGCAAAUUCGAAAUCUACGCGAAAAAUUACACAAGAUCCGUAUACAACUUGCCUCGAUCCGACAUACGGUUUAGAAACUACGGGCAAAAGAAAUUAACUAAUAUCCCUGAAAUUAACUAAAUCGUAGGGAAAAAAUACCUAAACUACUACGGGCCGAAUCUAGGCAUAAUGGGCCUAGCAGAGGCGCGCAACGUAACUACCAUGCGCCCGGGCGAAGGAUAGAGGUGGGGGAUCACCUUGGGCCUUGGGCCAGCAGGAGGGGUCGGCCAGAAGGCGGUUCGAUGCUGAGGGGAGGCCGUGGGGGUUGACUAGGCCGCGGGGCUAGAUGCGGUUGGGCCGGCUUGGGCCCAGGAAUUGGCGAGGCGGUUUGGCGAGGCCUGGCGGUCAACGCGGCCGGUUCCUCGUCUCCCUCCCGAGACAGGCAGGAACGGCGGCACCAUCUGAGGCGAACGCCACCGAAGGGAGCAGAGCCAGUGGGCGAGGGUGACGGAGACCAGAUCCCGGCGCCCUUGGGCGGAUCCGGGCCCUAGGGAUCCAUUCCCUGCGGCGGUGGCAAGCUCCGAGGGGAGAGACGGGGCGGCGGCGGCUUGUUUUGGCGGCCAUGGAACCUCCUGGAGGUCACGAGCGGCGGGCACGGGCAGGCAACGCGGGGGAGCGAGGGACGAGGGGCGACGCAAUGCGCAGGCCCGAGGGCGGCGCUCCAGCCGGCGGGACUCCGAUGAGGCAGCACGGGGAGGCUGACAUGGGAGGAGCUCAGGAGGAGGAGAGCUCGGGGUCGGGCCCAUAUGGGCUUUGACGGGCUUGGUUCGGGCCCGGGCGGGCCGGCGGCUAGAGGAAGACAGGGGAGAGAGGAGCUGCGGCUGGGGUUGGUGCGGUGCGGAAAACGAGGUAGAUGUCAAGGGUUUGUUGUCUAAAAUGCGUGGGGAGGUCUAUUUAUAGACAAAGGGGGCUAGGUUUAGCGGAAUUUUAUCCCGGAUCCAACUGCGCUAUCGGAAUCGAACACUUCCGCACGCGGGGACGGGUAAGUGGCUGUGUAGAGUGGUUAGCCGGAGACGAGAGGUAAACGGGCGACCCGACAACGAGAUUUAAAAUACCGAAAGACGUCCGACGAUAGUCUGAAUACAGUGCCGCUACGGUCGACCGUUCGGGUACCAGACGGACUCCGGUUGCGACGAAAUUUGGCAGGCGGUUUACCUAUAAUAUAUUAGGACCGCACGCCACGUUCCAACCCAAUCGAAGAAAGUUUAUACAUACUUUUGAAAACAAGAUUUAAACGAUGCUGCGGGCGCGUGCGUGUGUGGUCGGGCUCAGAACGGACAACGACGAGAACAGGGAUCUAACAACGGAUGCAACUUUUGAAAACUGGCGGCAACAGGAUGCUGAUGCAAUGCUGAUGAUGCGCAUGAUGCGAUGAUGAUGUGACGAAUAAAAAUAACCACACGACGGAAACGGAAUAAAGGGGGAAUCUUCUGGAACAUCGGUCUCGGGUUGUCACAUGUACCCCCCCCCUCCAGUCCAUGCCAUGUUGGCUUGUGGGGCCCUCGUGCAGCCUCCAGGCUUCUUCCAAUACUCCUGGUCUUCUUUUGGUCCAGAAAAAAUCACCAAAAAGUUUCACAUCAAUUGGACUUCGUUUGGUAUGGAAAACCUGAAAAGUGGAAAACAUGCAGAAAAUAGCAAAUCGCACUCGGGACCGGAUCCAUAGGUUAGUGAUCAAAAAUAAUAUAAAUUGGUAACUAAAUACCCCAAAAGUAUUCUAAAAUUACAAUAUAUCAGCAUGGAACAAUAAAAAUUAUAGAUACAUUGGAAACGUAUCAAGCAUCCCCAAGCUUAACUCCUGCUCAUCCUCGAGUAGGUAAAAUGAUAAAAACAAAAAAAAAUUGAUGUGACAUGCUAUCCAUUGUGUAACUUUAUGCAUGUAUGCUCAGUGAGAAAUGAUGAAUUAACAAAUAUUACCACAGCAAUAGUUAUUGGUAUAAGCAGGAAAAUCAUUAGUCUUUCAAAGUAUACGAUCCUCAAAGAUUGGUUUACCCCCAUUCAUCUUAUUAUAUUAGCAAGGCAUGGCUCCAUCUUCACCAUAUUAAUACAAAUGUCAAGCACCACGGUGUCCAAGAAAGGCAAUUGGACCAUACUUUUUCAAUAUGCAUCAACUUUUUAUUCUUAACACAAUACAUGAGUGUGAACCAUUGGACAUAGCAUAAAGGUGGAAUAGAAUAUGGUGGUAGGUUUCAAAGGGGUAAAAGUGGAGAAGAUAGUCGCACACCAACUAGGCGUGCCAACAGGCUACGGAGUAGGGAUUGCGAUGCAAAUGAUGCACUAGAGCCAUAAGUGUAUGAAAGCUCCACUAGAGCUAAGUGGGGUGUGCAUCCAACUUGCUUUCUCAUGAAGACCUCGAUCAUUUGAGGAAACUUGUGAUUGGAAUAUAAAAGUCAAGUUUAUGAAAAAGCGAUCCACACUAGCAUAUGAAUGAUAUAACAUGAGACUCUCUAUAUGAAUAACAAGGUGACACUUUGAGGCACAAGUGUGGUAAAGGCUAGUAGUAAAGUACCAUCUCUCUUUUUCUCUCAUUCAUUUUUUUCUUUUUCAUUUUUUAAUUAGUAUGGCGGGCUCAUUUGGCCUCCCCCAUUUUUAUUUCCUCAUUGGGACAAAGCUCUAAUAAUGAUGAUCAUCACACUUUUAUAUACUUACAAGUCAAUAUGACAAUUGAUAGGAUGAUAUGACUCCGCACGAAUGCCUUUGGCAGUGUACCAGGAUGUGCAAAGAUCUAGCAUGAUAUGUAUAAAAAAUAUGAUGAACGGUGGCUUUUCCACAAAUACUAUGUCAGCUUUAUAUGAUCAUGAAAACCAUGAUGAUGACGAAUGAACUAGUCAUGCAUCAUCGGAGAGGUCAUGGUGUUGAUGAAGAAGCCCUCCGUGUCCGAAUCCCCCCUCAGGCAGGGCACCAGAACAUGCCCCAGAUGGGAUCUUGCGGAGACAGUAGCUUGCGGCGGCGGAAAACUACUUUCGAUGAUCUCCUGAUUAUUUCUGGGAUUUUAGGGAAUAUAUAGGCGCAAAACCUAGGGCGGAGGUGGCCCAGGGAGCCCACAAGCCAGGGUGGCGCGGGCCCCCCUGGUCGCGCCAUGAGGGCUUGUGGGGUCCCUGCAGGCCCACUGCCCAGAUUCUCCAGCUUCCCGAUCUUUUUAUGUUCCGGAAAAAAUCUUUUUGGCAGUUUCAUUCUGUUUGGACUCCAUUCAAAAUCCUCCUCUGAAAUGGGUCAAAAACAUCGAAAAAACAGGAACUCGCACUUGGCACUGAGUUAAUAGGUUAGUCCCAAAAAAUAUAUAAAAGGCAUACAAAACAUCCAAAGUUUGACAAGAUAAUAGCAUGAAACCAUCAAAAAUUAUAGAUACGUUGGAGACGUAUCAAGCAUCCCCAAGCUUAACUCCUGCAUAGUUGAUGUGGAAUGCUACCUAGCAUAGUUGUCCUUUGCAACUUCUUUCAUGUGACAUGAAUGUUCAGAUCCGUAAGAUUCAAAACAAUAGUUUUCUAUUGACAUGAAAACAAUAAUACUUCAAGCAAACUAGCAAGGUAAUCAUGAACUUUCAAAAUAACAAGGCCAAGGAAAGUUAUCCCUACAAAAUCAUAUAGUCUGGCUAUGCUCCAUCAUCCUCACACAACUAAUGUAAAUCAUGCACAACCCCGGUAUUGGCCAAGUAAUUGUUUUCACACUCUUACUUUCUCAAACUUUUUAUAACUAUUACGCAAUACAUGAGCGUGAGCCAUGGAUAUAGCACUAUAGGUGGAAUAGAGUGUGGUGGUGGUUGUGAGACAAAAAAGGAGGAGAUGGUCACAUUGACUCGGCGUAUCAAAAGGCUAUGGAGAUGCCCAUUAAUAGAUAUCAAUGUGAAUGAGUAGGGAUUGCCAUACAAGGGAUGCACUAGAGCUAUAAGUAUGUGAAAGCUCAAAAAGAGAACUAGUGGGUGUGCAUUCAACUUGCUUGCUCAUGAAGACCUAGGGCAAUUUUGAGGAAGCCCAUCAUUGGAAUAUACAAGUCAAGUUAUAUAAUGAAGAUUCCCACUAGCAUAUGGUAGUGAAAAAGCAAAAAGCUCUCAAUCAUGAAGAACAUGGUGCUAUUAUGAAGCACAAGUGUGGAAAAAGAUAGUAGCAUUGUCCUUUUCUCUUUUUCUCUCUCUUUUUUUUUGUUUGGGCUCUUGGCCUCUCAUUUUUUUGGGAUCUUUGGCCUCUUUUUUUUAUUUACUCACAUGGGACAAUUCUCUAAUGAUGAUCAUCACACUUUUAUUUACUCACAGCUCAAAACUUAGAACGAUGAUGACUCUAUAGGAAAUGCCUCCGGCAGUGUACCGGGAUGUGCAACGAUCUAGCUUGGCGUAUGACGUUGAAACAUAUCGCUAGCUAUCUUACGAUCAUGCAAUGGCAAUAUGAGACUGACGGCACAAGUCAUGAGACGGAACGGUGGGAUUUGCAUGGCAAUAUAUCUCGAAAUGGCUAUGAAAAUGCCAUAGUAGGUAGGUAUGGUGGCUGUUUUGAGGAAGGUAUAUGGUGGGUUUGUGUACCGACGAAAGUUGCACGGCACUAGAGAGGCUAGCAAAGGUGGAAGGUGCAAGUGCAUCUAUACCAUGGACUCACAUUAGUCAUGAAGAACUCACAUACUUGUUGCGAAAGUUUUUAUUAGUAAUCAAAACAAAGUGCUAAACGCAUACUCCUAGGGGAAGGGUUGGUAGGUGUUAACCAUCGCACGAUCCCGACCUCAACACAAAGGAUGACAAUCAAUAGAUCAAUUAUGCUCCGACUUCCUAACAUAGCGGUUCACCAUACGUGCAUGCUACAGGAAUCACUAACUUCAACACAAGUAUUUCUAGAUUCACAACACCCUACUAACAUAACUCUUAAUAUUACCGAAUCCACGUCUCAAAACUAAUUGAGAGGAAUCAAGACUUCUCUUUCUACUCAGUGCACAUGAAGAUGGAGGUUUUUAUAUCCUCUUUGGGUACCUAUCACCUUUGGGACUAAUUUCAUAUCAUAAGCCAACUACCAAGUCAUGCACCGCCGUGCUCUAAAAAAUAUAAGUGAAGCACAUAGAGCAAAAUUAUCUAGCUCAAAAGAUAUAAGUGAAGCACUAUGAGCAUUCUACCAAAAUCAUGAUGAGUGCAUGUUUCUCUCUAAAGGUGUGCAGCAAGGAUGAUUGUGACACAACAAAAAGAAAAGACUCCUACGAUACAAGACGCUCCAAGCAAAACACAUAUCAUGUGGUGAAUAAAAAUAUAGCUCCAAGUAAUGUUACCGAUGGAUUGAAGACGAAAGAGGGGAUGCCUUCCCGGGGCAUCCCCAAGCUUAGGAUUUUUGGUGUCCUUGAAUUUCUCUUGGGAUGCCUUGGGCAUCCCCAAGCUUGAGCUCUUUCCACUCCUUAUCUCUUUGUCCAUGAGAACAUCACCCAAAACUUGAAAACUUCACAACACAAAUUUUAAACAGAAACUCGUGAUAACAUUAGCACAAGAAAACAAACUACCACCUCUUUUGGUACUAUAGCAAACUUGAAUUCUAUCUAUAUUGGUGUUGGGCUACUGUAUUCUCACUUUUCCAUGGCUAGUACCCCUGAUACUAUCCAUAGUUUCAUCAAAACAAGCAACCAACUCACAAAAACAGAAUCUGUCAAAAACAGACCAGUCUGUAGCAAUCUGUAUACUUCGUAUACUUCUGGUACCUCAAAAAUUCUGAAAACUUACGACUACCUAGGAAAAAGGCAUAUCAACUAGCAGCAAAAAGAAUCAACUCAAAAGCUCUUUCUGAAUAAAAAUGAACAAUCAUCUCGUGAGUCAAAAGUUUAUGUCUUUUUCCAGCAGGAUCAAACAACCAUUACCAAGAGUAGUCAUAAAGGUUUGCUUUGCUCAAACACAAAAAGAAACACAAAAAACACAAUCAUAUCAGAAUUAUGAUAGUGUGGACACAACAAAACAGAAAGAAAAAGAUAAAUUCAUUGGGUUGCCUCCCAACAAGCGCUAUUGUUUAACGCCCUUAGCUAGGAAUUGAUAAUUCAAUGAUGCUCACAAAAAAAACAAGAAUUGAAGCACAACGAGAGCAUCAUAAAGCAUGUGAAAAUCACAUCUAAGUCUAACAUACUUCCUAUGCAUAGGCAUUUUAUAGGAAAACAGAUUGUCAAGACAACCAAUAGUUACCAUAUGCAAGGAAGAAGAAAGAGACAAUAGCAAUCUCAACAUGACGAGAGGUGAUUUAGUGAUAUGAAAGUUUCUACCACCAUAUUUUCCUCUCUCAUAAUAAUUACAUGUGGUAUCAUAUUCGAAUUCAACAAUGUAACUAUCACAUAGGAUAUUCUUUUCAUGAUCCACAUGCAUGCAAAGUUGACGCUCUUCAAAAAUAGUGGGAUUAUCAUCAACUAAAGUCAUGACUUCUCCAAACCCACUUUCAAUCUUAUUGCAAACAUCAUAUUCAUCAUGAGGCUUAAACAAAUUUUCAAGAUCAUAAGAAAAACCAUCGCCCCAAUCAUGAUUAUUGCAACAAGUAGUGGACAUAGCAAAACUAGCAUCCCCAAGCUUAGGGUUUUGCAUAUUUUUAGCAUGAUUGACACUAAUAGGAUUUAUAGUGAAACCAUUGCAAUCAUGCUUUUCAUUCAAGGAGCCCUCGUGAAUCACUUCAUGAAUUUCUUCAUCACGAUUUUUAGAUUCACGCAUCUCAAGCAAAACUCCAUAGAGAAAGUCAACUGCACUCAACUCACGAGCCAUUGGAUCAACAUAAUUGGAUCUCUGAAAUAGAUUAGCAAGUGGAUGAGGAUCCAUAUCAAUAGAUUUUCAGCAAGCGAAGAUCCAAGCAUAUUGAAGGCACGUGGCAACACAAGUGAACAGAAAGCAAGCGAAAGAAAAGGGCGAACGAAAAAGGGAAACGAAAAAGGCAAAUUGGUGAAGUGGGGGAGAGGAAAACGAGAGGCAACUGGCAAACAAAGUAAAUGCAAGAGAUGAGUUUGCGACACUUACUUGGAUGAGUUCUGGACUUGAUCCUCCCCGGAAAUUGCGCCAAAAAUUCUUCUGCUACGGCAACAGACAACAGUGCCAGAAAUUGACACAUUGAUGAAGACUGGGCUUGCGUUGGUUUUUCCCUUGAAGAGGAAAGGGAGAUGCAGCACAGGAGCAAUAAGUAUUUCCCUCAGUUUGAGAACCAAGGUAUCAAUCCAGUAGGAGAAUCUCGUCAAGUCUAGAGUACCUGUGCAAACAAAAAAGAGCUUGCCACAACGCUUUAAAGGGGUUGUCAAUCCCUUCAAGAUUGAUUGCAAAGUGAGAUCUGAAGGCGGAAAGUGCAACGAAGUAAAAAGUGUAAGGCUGAAAAUAUGGUGUGGAGUAGACCCGGGGGCCAUAGUGUUCGCUAGAGGUUUCUCUCAAAAUAGCAAGUAUUACGGUGGGUGAACAAGUUACUGUCGAGCAAUUGUUAGAACCGCGCAAAGUCAUGACAAUAUCUAAGGCAAUGAUCAUACAUAUAGGCAUCACGUCCGAGACAAGUAGACCGAUACUUUCUGCAUCUACUACUAUUACUCCACACAUCGACCGCUAUCCAGCAUGCAUAUAGUGUAUUGAGUUCAUGACGAACAGAGUAACGCCUUAAGCAAGAUGACAUGAUGUAGAGGGAUAAUCUCAAACCAAUGAUGAAAACCCCAUCUUUUUACCCUUGAUGGCAACAACACGAUACGUGCCUCGCUACCCCUUCUGUCACUGGGUGUGGUCAGCGCACGGUAUGAACCCAAAACCAAGCACUUCUCCCAUUGCAAGAAUCAUAGAUCUAGUUGGCCAGACAAAACCCACAACUCGAAGAGAAUUACAAGGAUAUGAAAUCAUGCAUAAGAGAGAUCAGAAGAAACUCAAAUAAGAUUCAUAGAUAAUAUGAUCAUAAAUCCACAAUUCAUCGGAUCUCGACAAACACACCACAAAAGAAGAUUACAUCGGAUAGAUCUCCGUGAAGAUCAUGGAGAACUUUGUAUUGAAGAUCCAAGAGAGAGAAGAAGCCAUCUAGCUACUAGCUAUGGACCCGUAGGUCUAUGGUGAACUACUCACGCAUCAACGGACAGGUCAUGGUGUUGAUGAAGAAGCCCUCCGUGUCUGAAUCCCCCCUCCGGCAGGGCACCAGAACGUGCCCUAGAUGGGAUCUUGCGGAGACAGAAUCUUGCGGCAGCGGAAAAGUACUUUCGAUGAUCUCCUGAUUUUUUCUGGGAUUUUAAGGAAUAUAUAGGUGCAAAACCUAGGACAGAGGUGGCCCAGGGAGCCCACGAGCUAGGGUGGCGCCCCCCUGGCCGCGCCAUGAGGGCUUGUGGGGUCCCUGCAAGCCCCCUGCCCUGAUUCUCCGGUUCCCGAUCUUUUUAUGUUUCGGAAAAAAUCGUUUUGGCAGUUUUUUUGAUUUGGACUCCGCUCAAAAUCCUCCUCUGAAAGGGGUCAAAAACAUGAAAAACAGGAAUUGGCACUUGGCACUGAGUUAAUAGGUUAGUCCCAAAAAAUAUAUAAAAGGCAUACAAAACAUCCAAAGUUUGACAAGAUUAUAGCAUGAAACCAUCAAAAAUUAUAGAUGCGUUGAAGACGUAUCAAUGACCUUCUCAAAGAACUUGUCUUUGGAAGGGAUUGGUGAAGUCAUGGCAAUCUAAAUGUGUCACAAAAGUAGCUCGAAACUAGAACAGAGGAUAAUUUCACGAUGUGGUGGUCAAAACACAUGGCAAAACUCACAUUUGUUAGUCCACGAAUAUGGUCCCCUUUGAUGAGACUUUUCAAAGAUCUCAUAUUUACAUGAGCUAGCCGGCGAUGCCACAGCCACCCCACAUCAACUUUAGCCAUUAGACAAGUCGCGAUCUUAGUAGGUCGCUCUGAAAAGUUCACCACAUAGAGACCGUUCUCGACAUGUCCAACAAAGGCUACUUUAAGAUUCUUGCUCCACAAAAGGGCCAUGAUACGUCCAUUUUGCAUCAUGCUUUCAUGUCGAUAUUUAUCGCUUUUGGGGCUGUUAUUACACUUCAAGGUACAAUACUUAUGCCUUUUAUCUCUUAUUUUGCAAGGUUUACAUGAAGAGGGAGAAUGCCGGUAGCUGGAAUUCUGGCCUGAAAAAGGAGCAAGUUUGAGAUACCUAUUCUGCGCAACUCCAUGCCCUGGCGGUGCCUCCGAGACAGUGAGAAGCAUAAAGGACCUUCUCAUGAUCGCCGGUGCACUUGACCAGUGCAAGGAGGUCUUCAAUGGUGCGAAUCCAGUCAUCGGCGUCCAGGGGUUCAGUCGACUCCGUGAAUAUGGGGGGUGUAGUCCGCAUGAACUCAGAAAGAGUAGAGCGACCACCGCCAUACUCAUUCCGAGGCGGGUUGUCCACCAGGACUUGAGUCAGCUGCUGGAUAGCGGCAUUGCUAGCUUGACGCUCCUCCCAAAGAGCUUGAAGGAACUGAACCAUCGUCAAGUUCUCAGGAGGAGGUGGUGGCGGAAGGUCUCUAGGCUGCUCGUGGUGACCUCCGGUGUGAGCUUCUCCUUCGGUUCCCUGCGGCGUCCCUGAGGAGCCGGCGCCGGGGUUGCUGAAGGUGCUGUUGCGGGUUGCGUUCACCAUCCUGUCAUAGAAACUGACAGGUCAAAAUGCCACCUUGCUCAGGAAUACAAGGAUUCGCUCCUAGUAAGAGGGGGUCCAAUACGUGCAUGUGCUAAGUCUUUAAAACCAAAGUUUUUGACAAACUGGAAAUUGCAUUCAUGACAACUAGGUGACGUAGUCACUUACAGGCUGCCUAAGGCAAUAGGUGACUUGCAUCAAGCACACAUACGCAAAUUAAAAACGGAUACAUGGAUACCCUAUACUCGGGGUACUCCGAAUUGCCUACGCUAAAACCUACGCGGCGGACUGCUCGGUCUCAAAGGCGGACUCAACAGGAUCCUCAUCUUCAUCAACAUCCUCUUCCUUUAUAGGAGUGGAAGAAAGAAUCCGCACAUCUCGGCAUCUCUUGGGCGAGGCGGCGAAGAUCUCAGUAUACUCUUCCGUUGUCAGGCGGCGACUCCGAAGAGGGACUGCCUGGAUGGGUAACACACCACCCCUACUGGCAACGGCUGCCCUCCCUUCAGGUGCGCCUGCCUUCUUUACCUUGCGGUUCUGCAUCUUCUCAAUGUGGAGCAGGCCUUUGACUAGGUGCAGCUCUUGGCGAAGCUUGACUGAUUCCUUAACCAGGAAGUGUGUCAGGGUGUCUAACGAGAGACUGAAGUAGGUCCGAAACCUUAGUGGCAUCCCAUCCUCCGUGGCUGGGGUGAGUGUCCAACUCCCAUCCACUCCUUCCUUAAUGAAAGGUAGAUGACGAGUGACAGGCUCAUUAGCCAUCUCAGGGAGGAUGCUGUGGUGUUGCACGAGCGCCUCUCGUGCAGCCGUCUCCACUUCCAACAUCAGCUCUCCCAUCUGCGGUCCUUCGAAGAACCAACUAGACGGGGAGUCAUUAGCCUUCACUAUCACGUCCACGUGAUAUUCCUUGGUGUCUGCGUUGACCCAGUGCUCGUGGUAGAGUAAGAUGGGCAUGCGUCGUACGUGGCACUUCUCGAGACAAUCCACCAGAAGUAGUGGAAAGUUGGUCUCCAGAAGCGUCUCAGGUACGGCAGCCAUCUACAAGGCAUAGGAGAGAAGUCAGGAGGUUGUAUGUGCAAGAGUCUUGUGCAAGGUUGGCGUUCUAACGUUCUCGGUUAACGUCCAUGCUAUCUAAGGCUUCCUAUAGUCAGGAUGGCUCUGAUACCAGUUCUGUGGGGACCCCGACUAGCAAGUCGAGUUUGCCGUGCCCCGUGACCCCAAGGAUCAAUGUUCACUGAACACAGAUACUGAAUAAUAGAGUCUUACAUCCAAGUAACGAAUUAUUACAUCAAACGACCAGAAGGUCGGGUUCAAGAGCAAGGCCUAAAGCCAAAUUAAACGGAUACAUCGAGUAGCAGAAACUCGUAAGGGCUAAGCGGUGCCCAUGCCAUCAAGCCUACACUGACAGGCAUUCUGACUUGGAAGCGUCCUAGAUCGCGGGUUCGUCUCCGACGGCGUACUCAUCGCCAAACUCCGGUCCUUCCAUUUCUGGUCAAUAACAUAACAAGUGGCAAGCCAAUGAGUACUUUGAAUGUACUCGCAAACAGCCCAUGAUAUAUAUAUGGUAAGGAAUAACAGUAAUAGUUAUCUUUAGUGGAAUGCAAUGUGGUGGUAUGAUCAGGUAUGUGCAACAAGUUAAAGAAUUACUUUUGAAGAACAGGUUACUGAUAUUGACAUUUCUGUCAAGGGUUGAACACACCGGGUUCACCCUGUAUGCCAAGUCAUCGGACUUGUCGUAUCUCAAGGUAUUAAUGAGGGCUAAACCAUCCGGGUUUACCCUAUAUGUCAAGUCACCGAACUUGAUCAUAUUAUUGUGAUUAUCAUAACAGCACCUUUUUAACACCACACACACACACUUGGUUUAUGCGGAAACUCAGGACGUAGUUUAAGCAACACCACCCAACUGUCCUUGACCGUGGACACGGCUAUUCGAAUAGUUUACACUCUGUAGAGGUAGUACGCUGUACCCACGAGAAACGGGAAACUUCCGUGUCAUCCACGACCCACGGUAUAUCACAUAUACCCGAGGUAAGUACCCGAUCAUCAUCUUUCCCCUAACGAUACUAGACAAAGAGGUCCACUCGAUUGGUACCCAGCCCACAUGUUGUACGUCUUAUGAGCACCGACUCUGAACCGUAACAACCAUGCUGGGACCAACGGUGUGCCUGGAACUCAUAAUAAUGCCAUAGUCAUCCUACCUGGCACGACCCCAUCACGAGAGUCACACCGAUCACUCCCGCCACUAGUAAUGUGGCUCUUUGCUAGUACCGACCAGAGUAAUCAACAAAGCCCCGUCCCAUAAAGGGGUAUCAUGGUCGUACUGGUAAGGUUGGGACGGUCGACACAUCAUAAAUCUAAUCCUUUUCCGAAACCAUACUCACACCAAAAUCACCGGUGCAUCACUUCACCAAAAGUGAUCACCAACUCAUCAUCACCCGUGGGCAUUAGUGGCACCCGACGGGGUUUUCAUAAACUCUUUAUUUAACUCAUCAUUAUGCUCAUGAUAAAAUGCUCUAUUAUGACUUGUCAAUAUGGUAUAACAUGACCCUCACGGGGUAGGGUCAAGCUUAAUGCAGUGAUCUUACUCUACUAGUCAACAUGACAGUAGCAUGAUCCUCGUAGAUGGUAGGGUCAGCUCAUCAUGUUUGUGCUCCGAGGAGUCAUGUGAAUAUUAUCAAUGCAAGUGCUUCGAAGAAGCCUUCUGUACCAUCACAUCAAUGAUGAACCGGCAUCGUGAUCACAUGCAACGGAAAAAUACUUGCUAUUCUAGCAUGCAUCAUUUUAUAUACUUAAGUCAUGGCAAAAGGGAUGCUUGCCUUGGUCAGCUAGGUAUCCGGGGUCUUCGAGGUCUUCCGCUCCGGAUCCUCCGUCACUCGGUAACUCUACCGUCGAGAAAGGAAUAAAUAAAUACUAGCUCUCACUAAAACAGAUCACAAAGUGCUUUUAAAAAUGUUGCAAGGCUUGAAUAAAUUCAGGAUAUUAUUUUGAAAAAUGUUUCCUAUUGUUUUAUUAGCUAAGCAUAUUUAUUUAAAAGCAAACAGAAGCAAACAAGUGCUUUUUAAUAUCAUUUUAUUAUAUCAAAACAGUUUCUGUUUUUUGAUAAAUGUCAACUAUUACAGAAUCAAAUACUACUCAUUUUUAGAAAAUUACUGGUGGAAGAAUUAUAUUUUUCUACUGGCUAAAUCUUUUUCUAAAAAUCAUUUAGUUUGCUGGAUUAAAACAAAAGAAAAAGGCCAGGGGGGUUGGAUCCAGUCGGCCCAGCCAGCAGGCCUGGCCACCAGGCGCGCGCGGGCCAGGUUCAAACCUGACCUGCGGGCCCCUGAGGUCAGCGUCAGCGACUGCGCGCGCUGGCUGCCCCAGGACACCGACAGGUGGGCUCCACCUGUCGGGUCCUUCUCCUACCUCCAGCCAGAGAGGUGGAGAUGGACGCCGGCGAGGCUGCCGUUGUCCUCAGGCCUAGCUAGGAACGGGAACGGGUUCCUCGUGCCUCCGCCUACCUUCUCGUGGUCGGGACGUCACCGGAGGUGGUCUGGGUCGCCGGCGACGAGGUGCUCGUGGCGGAAGGGUUUCGGGUUGGUGUUGAACUAGGGGCUAGGGGUAUGGAUUCGCUCGGGAAAGUUAGGGGAAAUGUUUCUGGUGUCAAGGGGAGUGUAAUGAGAGGUCGGGCAGCGCAGGAGCCGACGUGUAGCCGGAGAUCGACCGGAGCUCCGAGGCGGAGGGGGCUCGGUCGAUCUCGAGCACCGGGGCUCUGCGAGCUCGAUUGGGCUGCUAGGGAGUGUCUACUAGUGGUGCUGAAGCUGCUUGGAGGGUGCUGGAGUGCCGGGGGAUCUAUUUAUAGGCCAACGACGGUGACCCGACUCGGGCGCGCCGGUGACUCACCAUGGCACGCGUGCGAGCACAGUGAGGUGCUGGCCGCGAAACCAUGGGUACGGGACGUGGUUUAGGACCUCCUGGUGCAACGGCCGCAGAGGGAAAGCGAGUGGGGACGAGCUGCAGCGACCGUGCAUGCUCGGCCGCGUCGGGUGUGCACGGGCACGCGUCGCCUAAGCUCUUGCGCGAGGGGGAGAGGGUCCCUGGGGUAGCUUUGCACUGAAUGGUUGUCGGGGGAGCGUUUGGACAUAACUGCGGAGCUUGGGACCGGCCGGAGCGUCGGCCCCUUGCGGGUGGCUCUCUGCACCGCGCCCAGAGCGCAGUUUUGGCAUGCCAAGGCAUGCUGGCUCGCUCUGGGGCACUUGGGACGUGUCCUCCAUGUCCUGAGUGUUGCUGGGAGUGAGCCUAGCCGUUGUGGCUUAGUGGGAGCUCGAGUUGGUCAAGGGAGCAAGGAACACUAGUGUUGCCAGUACUGCCCUGCAGCUCAAAUUGGAGUUCUUGUCACUUGUGCUUGGAGUUGGGGAGGGGCUGAUUGACUGGGUGCUUAGGGUGUUCUGGUGCUCUAACCCACCAAGUUUGGGGCCUUGACAUUGGGUAAAACAGUGGCUAGGAGGGUUUUUACCUUCCUGUCAGUAGGUGUUCGACAGUGACUUGGGGUGCUUCCACUCCACCACUGUGAAUGAAACUUAACAGGUUUGGUCUUGUGGUAAAAACAUAGGGUUCCACCAAAUCUGAGCUCCAUUGAACAAGUUUGGCUUUGCAAACUUGAAAAUGUCUCAAAAUGACCAGUACUGUCCUUUACAAAGGAAGUGUGGCCAAACAGAGUCUCACAAAUCUCAUCUUUGGUGUGGAGUCCUCAUUUGGGGUGUUAAACACCUCUGCAAAUUUUCAGCUCCAUUGGAGAAACUUUGCAAUGUAGAGUUGUUCCAACUCUACUCUGGACAGAGAGGGUUUUGGGCUCUUUAGGUGCACUUCCCCACCUUGGAUCAAGGUGAGAUUUUAGGUGAGCACCUAAUAUGGUUUGGGAGGGCUCCUGUAAUUUUAUGGGAUUUUAUUGAGAUAAUUUCCUUUGGAAACAUCUCAAAAAGCUAAAACAGACAGAAAUGGUUUUCAGGGUUUUACUCAAAUAAUAUUAAUAUAAAGUAGGGUUGAAAAUAUUAUAUAUGGAAAAUAUAUGUCCUUCUGAGCUUCCAUGAAUUUACUCAGAUUUUUCUAAGGCAGGAAAGAAAUUUUCCUUGUGGGAAUAUCAUUACUGGCCUUAGAAAUAGACAUAGAUAUAAAAUAGGAAAAUAAUAUUUUAAAUUACCAAUUUAUGUUUUUAAUGAAUGAAAAUAAUAUUUGGAUCAGAUCACCAGCUUUGGUUGGAAGUGCCACUUGGCACCAUGAGCUAGUAGUGUAUCCCAACAUGAUGAAGGUGAUCUUGAUAUAAAGGAGAAAUGGUUUUUGAAGAGAGCAAAAUAAUAAGUUUUCAUAGGUUUGAGUCAUCAAACAACCAAGCACACACUCAAACAAGGGUUCACACUGCACUCUCAACAUUAAUUGAAAAAGUUUUAACAAGCUCUGAUUUUUGCAACACAGAAAACUUGGGGUGAAAAACAGGGUGUAACAGACCUAUCCCUCUUACAAGAAUCUCGUCCCCGAGGUUCCUAAGCUAAGCGUUAAACAGCUCGGGAAAUUUUGAACGGAGAUAGUCUUCACGUUCCCAUGUGGCUUCUGCUUCGGUAUGGUUGCUCCACUGAACCUUGAAAAACUUGAUGGUGCGGCUUCUGGUGCAACGCUCGGCUUCAUCCAAAAUGCGGAUCGGUCUCUUGCGGUAGGUAAGAUCCGGUUGAAGGUCAAUACUUGGUGAUCAAUGUCCUUGUAAAGAUCGGGACGGUUCGGCACUUGCAAACACUUCCGGAGCUGUGACACGUGGAACAUGUCGUGCACACCCGAAAGCUCAGGAGGUAGCUCCAACUGAUAAGGUACUUCCCCGCGCCUUGCCGUGAUCUUGAAGGGUCCAAUGAACCUUGGAGCUAGCUUUCCUUUGACGCGGAAACGCUUGGUCCCCUUGAGAGGCGUGACUCGCAAGUACACCUGGUCUCCGGGAACAAAAUCCACGUUUCUGCGGUGAGGGUCCGCAUAGCUCUUCUACCUUGACUUAGCUGCCUCCAAGUUCUCUCAGACAAGCUGAACCUUGUCCCCUGCUUCCUGAAGUGCCUCUGGUCCGAAAACUAGUCCUUCACCGGUUUCAGACCAAUUGAGCGGGGUGCGGCAUUUCCGCCCAUAUAAUGCUUCGAAUGGGGCCAUCUGCAGACUGGACUCGUAGCUGUUGUUGUAAGAGAACUCAGCAAAGGGUAGGCAGUCUUCCCACUUGGCACCAUGGGCCAAAACACAAGCGCGGAGCAUGUCCUCAAGUAUCUGGUUUACCCUCUCGGUCUGUCCGCCCGUUUGCGGGUGGAAAGCCGUACUAAAGGAGAGUUUGGUUCCGAGAGCUUCUUGAAACUUCGUCCAGAAUCUUGAGGUGAAUUGUGUGCCGCGGUCGGACACGAUCUCCUUGGGAACUCCAUGGAGACUCGCCACUCGGUGAAUAUACAGACUGGUCAGCUGGCUGCCAUCGUAAGUGGUGUUAACGGGGAUGAAAUGGGCCACCUUGGUCAAAUGAUCAACUAUGACCCAAAUGGAGUUACGACCCUUAUUCGACUGGGGCAACCCGGUGAUGAAGUCCAUGCCGACUUUAUCCCACUUCCAUUCCGGCACUUGAAGAGGUUGCAGUAAUCCAGCGGGUCGCUGGUGUUCAGCCUUGACUCGUUGACAUACAUCGCAUUUAGCGACAUAGGAGCCAAUUUCCCUCUUCAUGCCAUGCCACCAGAAUCGUUCUCGGAUGUCUUGGUACAUCUUGGUACCACCUGGAUGGAUAGAGUACGGUGUGUCAUGUGCCUCUUGCAGGAUCAAGUCCUUAAGUUCGGCCUUGUUGGGUACGCAUAAGCGCUUCCCGUACCACAGUACUCCUUGCUCAUCAAUCGAGAAUCCUAGGGCUUUGCCUUCUCGCACCUUCCUAUUGAGGCCUUCGAUACUCUUGUGCCCCUUCUGGGCUUUCCUGAUGUCGUCUGCCGGAGUAGGCUUGAAUUCGAGGUUGGCCAGGUACCCUGGUUCGACUAUCUCAAGUCCUAAGCCCUCCAUCUCUUCACACAAGACGGGUAACCUUUCCUUGAGCAUGAUGUUCAAGAAGCCUGCCUUCCGGCUCAAGGCAUCGGCUACCACGUUCGCCUUGCCGGGAUGGUACUGAAUGCUGAGGUCGUAAUCCUUGAUUAACUCAAGCCAUCUCCGAUGUCUCAUAUUCAGCUCCCUCUGAGUGAAGAUAUAUUUCAGACUCUUGUGGUCUGUAUAUAUCUCGCAUCGCUUUCCCAGAAGGUAAUGCUGCCACGUCUUCAGAGCAUGCACUACAGCUGCUAGCUCGAGAUCAUGGGUGGCGUAGUUCUCCUCAUGCGGUCGCAGUUGCCGUGACAAGUACGCCACGACCCUGCCAUCUUGCAUCAGGACUCCAUCGAGCCUGGUUCCCGAGGCAUCACAAUAUAUCACGAAUUCCUUGUUGAUGUCAGGAGUAGCCAAUACCGGGGCGGUAGUUAGCCUCUUCUUCAACUCCUGGAAGCUUGCUUCACAUGCCGGUGUCCACUCGAACUUCCGGCCUUUCUUCAAGAGUUGAGUCAUAGGUCGAGCGAUGCUGGAGAAUCCUUCGACAAACUUGCGGUAGUACCCCGCGAGUCCGAGGAAACUCCUGACAUCCUUCACGUCCUUUGGUGAUUCCCAGUUGGUCACUGUAGUAAUCUUGGACUGAUCUACGGCCAAACCGCAUGCCGUCAGGGUAUGACCCAGAAAUCCAACUUCGUUCAGCCAGAACUGACACUUGCUGAAUUUGGCAUAAAGCUGGUGCUCUCGAAGCUUUCCUAGAACUAGCCUCAGGUGUUGCUCAUGCUCUUCUUCGGACUUGGAGAAGAUUAGUAUGUCAUCGAUGAACACGACGACAAACUUGUCCAAAUAUUCCAUGAAGACCUUGUUCAUGAGGUACAUGAAGUAGGCUGGGGCAUUUGUCAACCCGAAGGGCAUGACAGUGCAUUCAUAUAGACCGUACCGGGUCACGAAUGCAGUCUUGGGUAUAUCUUCGGGUCGGAUCUUCAACUGGUAGUAUCCUGAUCGAAGAUCGAUCUUGGAAAAUACCCUGGCCCUGUUUAACUGGUCAAAUAGGUCUUCGAUCUUGGGGAGCGGGUACUUGUUUUUAAUUGUGACUUCAUUAAGGGAACGGUAGUCGACGCAAAGUCGAAUGGUACCAUCCUUCUUUGAAACAAAUAGAACAGGUGAUCCCCAAGGUGACGCACUCGGACGGAUGAACCCUUUCCUGAGUUGCUCAUCCAGCUGCUUCUUCAGCUCUGCCAACUCCUCGGAACCCAUCAUGUAAGGCUUUUUAUAAAUAGGCCUCGAUCCGGGCAUGAGCUCAAUGGUGAACUCGAUCUCUCGGUCAGGAGGCACUCCGGGUAGCUCGUCAGGAAAGACACAGACUAUAGGCACUCGAUCAAGCUCUACCUCGGAGAGACUGUUGACUCGAGGUGCGUGAGCCGAUACUGGCUCGGAGACGAACUUGACCUUGACCCCUUGGUUGCUUAUCAUGGUGAUGGCCCUGUUGGCACAGUCCAAAAGACUCUGGUGCUUGGCCAACCAAUCCAUGCCGAGUAUUACUUCUACACCUUGCGAUUUAAGCACAAUGAGGUCUGCCAAGAAACUCGUCCCAUUGAUAACUAUCUCGACCCUUCUACACCCUAGGUUGGUCCUUAAUACUGCUCCCGGGGUUUGGAUUGCCAUCUGCCCACGGAGUAAAGUGGGUUUUAAAUCGCAUUUUACCGCAAACCCUUGAGUAACAAAAGAAUGCGAGGCACCACAAUCAAACAACACUGUUGCUCGAGUUGAGUUGACGAGGAACGUACCCAGAGUGGAGUCCGGGUCUUCAUGUGCUUCUUGUGCAGUGAUGUGAUUGAUCCGGCCCCUACCAUUGAACUGUUGGUUGCGGGGGGCCUGGUUCCUCCCUAGUGCACCUUGACCGGGGUUGGGUGUAUAGGGACGCGGUGCAUCGGGCUUCUUGUUGGGGCACUGCCUGGAAUAGUGCCCAGUCUGACCACAGCCAAAGCAGGUGACUUGCCCCGGAGGGUUGGUCUUGACUCCACCGUGAUUCGGCGGGUUGACUACUGGCUUGGCUUGCUGCUGAGGCUGAUUAUUCUGGCGAAACACCGGAUACUUGUACUGCUGUUGCUGAAAGUUGGGUCUUGCAGGUGCUGACUGCCAUGGUCUUGGUCUUGCGUUACCGGGUCCUCCACUGCCUAACAGUUUGCGCUUGCCGGUGUCGUCCAUUGCACGACGCUUGUCUUCCAGCAUAAGCGCCUUGUUAACCAGCUCGCUGAAAGUCUGGCAGUCGCAAACCACCAGCUGGUAUUGCAGGGACUGCUAUAACCCUUCCAUGAAGCGUUCCACCUUAGCGGCCUCAGUGUUAACAUCUUCAGGCGCGUGCCUCGACAAGAGGUUAAACUUCUGCAGGUACUCCUUAACAGUUCCACUGCCCUGCCUCAAGGCUCGGAAUUCCCGCUUCUUAAUGGUCAUCAGUCCAGGUGGAAUGUGAGCCACGCGAAAUCCUUCCUUGAACAUCUCCCACGUGAUGACUUGCCCUGCCCGCAUGAUCUGGAAUCCAUCCCACCAUGCCCUGGCGGUGCCUCCGAGACAGUGAGAAGCAUAAAGGACCUUCUCAUGAUCAUCGGUGCACUUGACCAGCGCAAGGAGGUCUUCAAUAGUGCGAAUCCAGUCAUCGGCGUCCAGGGGUUCAGUCGACUCCGUGAAUAUGGGGGGCGUAGUCCGCUUGAACUCAGAAAGAGUAGAGCGACCACCGCCAUACUCAUUCCGCGGCGGGUUGUCCACCAGGACUUGAGUCAGCUGCUGGAUAGCGGCAUUGCUGGCUUGACGCUCCUCCCGAAGAGCUUGAAGGAACUGAGCCAUCGUCAAGUUCUCAGGAGGAGGUGGUGGCGGAAGGUCUCUAGGCUGCUCGUGGUGACCUUCGGUGUGAGCUUCUCCUUCGGUUCCCUGCGGCGUCCCUGAGGAGCCGGCGCCGGGGUUGCCGAAGGUGCUGUUGCGGGUUGCGUUCACCAUCCUGUCAUAGAAACUGACAGGUCAAAAUGCCACCUUGCUCGGGAAUACAAGGAUUCGCUCCUAGUAAGAGGGGGUCCAAUACGUGCAUGUGCUAAGUCUUUAAAACCAAAGUUUUUGACAAACUGGAAAUUGCAUUCAUGACAACUAGGUGACGUAGUCACUUACAGGCUGCCUAAGGCAAUAGGUGACAUGCAUCAAGCACACAUACGCAAAUUAAAAAUGGAUACAUGGAUACCCUAUACCCGGGGUACUCCGAAUUGCCUACGCUAAAACCUACGCGGCGGACUGCUCGGUCUCAAAGGCGGACUCAACAGGAUCCUCAUCUUCAUCAACAUCCUCUUCCUUUAUAGGAGUGGAAGAAAGAAUCCGCACAUCUCGGCAUCUCUUGGGCGAGGCGGCGAAGAUCUCAGUAUACUCUUCCGCUGUCAGGCGGCGACUCCGAAGAGGGACUGCCUGGAUGGGUAACACACCACCCCUAGUGGCAACAGCUGCCCUCCCUUUAGUUGCGCCUGCCUUCUUUACCUUGCGGUUCUGCAUCUUCUCAGUGUGGAGCAGGCCUUUGACUAGGUGCAGCUCUUGGCGAAGCUUGACUGAUUCCUUAACUAGGAAGUGUGUUAGGGUGUCUGACGAGAGACUGAAGUAGGUCUGAAACCUUAGUGGCAUCCCAUCCUCCGUGGCUGGGGUGAGUGUGCAACUCCCAUCCACUCCUUCCUUAAUGAAAGGUAGAUGACGAGUGACAGGCUCAUUAGCCAUCUCAGGGAGGAUGCUGCGGAGUUGCAUGAGCGCCUCUCGUGCAGCCGUCUCCACUGCCAACAUUAGCUCUCCCAUCUGCAGUCCUUCGAAGAACCAACUAGACGGGGAGUCAUUAGCCUUCACUAUCACGUCCACGUGAUAUUCCUUGGUGUAUGCGUUGACCCAGUGCUCGUGGUAGAGGAAGAUGGGCGUGCGUCGUACGUGGCACUUCUCGAGACAAUCCACCAGAAGUAGUGGAAAGCCGGUCUCCAAAAGCGUCUCAGGUACGGCAUCCAUCUACAAGGCAUAGGAGAGAAGUCAGGAGGUUGUAUGUGCAAGAGUCUUGUGCAAGGUUGGCGUUCUAACAUUCUCGGUUAACGUCCAUGCUAUCUAAGGCUUCCUAUAGUCAGGAUGGCUCUGAUACCAGUUCUGUGGGGACCCCGACUAGCAAGUCGAGUUCGCCGUGCCCAGUGACCCCAAGGAUCAAUGUUCACUGAACACACAUACUGAAUAAUAGAGUCUUACAUCCAAGUACUGAAUUAUUACAUCAAACGACCACAAGGUCGCGUUCAAGAGCAAGGCCUAAAGCCAAAUUAAACGGAUACAUCGAGUAGCGGAAACUCGUAAGGGCUAAGCGGUGCCCAUGCCAUCAAGCCUACUCCGACAAGCAUUCUGACAUGGAAGCGUCCUAGAUCGCAAGUUCGUCUCCGACGACAUACUCAUCGCCAAACUCCGGUCCUUCCAUGUCUGGUCAAUAACAUAACCAGUGGCAAGCCAAUGAGUACUUUGAAUGUACUCGCAAACAGACCAUGAUAUAUAUAUGGUAAGCAAUAACAGUAACAGUUAUCUUUAGUGGAAUGCAAUGUGGUGGUAUGAUCAGGUAUGUGCAACAAGUUAAAGAAUUACUUUUGAAGAACAGGUUACUGAUAUUGACAUUUCUGUCAAGGGUUGAACACACCGGGUUCACCCUGUAUGCCAAGUCAUCGGACUUGUCGUAUCUCAAGGUAUUAAUGAGGGCUAAGCCAUCCGGGUUUACCCUAUAUGUCAAGUCAGCGAACUUGAUCAUAUUAUUGUGAUUAUCAUAACAACACCUUUUUAACACCACACACACACACUUGGUUUAUGCGGAAACUCAGGACGUAGUUUAAGCAGCACCACCCAACUGUCCUUGACCAUGGACACGGUUAUUCGAAUAGUUUACACUCUCCAGAGGUAGUACGCUAUACCCACGAGAAACGGGAAACUUCCGUGUCAUCCACGACCCGCGGUAUAUCACAUAUACCCGAGGUAAGUACCCGAUCAUCAUCUUUCCCUGACGAUACUAGACAAAGAGGUCCACUCGAUUGGUACCCAGCCCACAUGUUGUACGUCUUACGAGCACCAACUCUGAACCGUAACAACCAUGCUGGGACCAACGGUGUGCCUGGAACUCAUAAUAAUGGCAUAGUCGUCCUACCUGGCACGACCCCAUCACGAGAGUGACACCGAUCACUCCCGCCACUAGUAAUGUGGCUCUUUGCUAGUACCGACCAGAGUAAUCAACAAAGCCCCGUCCCAUAAAGGGGUAUCGUGGUCGUACUCGUAAGGUUGGGACGGUCGACACAUCAUAAAUCUAAUCCUUUUCCGAAACCAUACUCACACCAAAAUUACCGGUGCAUCACUUCACCAAAAGUGAUCACCAACUCAUCAUCACCCUCGGGCAUUAGUGGAACCCGACGGGGUUUUCAUAAACUCUUUAUUUAACUCAUCAUUAUGCUCAUGAUAAAAUGCUCUAUUAUGAUUUGUCAACAUGGUAUAACAUGACCCUCACGGGGUAGGGUCAAGCUUAAUGCAGUGAUCUUACUCUACUAGUCAACAUGACAGUAGCAUGAUCCUCGUAGAUGGUAGGGUCAGCUCAUCAUGUUUGUGCUCCGAGGAGCCAUGUGAAUAUUAUCAAUGCAAGUGCUUCGAAGAAGCCUUCGGUACCAUCACAUCAAUGAUGAACCGGCAUCGUGAUCACAUGCAACGGAAAAAUACUUGCUAUUCUAGCAUGCAUCAUUUUAUAUACUUAAGUCAUGGCAAAAGGGAUGCUUGCCUUGGUCAGCUAGGUAUCCGGGGUCUUCAAGGUCUUCCGCUCCGGAUCCUCCGUCACUCGGUAACUCUACCGUCGAGAAAGGAAUAAAUAAAUACUAGCUCUCACUAAAACAGAUCACAAAGUGCUUUUAAAAAUGUUGCAAGGCUUGAAUAAAUUCAGGAUAUUAUUUUGAAAAAUGUUUCCUAUUGUUUUAUUAGCUAAGCAUAUUUAUUUAAAAGCAAAGAGAAGCAAACAAGUGCUUUUUAAUAUCAUUUUAUUAUGUCAAAACAGUUUCUGUUUUUGAUAAAUGUCAACUAUUACAGAAUCAAAUACUACUCAUUUUUAGAAAAUUACUGGUGGAAGAAUUAUAUUUUUCUACUAGCUAAAUCUUUUUAUAAAAAUCAUUUAGUUUGCUGGAUUAAAACAAAAGAAAAAGGCUAGGGGGGUUGGAUCCAGUCGGCCCAGCCAGCAGGCCUGGCCACCAGGCGCGCGCGGGCCAGGUUCAAACCUGACAUGCGGGCCCCUGGGGUCAGCGUGAGCGGCUGCGCGCGCUGGCUGCCCCAGGACACCGACAGGUGGGCUCCACCUGUCGGGUCCUUCUCCUACCUCCAGCCAGAGAGGUGGAGAUGGACGCCGACGAGGCUGCCGUUGUCCUCAGGCCUAGCUAGGAACGGGAACGGGUUGCUCGUGCCUCCGCCUACCUGCUCGUGGUCGGGACGUCACCGGAGGUGGUCUGGGUCGCCGGCGACGAGGUGCUCGUGGCGGAAGGGUUUCGGGUUGGUGUUGAACUAGGGGCUAGGGGUAUGGAUUCGCUCGGGAAAGUUAGGGGAAACGUUACUGGUGUCAAGGGGAGUGUAAUGAGAGGUCGGGCAGCGCAGAAGCCGACGUGUAGCCGGAGAUCGACCGGAGCUCCGAGGCGGAGGGGCCUCGGUCGAUCUCGAGCACCGGGGCUCUGCGAGCUCGAUUGGGCGGCUAGGGAGUGUCUACUGGUUGUGCUGAAGCUGCUUGGAGGGUGCUGGAUUGCCGGGUGGACCUAUUUAUAGGCCAACGACGGUGACCCGACUCGGGCAUGUCGGUGACUCACCGUGGCACGCGUGCGAGCACAGUGAGGUGCUGGUCGCGAAACCAUUGGUUCGGGGCGUGGUUUAGGACCUCCUGGUGCAACGGCCGCAGAGGGAAAGCGAGUGGGGACGAGCUGCAGCGACCGUGCAUGCUCGGCCGCGUCGGGCGCGCACGAGCACACGUCGCCUGAGCUAUUGCGCGAGGGGGAGAGGGUCCCUGAGGUAGCUUUGCACUGAGUGGUUGUCAGGGGAGCGUUUGGACAUAACUGGGGAGCUUGGGACCGGCCGGAGCGUCGGCCCCUUGCGGGUGGCUCUCUGCACCGCGCCCAGAGCGCAGUUUUGGCAUGCCAAGGCAUGCUGGCUCGCUCUGGGGCACUUGGGACGUGUCCUCCAUGUCCUGAGUGUUGCUGGGAGUGAGCCUAGCCGUUGUGGCUUAGUGGGAGCUCGAGUUGGUCAAGGGAGCAAGGAACACUAGUGUUGCCAGUACUGCCCUGCAGCUCAAAUUGGAGUUCUUGUCACUUGUGCUUGGAGUUGGGGAGGGGCUGAUUGACUGGGUGCUUAGGGUGUUCUGGUGCUCUAACCCACCAAGUUUGGGGCCUUGACAUUGGGUAAAACAGUGGCUAGGAGGGUUUUUACCUUCCUGUCAGUAGGUGUUCGACAGUGACUUGGGGUGCUUCCACUCCACCACUGUGAAUGAAACUUAACAGGUUUGGUCUUGUGGUAAAAACAUGGGGUUCCACCAAAUCUGAGCUCCAUUGAACAAGUUUGGCUUUGCAAACUUGAAAAUGUCUCAAAAUGACCAGUAGUGUCCUUUACAAAGGAAGUGUGGCCAAACAGAGUCUCACAAAUCUCAUCUUUGGUGUGGAGUCCUCAUUUGGGGUGUUAAACACAUGUGCAAAUUUUCAGCUCCAUUGGAGAAACUUUGCAAUGUAGAGUUGUUCCAACUCUACUCUGGACAGAGAGGGUUUUGGGCUCUUUAGGUGCACUUCCCCACCUUGGAUCAAGGUGAGAUUUUAGGUGAGCACCUAAUAUGGUUUGGGAGGGCUCCUGUAAUUCUAUGGGAUUUUAUUGAGAUAAUUUCCUUUGGAAACAUCUCAAAAAGCUAAAACAGACAGAAAUGGUUUUCAGGGUUUUACUCAAAUAAUAUUAAUAUAAAGUAGGGUUGAAAAUCUUAUAUAUGGAAAAUAUAUGUCCUUUUGAGCUUCCAUGAAUUUACUCAGAUUUUUCUAAGGCAGGAAAGAAAUUUUCCUUGUGGGAAUAUCAUUACUGGCCUUAGAAAUAGACAUAGAUAUAAAAUAGGAAAAUAAUAUUUUAAAUUACCAAUUUAUGUUUUUAAUGAAUGAAAAUAAUAUUUGGAUCAGAUCACCAGCUUUGGUUGGAAGUGCCACUUGGCACCAUGAGCUAGUAGUGUAUCCCAACAUGAUGAAGGUGAUCUUGAUAUAAAGGAGAAAUGGUUUUUGAAGAGAGCAAAAUAAUAAGUUUUCAUAGGUUUGAGUCAUCAAACAACCAAGCACACACUCAAACAAGGGUUCACACUGCACUCACAACAUUAAUUGAAAAAGUUUUAACAAGCUCUGAUUUUUGCAACACAGAAAACUUGGGGUGAAAAACAGGGUCUGACAGUGACAGAGAAAGCAUUGCUCAAGCUUGGGGGAGGCUUAAAUCAAUGUUAUAUUCAUGCCCCAACCAUGAGCUCUCGAGAGAAAUUAUCAGUCAGAACUUCUAUGCUCGGCUUUCUCAUGAUGAUCGCACCAUGCUUGAUACUUCUUGUACCGGUUCUUUCAUGAAGAGAGAUAUUGACUUCAGAUGGAAUUUAUUGGAAAGAAUUAAACGCAACUCUGAAGAUUGGGAGCUUGAUGAAGGUAAGGAGUCACGUAUGAAUUUCAAGUUUGAUUGCGUUAAAUCCUUUGUUGAAACAAAUACCUUUUUGUGAUUUUAGCGCUAAGUAUGGACUUGACUCUGAGAUAGUAGCUUCAUUGUGUGAAUCAUUUGCUGCUCAUAUUGACCUCCCCAAAGAGAAGGGGUUUAAAUAUCAUCCUCCCUUAGAAGUAAAUGUAGUUAAACCCAAUCCAGUUGAAGAGAAAGUCAUUGCCUAUAAUGAUCCUAUUGUUCCCAGUGCUUACAUUGAGAAACCACCUUUCCCUGUUAGGAUAAAGGAUCAUUCUAAAGCUUCACCUGUGAUACGUAGGGGCUACAUUAGAACACCUACACCCCCUGAGCAAAUUAGAGUUGAACCUAGCAUUGCUAUUAUCAAAGAUCUCCUGUCUGACAAUGUUGAUGGCCAUGAUAUUCACUUCUGUGAAGAUGCUGCUAGAAUUGCUAAACCACAGGCUAGAGACAAACACAAGCCUGUUGUUUCUGUUAAGAUAGGAGAUCAUUGUUUUCAUGGUUUAUGUGAUGUGGGUGCUAGUGUUAGUGCAAUACCUCAAUCCUUAUAUGAUGAAAUUAAAGACGAGAUUGCACCUAUUGAGAUAGAGCCUAUCGAUGUCACUAUUCAGCUUGCCAAUAGAGAUACUAUCUGCCCUGUGGGAAUUGUUAGGGAUGUUGAAGUCUUGUGUGGUAAAACGAAGUAUCCUGCUAAUUUCCUCGUUCUUGCUACCACCCAAGAUAGCUUUUGUCCCAUCAUAUUUGGCAGACCCUUUCUCAAUAUUGUCAAUGCUCAUAUUGACUGUGAGAAGUAAACUAUCACUGUUGGCUUUGAAGGUGUGUCACACGAGUUCAAUUUCUCCAAGUUUGGUAGACAACCUCAUGAAAAAGAGUUGCCUAGUAGGGAUGAAACUAUUGCCCUAGCUUCUAUUGUCGUGUCUCCUACUGAUCCUUUAGAGCAAUACUUGCUUGAGCUUGAAAAUGAUAUGCAUAUGGAUGAAAGGGAUGAGAUAGAUAGAAUUGUCUUAGAACAAUAUCAUAUCCUUAAGAAUAAUUUGCCUGUUGAACUGCUUGGGGAUCCACCCCCACCAAAGGGUGAUCCUGUGUUCGAGCUUAAACAGUUGCCCGAUACUCUUAAGUAUGCUUAUCUUGAUAAAAAAGAGAUAUAUCCUGUUAUUAUUAGUGCUAGCCUCUCAGAGCAUGAAGAAAAGAAGUUACUAAAAACUCUGACAAAGCACUGUGCUGCUAUUGGAUAUACUCUUGAUGAUCUUAAGGGCAUUAGUCCCACUCUAUGCCAGCACAAGAUUAAAACUGAUCCUGAUUCCAAGCCAGUUGCUGAUCAUCAACAGAGAUUAAAUCCUAAGAUGAAAGUGGUAGUAAGAAAAGAAAUACUAAAGCUCCUGGAAGCAGGUAUUAUCUAUCUUGUUGCUCAUAGUGAUUGGGUGAGUCCGGUGCAUUGCGUCCCUAAGAAGGGAGGUAUUACCGUUGUCCCUAAUGAUAAGGAUGAAUUGAUCCCACAGAGGAUUAUUACUGGCUAUAGGAUGGUGAUCGAUUUUAGGAAAUUGAACAAAGCCACUAGGAAAGAUCAUUACCCUUUGCCUUUUAACGACCAAAUGCUAGGAAGACUGUCUAAACACACACACUUCUGCUUUCUAGAUGGUUAUUCUGGUUUCUCCCAAAUACCUGUUGCACAAUUUGAUCAGGAGAAAACCACUUUCACCUGCCCUUUCGGUACCUUUGCUUACGGACGUAUGCCUUUUGGCUUAUGUAAUGCACCUGCCACCUUUUAAAGAUGUAUGAUGGCUAUAUUCUCUGACUUCUGUGAAAAGAUUGUUGAGGUUUUCAUGGAUGACUUCUCCAUCUACGGGUCUUCUUUUGAUGAUUGCCUCAGCAACCUUGAUCGGGUCUAGCAGAGAUGUAAAGACACCAAUCUUGCCUUGAAUUGGGAGAAGUGCCACUUUAUGGUUAAUGAAGGCAUCGUCUUAGGACAUAAAAUUUCUGAAAGAGGUAUUGAAGUCGAUAAGGCUAAGGUUGAUGCAAUCGAGAAAAUGCCAUACCUAACAGAUAUGAAAGGUAUAAGAAGUUUCCUUGGUCAUGCUAGUUUCUGUAGAAGGUUCAUUAAAGACUUCUCUAAGAUUUGUAGGCCUCUUACCAAUCUCUUGCAGAAGUAUAUUCCUUUUGUCUUUGACGAUGAUUGUGAGGAAGCCUUCGAAAUACUUAAGAAGGCCAUGAUAACUACACCUAUUGUUCAACCACCUGAUUGGAACUUACCUUUUGAAAACAUGUGUGAUGCUAGUGAUUAUGAUGUUGGUGCUUUCCUAGGGCAAAGAGUUGAUAAGAAGUUGAAUGUUAUUCACUAUGCUAGUAAAACUCUAGACAGUGCCCAAAUAAACUAUGCUACUACGGAAAAGGAAUUUUUAGCAGUCGUGUUUGCAUGUGAAAAGUUCAGGUCUUACAUAGUUGAUUCCAAAGUCACUAUUCACACUGAUCACACUGCUAUUAAGUACCUCAUGGAGAAGAAAGAUGAUAAACCUAGACUUAUUAGAUGGGUUCUCUUGAUACAAGAAUUUGAUUUGCAUGUUGUCGACAGAAAGGGUGUUGAUAACCCAGUAGCAAAUAACUUGUCUAGGUUGGAGAAUGUUCUUGAUGACCCACAACCUAUUGAUGAUAGCUUUCCUGGUGAGCAAUUGAAUGUCAUCAAUACUUCACGUAGUGCACCUUGGUAUGCUGAUUAUGCAAACUAUAUUGUUGCCAAAUAUAUACCACCUAGUUUCACAUACCAGCAAAAGAAGAAGAUCUUCUUUGACUUGAGACAUUACUUCUGGGAUGAUCCUCACCUUUAUAAGGAAGGAGUUGAUGGUGUUAUUAGACAUUGUGUACCUAAACAUGAACAGGGACAGAUCCUACUGAAGUGUCACUCCGACGCCUACGGAGGACACCAUGCGGGAGAUAGAACUACACACAAGGUAUUGCAAUCAGGUUUCUAUUGGCCCACUCUCUUCAAGGAUGCCCGUAAGUUUGUCCUCUCUUGUGACGAAUGUCAAAGAAUAGGUAAUAUCGGUAAACGUCAGGAAAUGCAUCUGAACUAUUCACUUGUCAUUGAACCAUUUGAUGUUUGGGGCUUUGAUUAUAUGGGACCUUUUCCAAAAUCCAACGGGUAUACUCACAUCCUAGUUAAUGUUGAUUACAUGACUAAGUGGGUGGAAGCUAUCCCCACUAGUAGUGUUGAUCACAACACCUCUAUCAGGAUGCUUAAAGAAGUUAUUUUCCCUGGAUUUGGAGUCCCUAGAUAUCUAGUGACCGACGGUGUUUCACAUUUCAUUCAUGGUGCUUUCCGUAAAACGCUUGCUAAGUACGAUGUCAACCAUAGAAUUGCAUCUCCCUAUCACCCUCAGUCCAGUGGUCAAGUAGAGCUAAGCAAUAGAGAGAUUAAACUAAUUCUGCAAAAUACUGUCAACAGGUCUAGAAAGAAUUGGUCUAAGAAGCUCGAUGAUGCACUGUGGGCUUAUAGAACUGCCCAUAAGAAUCCCAUGGGCAUGUCUCGGUAGAAAAUGGUGUACGGUAAAGCAUGUCAUUUACCUCUUGAGCUAGAGCAUAAAGCUUAUUGGGCAAUCAAAGAGCUCAACUUUGAUUUCAAACUUGCUGGUGAGAAGAGGUUAUUUGAUAUUAGCUCGCUCGAUGAAUGGAGAACUCAGGCAUAUGAGAAUGCCAAGUUGUUCAAAGAAAAGGUUAAGAGGUGGCAUGAUAAAAGGAUACAAAAGCGUGAGUUCAAUGUAGGUGAUUAUGUCUUGCUGUAUAUUUAUCGUUUAAGAUUUUUUGCAGGCAAGCUUCUCUCUAAAUGGGAAGGUCCCUAUAUUGUUGAGGAAGUAUAUCGUUCCGGUGCUAUCAAGAUCAACAACACGCAAGGUAAUUUUUCGAGAGUGGUAAAUGGGCAGAGAAUCAAGCAUUAUAUCUCAGGUACUCCCAUAAAUGUUGAAAGCAAUAUUAUCAAUACCAUAACUCUGGAAGAAUACCUAAGGGAUAUUUAUCAGCCUAUUUCAGACUCCGAAAACGAAGAGGUAUGUGAUUCGGUAAGUAAACAGACUCCAAAACUUUUCCAGUAGGAAUUUUUCUCCGUUUUGGAAUUUUUGAAAAAUAGAAAAUUUUGAAGUAGUCCGGAAAGCGCACGAGGAGGCGACAAGCCUGCCAGGCACGGGCCACCCCCUGGCCGAGCCUGGGGGGCUUGUGGCCACCUCGUGUGCCUCCCGGACUCUGUUUUCUUGUGGAGUACUCCUUUAGGUCGGAAAAAAAAUCAUUAUAUAUUCUCCCAAAAGGUCUGACCUUCGUAUCAUGCAAAUUUCCUCUGUUUUUGUUUCGACCUUGUUUUCUGCCGCAGAUUUAGAGCAAGAGGUCGUCUGAGGAAUCUGUGGGGGAGAACAAUCUCCCUCAAGUCUAUGGAGAAGUAAAUGCUGAUCUGAAAAGAAUGGAGGUCAUGGAGGCUAGGGAAAGGCUACCUAAAGAAACCAAGGGGAAAACUAAGGAGAAGAAUCAGGCGUGGGACAAAGUACAAUCUGUGUUCAACAAGGAAGAAGUUGAAGAAGUGGAUUUCCUCCAACCCUACCUCCACCUACUGUCUCCAUCCUUGAUUGAACUCUUGAGGUUUUGUAAAACAACUCGUGCUCGCAAUACUUAUCUCACUCGUGAAGUUGUUGUGCUGGAGAAACAUAUCACAGAUCUCCAAGGUAUAAAUCAAAGAUUGAUGGCCCUCUUGGAAUCAAAGGACAAAACGACUCCAUCACCAUCACCUCCAAAGGAAGACAACUGAGCAUGGGUAUGGGCAAUCCCCUUGGCUUGUGCCAAGCUUGGGGGAGUUGCCCCGGUAUAGUAUCACCAUCACAUCUUUUGCAUUUACCUUUGUUUUAGUUUGUUCCUUUUCAAUUUUCUCUUUCUCUAGUAGAUUAAAGGUCUUAGUGUUUUAGGCUUGAGUUUUGCUUUGUGUCACCCCCGAUAUAUUCGAGCUCAUGAUCCAUAUAACAAAGAGUGUCUUAGUUAACGGCCUUGCUUCAUGCCAUGAUCAAGAGAUUGAGAAAAGAACAAAGGCAUGAAAGAUCAUGCAAUGAUCUUAUGGGAAGUGAUAGCUUCACGUAUAAAAAGAAUGUUGAUUGAAACUUGUUGAGGGUAGACAAACGUAGACCUUGGUCACUGUUGCAAUCAAUAGGAAGUGAUAAAGAAGGAUAGAUUCACAUAUAAAUAUAUCAUCUUGGACACCAUCUAUGAUUGUGAACACUCACUACACUAUUGCAUGCUUAGAAGUAGAUGUUGGACAAGGAAGACAACAUAAUGAAUUGUGUUUGCUUGGUUCCUAACAAUGUUAUAUGACUAGAGAUCCCUUAGCAUGUGAUGAUUGCUUCCACCUCAUAUUAGCCAAAACUCCCGCACCAAGUAGAGAUACUACUUGUGCAUACAUAAACCUUCAACCUAGUUUUGCAAUGAGAGUCCACCAUUCCUACCUAUGAAUUGAAUAAGAUCCCUCAAGUAAGUUGUCAUCGAUGCAAGCAAUAAAAAUUGCUCCCUAAUAUGUGUGAUCUAUUAGUGUGUGGAAAAUAAGCUUUGUAUGAACCUGUGAUGAGGAAGACAUAAAAGCAACAGACUGCAUAAUAAAGUUCUUUAUCACAGGAGGCAAUAUAAAGUGACGUUCCUACGCACUAAGAGGACACACAUCCAAACCUCAAAAGCGCAUGACAACCUCUGCUUCGCUCUGCGAAGGGCCUAUCUUGUACCUUUACUUUUUUCCCUUGAAAGAGUCAUGGUGAUCUUCACCAAUUCCUUAUUUCACCUUUAUCUUGGCUAACGUCAUAUGCUAGGGAAAGAUCUAUAUUCAUAAGUCAACUUGGAAGUAAGUCUUCAUGGAUUAUUAUUGUUGACAUUACCCUUGAGGUAAAUGGUUGGGAGGCGAAACUAUAAGCCCCUAUCUUUCUCUGUGUACAGCUGCAACUUUGAUCUCAUGACUACCACGUGAGUUGUAGCAAUUGUAGAAGACAAAAGGAUGUUUGAGUAUGUGGAUUUGCUUCACAAGCUCUUACUUGACUCUUUCUGAUGUUGUGAUAAAUUGCAAUUACUUCAAUGACUAAAGGCUAUCGGUUGUUAAUUCUCGGUAAGGUUCUUGAUCCAUACUUUACUUUGUGAAGGAAUUGUCCCUUUAGCAUAAGAGUUGAUAUGAUGGUAUUGUUGUUCUGAUCAUGAUCAUGAUGCCUGCAUGUUCGUAUCUUGUUUUGUCGACACCUCUCUCUCUAAACAUGUGGGCAUAUUUAUUGAUCUCGGCUUUUGUUUGAGGACAAGCGAGGUCUAAGCUUGGGGGAGUUGAUACGUCCAUUUUGCAUCAUGCUUUCAUGUUGAUAUUUAUCGCUUUUUGGGCUGUUAUUACACUUCAAGGUACAAUACUUAUGCCUUUCUCUCUUAUUUUGCAAGGUUUACAUGAAGAGGGAGAAUGCCGGCAGCUGGAAUUCUGGCCCGAAAAAGGAGCAAGUUUGAGAUACCUAUUCUGUGCAACUCCAAAAGCAGUGAAAAUCAACGUGGAUUUUUUUGGGGAUUUAUAAAAAAUACUAGACCGAAGAAGUGCUAGAGGGGCGCCAGCACGAGGCCACAAGCCUGUUAGGCGCGGCCUCCCCCCUGGCCACGCCUAGGGGGCUUGUGGGAUCCCACUUGGCCCACUUGCUCCCCCCUUUUGCUACAAGAAGGGUUUCGGUCUGGAAAAAAUCAGGAGGAGGCUUUUCGGAGGAUUCUUCGCCGCCACGAGGCGGAACUUGAGCAGAACCAAUCUAGAGCUCCAGCAGGGCGAUCCUGCCGGGGAAACUUCCCUCCCGGAGGGGGAAAUCGUCGCCAUCAUCAUCAACACUCCUCUCAUCGGAGGGGACUCAUCACCAUCAACAUCUUCAUUAGCACCGUCUCAUCUCCAAACCCUAGUUCAUCUCUUGUAACCAAUCUCCGUCUUGCGACUCCGAUUGGUACUUGUAAGGUUGCUAGUAGUGUUAAUUAAUGUUUGUAGUUGAUGCUAGUUGGAUUACUUGGUGGAAGAGUUUAUGUUCAGAUCUUUGAUGCUACUCAUUACCUCUCUGGUCAUGAUUAUGAUUAUUCUUUGUGAGUAGUUACUUUUGUUCUUGAGGACAUGGGAUAAGUCUUGCUAUAAGUAGUCAUGUGAAUUUGGUAUUCGUUCGGUAAUUUGAUGUGAUGUAUGUUGUUUUUCCUCUAGUGGUGUUAUGUGAACAUCGACUACAUAACACUUCACCGUUAUUUGGGCCUAGAGGAAGGCAUUGGGAAGUAGUAAGUAGAUGAUGGGUUGCUAGAGUGACAGAAGCUUAAACCCUAGUUUAUGUGUUGCUUCGUAAGGGGCUGAUUUGGAUCCACUAGUUUAAUGUUAUGGAUAAACUUUGUCUUAAUUCUUCUUUCAUAGUUGCGGAUGCUUGCGAGAGGGGUUAAUCAUAAGUGGGAUGCUUGUCCAAGUAAAGGCAGUACCCAAGCGUCAUUCCACCCACAUAUCAAACUAUGAAAGUAACGAACGUGAAUCAUAUGAACAUGAUGAAAACUAGCUUGACAGAAUUUCACAUGUGUCCUCGGGAGUGUUUUACCUCCUAUAAGACUUUGUCCAGGCUUGUCCCUUGCUACAAAAGGGAUUGGGCUACUUUUCUGCACCGUUGCUACUUUUGUUCUUGCUACUUGCUAUGAAUCAUCUCACCACACAACUACUUGUUAUCGAUAAUUUCACUGCUUGCAGAUUUUACCUUGCUAAAAACCACUUGUCAGAUCCUUCUGCUCCUUGUUGGGUUCGACACUCUUACUUAUCGAAAGGACUAUGAUAGAUCCCCUAUACUUGUGGGUCAUCGGGCCACGAUAUCAAUAUUAAAGAAUGUGGCAAAGCCCAUAAUUGCAAGCUGAUGAACGGAAAGUAAAUUGUAUGCAAGGGACUCAACAAGCAUGACCUUCUCUGUAGAUAAAUCUUGACAGAUGACCACCUUACAAAAUUCCAUUACCUUAGAUAUUGAAGCAUGAGAAAAUUGGACAUGGGUGGGCAGAGAUGGUAUUGGAUGCACAUCCACCACCAAGUGCUUGCUCCCGGUCAUAGGAUUUGUUGCUCCACUAUCGAGCAACCAUGACACUCCACCGGAAGCAAACUCCUGCAAGAGAUCAAUGCUUGGAUUUAGGUACCCAUUUUUUAAUGGUUCCAUUGAUGUUAAAUAUAAUGCCAAGGUAGUUCUGCUGAAAACAGUGUCAGCCCGGGUUAGUUUCAUUCAAAUCAUGCAAAUUAGAGGUCAAUACGAGAGCAAAAGUGUUUUGAAAAGUAGAUACAUUGGAGACGUAUCAACUCCCCCAAGCUUAACUCAUUGCUUGUAAUCAAGCAAUUCAGUUGAUAAAUUGAAAGUGAUAAAGAAAAAUUUUACAAACUCUUUUGUUCUUGUCAUUAUACAUAUGCUUAGCUAGUGUUGUAGGUAAGAAGGUGAUGACUCAACAUAAAAGUAAAGAGAUAGGCCCUUCGUAGAGGGAAGUAUUGAUUGGCACAGGUGCGAGAGCUCAAGUUUUAAAGCAAGAUUAAAAAUAUAGUUUUUGAGUGGUGUUCUUUACUGUCAACCGACAAAGGUUUUCAGUAUCUUCCAUGCUAAAAUCAUUAUUGGUGGUUCCCAAACAGAAUUGUAAACUUCUACACCUAUCCACCAUCCAUACACAACCAUGGUUAGGCGAAUUCAGGGGUGCCCUCCAACAUAUCAACUUUCCCAAGGAGUUUUGUUUUAAUUUAAUUUUUAUUAAGCAGGAAUGGGCAUCCUUGUUACCAACCUCUCUCGUGCAAUGUCGGCGAAUAAACGCCCAUCGUGAGAGUAACUUACUUAGCAUGGAAGAUAUCGAUUGCCACAUCGCUCUCCAUGAGCGGUACAAGUGCACAAAACACAGCUUUGUUUGAAUAUUUAUUGGUGGCACAUACAAAUUUACUUGGAACGGUAGGAUAAUAGCGAAUAUAGGUAGGUAUGGUGGACUCAUCUGGAAUAACUUUGUUUUAAGGAUAUUGGAUGCACAAGUAGCAUUCCCGCUUAGUACACGUGGAGGCUUGCAAGAUAUUGGGAAGCAGCCAGCUAGAGAGCAACAACGGUAAUGAUUAUGCAUUAAAAAUAAUCAACUUUGGGUAAAGCAUGAGUAGGAUAUAAACACUCUGAAUUUAAAUAUUAUGAAGGCUACAUCGGUUUUGAAUCAACUACAUGUUUGCACAUGGGCCAAGUCAAACCACUUGAAUUACUCACAGGGAAAUACCAUACUACCAUAUCACAUCAUAACCAUUUUAAUGCAUGUUAACACAUAAGGUAAAUCAUUAUCAACUCCCAGCUAUUUAAGCAUGACAUGCUGAUAUCUAAUUGUCACUAUAAACAUCUUCACUCAUGACAUACUAAAUCAAGAUCAAAUGAGCUAACUGUAGAGACCCGACUCAAAAGGAGUCAAGCCUCUGUGUAUCUGUGCCAUCCCUGGAUCACCCUGCUGGCACUGGAUCACCCUGCUGGCACACACACUACAUCAAUGUAUAUAUCAAAGUGCAAUCACAUGUAAAUAAGGUAAAAUUGAUAUAUACCUCAAAAUCUCAGCGGAAACAGUCAAGGGAGUGGAGUCCCAAUAAACACCAAUGGCAGGUUGAGUUAAGACCGUAACCCUGAAUCGUACUCUUACUCGUCGAAGAAAAAUAUCUGCAACAUAAGACAUUGCAGCCGUGUAGGUCAGCAUAUUGAAUAUGCCGGCAAGUCACAAAAGAGAGGUGUAAAUAUCAUCUAUACUAUAUGCAUAUAUGGCAGGUGGGGCUAUAAGUUUUUAGCGGAAAGCAAAGGUUUCUCCUACAACAAGAGAGGGCUAAAAUAGAAAUAUUACUACAUGGUUGGUUGUUAAUGAGAUGGUUCCACCAACCAAUUAUCAUACCCAAGUUGUCAACAAUUCCCACAUCAUUAAUAAUAUUUGUGUUGAGAAUUCCAGAUAGUUUCAGUUCCUUCGGCUCAAGUUGUCCAUGACCGUGGACACGGCUAAUCGAUUAGGUUUGAGUACUCUGCAGAGUUUUGCACACGUUCCCCACAAGAUUUGAUCGCCUCCGUUGAAGUCCUCGCACUUCAGGGUGUUUGAUAACCGGAUGAUCAAAACAUGGUCUUUCAAAGGGUUCCUCUGAGACUUUGUCGGUGCCCAUCCAAUCCUACCGUUCUUCUACAUCUCAUAGCACCGCCUGUCCAGAGUCACCACGAUGUACAACCAAGCCAGAGCCCAUAAUGACUUGUGGCUGUGCAGGUAAGCCUUGGGUCUUGAAGCAUCCAUCCAUCUCUUCGUGCCUGGGUGAAGCUUUUUGCAAGAUGUCAUGGCGCUUCUCCAUGCAUCACGGGUCCUCCGCUAGUUUAUCCCAGGGGGGCCAUCAAAUCCGUCCUUCACCUAGAGGUAUAUUGCAUCACGAGGUCUCGAAAGUCUUGACAUAUCCGGUCUUGAUUAUUAAAAUUUUCUCACAACACUCGUGAUAGACUCUCAACCAAAACCAUGUCUACUUAAGCAUAGCAAAAUAACAUGUAUCGUCCCGGGCCACGUAACAAGGGUGAUGGGUGCCUACCACAUGAUACUACAUCAAGAACCAAUUUUUCGAGUUCCUACUUAUCAUGCAAUAGGUGAAGAAAGGUUGAUCUACAAUGCAUAUAAAACAUAGGAAAUAUGAUGAACGUGACUUGCCUUGUUGACGAUUAUCGAACUCGAGCGUGUCUAGAUAACAAGCUUCGCACUCCGGAUAAUCUAACAAAGCAAACAAUUUCACACAACAAGCAUCACAAUAGCAAGUGAUAAAAAUAAACAAAGUAGCUAUAUCAUAAAAGAGUAAAAUUGUCUUACAAGAACCAAAAUAGAAUCUGUUUUGCAUAAAAUAAUGAGUUGAAAUAUUCCAAAACUUCUGAAAUUUUACGCACUGAUAAAUAAGAUCACUAGUGAUCAAUAGCAAAAGAAUCAAUUAAAAAUCUAUUUUUUGAACUCCCGGUAUGCACAAAAUAAGAUUUAAAACAAACCUGUUCUAACUCAAAUUUUAUAAAUUCAAACAUAGUAAAUUUUAUAUUUUCGGAAACUACAUAAAAAAUUUGAUCUAAUGCAAAAAAGAAUCACCUUAAUUGGAUUUGUAGAUUAAAAGUUAUUAAGAAAACAAAAAUAGAANACCGUUAUGUAGGGAAAAACACUUCGGCUAAAUAACUAACUAACCGACUGGCUGGUUUUUUUUGAAAAUCGAAGGGGUAAGUUUCCUUCUAACCUAUACCUUAGGAUCUAGAUCUAACGGUGAAUGGAAAAGAAGGAAGAAAAAAAAGGAGAGGGAUUACCUACGUGCUACAAGGAAGAUAGUGAUGGCAGGGGUAAACGGCGGCGAGGAGAGGCUGCUCCGGCGAGGAGGGUCGCCGGCGGGGAGGGGGAACGGCAGAUGGGGUGGGUCCGCGCUAUGGGGAGUGGUGUCAGGGCGUCUGGGGCUUCUGGGGCGAGGAGGUGGCGUCCUGGGGCGUCUCUAUCGGCGUGCUCCUAGCGGUGCUCCUGUCCAGCAAAGGAAUGGCGGCGAGGAGGGUGACCUGCAGGGCGACGAGGUGAGGGGGUGGCAUGGGGUGCGGCAGGGGUAGGGUGAGGCGUGCAGGGUUACCAGGGGAGUGGGGAGGGCCUUGCUUGGCGAUGGGGCAAGGCAGAGGAGCUCUUGUUGCUUUGGUUCUUGACAGGAACAACGAUGGUGGGGGUGGCGUCUACAGGCAGGGACAGGACGAGUUGAUGGGGAAAACGGAACGAGGACAGGAGGGGCAAUCUUAUAGGGGUGGUGGGAGGCUCGGGAAGGAAGUAUAGCUCGCAAAUCGGGGGAGGGAAGCUUCUAGGAAGCUUCUGCCAUGGCUAGAAUGGAAGGUGACGAGAGGAAGAAGAAGGUAGGGAUUUUGGGCCUGAUGUGUUUCCUAAAGUGGCCCAGUGACCUUCCUAAAUAAAAGAUUUAUUUCCCUUUUUAUUAAAACAGGAAUUAAAAUGAUUAAAAGGAAAUGUAAUAUCCUCGGAAUAUAGGGGUAUUAUAUAUUAAAUUUAUCAUAAAAAUAAAUCCAAAAAGAUGGACAUUUUUUCACGGCCAAAAUAAAAACUUCAAAAAAAAUGUUUUCCACAAAAUCCCUAAAUUGGUUUAUUUUCUUUUUGCAAAUAUUUUUCAAAUACCCCUUGGGUUUUAUGGUUCAAAUAUUUCAAAGAAAUAUCCUGGGUUCGGAGGGUCAUGUUCCUCCUCUCUUUUUCUUGCUUGGCAAGAUAUUGUUCCCGGCAUUCCGUGAGUGAAGAAAAAUAAAUUGCAAAGCAAAAAAAAGUCAAAGGAAAUUCAAAUGCCACCUUGAUUCAAGUUCUUUAUAGUUGAAGAAGUCAUGUUAUCUUCUCUCGCGGAUUUUGAACAGAGGAAUUUGAAUUCAGAGGAAAAAGGGGAAAGUCAUUUUAUUCUCUCUCAUUCAAAAGUUUUAAAAGUUUCAAAUUUCACUCAAGUUUCAACCAUUCAAACAAAUAAACAAUCAAUCUAAUAAUUAUAUUAACAUUUCAAAAUUUGGGAUGUUACAAACCUACCACACUUAAAAUGAAUCCCGUCCUCGAGAUUCGAAGAGGCUAGAAAGAAAGGUUAGGGUUUGGGGUCUUCUAACAAAUCCAAUCCCCUGCAAAGUGCGAUGCUACCACACUUCAAAUGAGAGUUACUGGUCAAAAAUUAGCAAUCCUCUGGGGUCUUGGCAUCUGACUCAUCACAUUCUUCAUACUAACUCCUUUGGGGGUGCUUUUCCAUUACAUUCAUAACGUUUCCAUCAAAAUCAAGGGUUCUUCUAUUGAUAUAAGCUUCUUCCGUCACUGAGUCUCCUGAACUGACAGUCUCGUGAUCAAUUCUAAAUAACCUAUCGAUGAUUCUCAUGGUGGUCUAUCAUUUGUGGUUAUCCUGCAGAGAGAGGGGUCUUGGUUUCAUCCUCACCGUAAGAUUUCCUACGCGUGGCAACCAGUGUCAUGUACAUGGGUCUUCAUCAUACCAUUCUAAGGCUUAAACAAAAGCUUCAAAGAACGUCAUCUCUCACUAUGGGUAAGUCUCUCAGAUUUACCAUUCCGAAUAGCAAGAGAAUGAUAAGAGUAAGUCGUCAUGGUGGCCAAGCCAUGUCGCACUGAAAUCAUUACCUUGUAUAAGGCUUAGUGAAUCUCGUAUUCUAACCCUUGGGCAUCCUCACAAGCAUUGCAGAAUUUCUCUUGCCCACGAACGAAGUUCGGAUAAAUCCAAUGAUUCUACAAGCCGAACAACCAUCUAUCGUUUCUUCACAACUCUUGGGUUUUCGUAUGCUCCUAAGAAAAUGUUUGCCGAUCCAACAUAGCUUCUUCCAAGUUUCUUUCUUCAUAAAGGUAGUGCUCGAUCCUUAUUAGUCCCGGGGUCUGUGGGUUGCAGGCCCACUUUAACUCAUACUUGGAAUUACUCCACCUUUAAAUCCUAUAGUGUUUCAUUCCAUCAUACUCUUGGGGUAACCAUCAUAUAAUAAUAACCUCAGACUUAUUUUUGGUACACACCCCACUCUGUGGGAUACUUUUUUUCCAAUGGUGUGUUUACCAUUAAAAGUACUGGUUCAUCCAUAAAUCAUAUUCAUUUCAUAUUCAAUCCUUUAUUACAUCCUUAAUUUCUUCUCGGAACUCCAAUUCAAAAGUACUUUAUUACAAAUGCUGCCAUCCACUUUGUUCGGUAUGGUCAAGCAUUUCUGCCAACUUUAUUCAUUUGUCUCCCUUGGAGAUACUUUAGUCCCACUGGAACUUUCUGAGGUGCUCCUUGAAAUCAUCCAUCUUUUGCUUUCUCAUGGUGGUCAUGAGGUUCAUCUCCGCAUGCACUUCACUCAGGUAUUCUUGGGUAUGACGGAGUCUUGCUUCAAGUAUUUUUCCAAUCUGACGUAUGGCUUCCAUGGCAGCUUCACGGACAGCAUCAAAGAAGGUUUCUCGUGGUACACGUGAAAUGAAAACGUAUUGCCCCAUAGUCUUUGGACAAACUCCUUUCACAUGGUGGAGGUGUACUUCCACAUACCAAAGUUCCACUCCACUUUCCAUGAAUGGGUAGCCUUUGUAGACUGCAUCUCCUUCAAGAUGAAUGUGCUUCAUCAUGUCCUUCAGGAUUUUUGGGUAAUCAUGAUCACUAGUCAGGGUCAUGAUUGUUUCUGGGCCCUUAAGGAAGGACUCGUAGAGGGUUGUCAUCUGCAGGUGUCAGAAAAACAGGUACUCAGAGGAAUGUAUGUUUCUCCUUGGUAUGCAUGGUAUAUUCCUACUCAUUGGAUCAUGUGGGUUUACUGAUUACUACCACGCUUAAAAUGAAAUAUAAUCGUGCCUGCAUAGACCAUAUUUUCUCAUAUCCUCAUAAAUGUUCAGAGAUCUUUGUUCGUAGAGAAACAACGCAUACAGUUUCAACAUAGGCAAUCAUGACCCAAUAAAUUUUAUUGAUUCAUGAGUUAUUAAAAUCCUAGAGACUUCUGUUACAAAAAUACAACUCCAUAAUCUCAUGAAAACCAAGAGUGCUUCAGGUUAGACUUAUUGCCAUUGUCAAAUCUUAACUACUCCCUUUUAACUUUUCUUUCCCUAUGGACAAUUACUAGCAUAAUGUCAUGCUUCCUUGUAAUGAAAACAAAUGAGUUCCGACAAGUCUCGGGGCUUCUUGUAGUUUUCUAUUACUCCUUGGUUUUCCUGCUUCCUUUUUGGGCACAUAUUUUUGUAGUGGCCAAAUUCCAUACACUUGAAACAUCUAAUAUGACUCAGGUCUUUAUCUGCAGAGAUUUGGCUUUUCCGAGGGCACUUUCUCUUCUUUCCGGACUGCUUCGUUCUGGCCAGUACUUCCAUUUCAUAUGGAUCAAACUCUACUUUUUCCGUCGGGAAGUUUCCCAGAUAUUUAUGGCUUCCCUUCGUGCAAUCCUUUGAGAAAUGUCCUUCUUCUCCACAUGAGUAAGAGGCAUUGGAGAAAAAUCUGGUUAGGCCUUGUCCAUCAGGGCCUUCUAUAUUUUCCUUCAUUACAGGUUCUUCUAAAAUCUUCUUCUUGAGUGUUUCCGUCAUUGCUUCUUUCUGCUGCUUGACAACUUGUUGCACCUUGGGGUAAAUGUAACACUGGGCUGGGUAGUGGGUGGUUCCCUCACACAAGAAACAAGUCACCUGACUAGUUGGGCAUUCCUCUGAUGAGUGAUUUUCUUCACAAUGAGGGCAUCCAUCAUAGUGUUCUUCCUAGGUGUGUCCUAUUUCUCCAUAGAUCUUUCAUGCACAGUGCUUCUUCAUCGGGCCAUCAUAGCACUUUUGAAUAAGACGGGAUCUUAACAGAGUCUUCUUGAAUUCGUCCCAGGUUUCUGCUCCACUAAAUCCUUGUAUGGCAUGAUGCAUUUUCCACCAGAUAGCAGCACCUUGGGUAAAGUACUGAAGAGCGUGUGCCACUUCAUAUUUCCUUGAAAUCAAAUUGCUCCCGAAGUGGUUCUCCAUGUUCUAAAUCCAUAUAUCAGCCUCCAGCUGGGUCAUUGGUCCAGAGAUUACAAGUCCAGCUUCAUACGCCAUCUACUGGGUCCAACGUUUUUGGGAUGAGAUGGGUAAGAGAGAGAGGAAAAGAGGGAGAUACACACAAUACAAGCAAUAUUUUUGAGAAUAGGUUUUAUUUGUGGUUGUCGGAAAACACACACAAAUGACGGCUCACAAAUCAUCGUAUCUAACGUGGGUAUAUAACACGGGUUUAGACUUCUAAUUGCCAUAUAAAUAUUGGAACACUUCAGGGUCUUCGAAUUCUUUGGGUCUUGAGAGUCUUCAAUUGGCGCAGCUUCAAUUCUUCAAAUGCAUGGUUAAAUCCUCUUUACUUUGAAGUAGAACUCAGUUGAUCCUUCAUGUCCUCAAAGAGGAAAAGGUAUUGUCUAACUAUUUGAGGUGAGAGAGAACAUUUGAUGAAAUCAGAAGAGAUGAGAAGCAAAGGAUGUUCUUGGAAAUAAAAUUUUAGAGAGAUCCUUUCCGAAGGGAUUUCAAGUUACUAGGGUCACGUCCUACAAUCAACAUGUGCUCUGAUACCAUAUUUGUAGCGACCCGACUCAAAACGAGUCAAGCCUAUUUGUAUAUGUGCCAUCCCUGGAUCAGUAUGUUGGCACACAUAGUACAUCAAUGUAUAUAUCAAAGUGCAAUCAGAUGUAAAUAACAUAAAAUUGAUAUAUACCUCAAAAUCUCAGCGGAAACAGCCAAGGGAGUGGAGUCCCAAUAAACACCAACAGCAGGUUGAGUGCAGACUGUAACCCUGAAUCGUACUCUUACUCGUCGAAGAAAAUAUCUGCAACGUAAGACAUUGCAGCUGUGUAGGUCAGCAUAUUGAAUAUGCCGGCAAGUCGGUGUAAAUAUCAUCUAUACUAUAUGCAUAUAUGGCAAGUGGGGUUGUAAGUUUUUAGCGGAAAGCAAAGUUUUCUCCUACAACAAGAGAGGGCUAAAAGCAAAAUAUUACUACAUGGUUGGUUGUUAAUGAAAUGGUUCCACCAAACAAUUCUCAUACCCAAGUUGUCAAUAAUUCCCACAUCAUUAAUAUUAUUAGUGUUGAGAAUUCCAGAUAGUUUCAGUUCCUUCCGCUCAAGUUGUCCAUGACCGUGGACACGUCUAAUCGAUUAGGUUAGGGUACUCUCCAGAGUUUUGCACACGUUCCCCACAAGAUUUGAUCGCCUCCGUUGGAGUCCUCGCACUUCAGGGUGUUUGAGAACCGGAUGAUCAAAACAUGGUCAUUCAACGGGUUCCUCUGACCCACUGUCGGUGCCCAUCCAAUCCUACCGUUCUUCUACAUCUCGUAGCACCGCCCGUCCAGAGUCACCACGAUGUCCAACCUAGCUAGAGCCCAUAAUGAUUUGUCUUGUGCAAGUAAGCCUUGGGUUUUGAAGCAUCCAUCCAUCUCUUCGUGCCUGGGUGAAGCUUUCCGCAAGAUGUCAUGGCACUUCCGCAUCCAUCCCAGGUCCUCCGCUGGUUUUCCCCAGGGAGCCCAUCUGAACCGUCCUUCACCCAAAGGUGUAUUGCAUCACGAGGUCUCGAAAAGUCUUGAAAUAACCGGUCUUGAUUAUUAAAUUCUCACAACACUCGUGAUAAACACUCAACCAAAACCCCGUCUACUAAAAGCAUAGCAAAAUAAAAAGUUAUCGUCCCGGGCCAAGUAACAAGGGUGAUGGGUGCCUACCACAUGAUACUACAUCAAGAACUAAUUUUUCUGAGUACCUGCUUUGCAUGCAAUAGGUGAAGAAGGUAGAACUAGAUACAUAUAAAACAUAGGUAAAACAUGAUCAACGUGACUUGCCUUGUUGACAACUGUCGAACUCGAGCGCUUCUAGAUAACAAGCUUCGCACUUCGGACGAUCUAACGAAACAAUAAUUUCACACAAUAAGCAUCACAAUAGCAAGUCAUCAAAAUAAAGCAACAAACAAAAAGUAGCUAGAACAAAAGAGAGAGAAAUUGCCCUACAAGAACUAAAACAGAAACUGUUUUGUUGAAAACCCCAAGAUAAAAAUAUCCUAAAAAUUCCGAAAUUAAACUAACUGAUAAAUAAGAUCACUAGUGAUCAGUAGAAAAAGGAAUCAACUAAAAAGCUAUUUUUAAACUCCAGAUAUUAACAAAACAAGAUUUAAGCCAAAUUUGUUUAAAUUCAAAAAUUAAAUUUUCAAACAUGGUCAAAUUUUACAUCUACAGAAACUACAUAAAAUUUGUGGUCCAGUGCGAAAAAGAAUCACCUAAUUUGGAGUUAUAAAAUAAAAGUUAUAGGGAUUCUAAAAUCUGGUUCAAAUCAGUUUUCAGAAUUAAAAACAGAAAAAAAAAAAAAGACUAUGCUACGUGGCAGGCUGUGAGUGGCUGUGAUGUGUGUGCGUUAUAGUCUAACUAGCGGACGGCCGCAAAAUAAAGAAAAACUUUCGGUUAAAACCUACUAACAGAAAAAACUGCGGUCUUUCUAAAUAAACCGAAGGGGUAUCUACUGAUAUAAUCUAACCGCACGCUAGUGAUCUAACGGUGGAGGGAAAAAUAAAAGGGCUCACCAUUGCUGUAAGGAAGAACUUAGGUGAGUUGCUCCUGGCCGAAGGUGAGGGUGGCGAGGGGAGGCGGUUCCAGUGGCCGGAAGGGGCGGCGGGGUGGUCGAGGCGGCGGAGGAAGCUCGUCGGCGUCCUCUAGUGGUGUCAGAAGGCGCUACGGGGCGACAGAGGGCGCUGCAGGGGCUCCAGGAGCCUCGACCGAAGGGAGCUCCGGCGAGGUGGCUAGUGGCGGCAUGAGAGGGGGGUCUCGAGGGGAACGGAGUGUGGAGGGGUCAGGGACUUAUAUAGGGGCCUCGGGGCGACGGGAGGGAAGGGGAUCGGGGAGAUCGGGCGCGGGAUCCGGCGAGGUAGCUUCGUGGAAGGAGCUCCUGUGCAUAGAAGGAAAGAAACGGGAGGUAGGGGAAAGAGAUAACGGGCCGGAUCGGUUUCCACAUCAGGCCCAGGUUGGGUUCCUAAAUAAAACGAUUCGGUUUCCUAAUAAUUAAAAUAGGAAAGAAAACUAUGAAAAGGAAUUAAAAUUUUUUUCCUAAAAUAUAAGUAAUAUAUAUCAAAAUGAUCAGAAAAAUAUUUCCCACCACGUGGACAUUUUCUUUUUCACAAAAUAUUUUUUAAAAAUUCAAUAAAAAUUCCAAAUUUUGCCUUUAAAAUUUUUGGCACUCUUUUUCUACUGACUUUUAUUUUUUUUUAUUUUGGGGUGUCAUGUCACCUCCUCUCUUUCUUGCUUGGCAAGUAUUUUGUGAGGAAAAUUUUGUGGGUGAAAUUUCUUGUGCCAAAAUAAAAAUUCAAAAUCGAAACAAGGGAUUCAAAUGCCACAUUCAUUCCAAUAAAAUGCAUAGAUGCUUAGCUACAAUUGUAAAACAUUCCAAAUUGAAAAUUUGGGAUGUUACAAACCUACCCACCUUAAGAUGAAUCUCACCCUCGAGAUUCGGGUUGGAUAGAAAAUAGGUGUGGGUGGUCUCGACGAAGAUCUUUUUCCCGUUCCCACGUGGCUUCUUCCUCGGUGUGAUGACUCCACAAGACCUUGCAAAACUUGAUGAUCGUGCUGCGAGUAAAUCUGUUGGCAGUCUCGAGAAUCGUCACGGGUUUCUCCUCAUAAGUCAGAUCACUAUCAAGUGGUAUGGCCUCUAGGGGCACUGUGUGUCUCAACGGAAUAUCAGCCAUCUCGGCAUGGCAUUUCUUCAACUAGGAAACAUGGAAAACAUCAUGAACUCCGGACAAUCCUUCCGGCAAUUCCAAUUUGCAUGCAACUUCCCCUCUACGUUCAAGAAUUUUGUAGGGGCCAAUGAAUCGGGGUGCUAACUUCCCUUUUACAUCAAAUCUCCUGAUUCCUCGUAGUGGGGACACACGAAGGUAUGCUCGGUCUCCCACUUCGUAUGUUACUUCCUUGCGUUUGCUAUCAGCAUAACUUUUUUGUCUAGACUGAGCUAUCUUGAGUCGGUCACGAAUCAGCUUGACCUUCUCUUCAGAAUCUCAGAUAAGGUUGGGACCAAAAAGUUUCCGGUCUCCAACACCAUCCCACAUCAAAGGCGUUCUGCACCUCCUUCCGUAUAAAGCUUUGAAAGGGGCCAUCUUCAGACUGGUCUGAUAGCUGUUGUUGUAUGAGAACUCGGCGUAAGGCAAAUUGUCGUCCCAGCUAGACCCAUAGUCUAGUGCACAGGCUCUCAACAUGUCCUCUAGAAUCUGAUUUACUCUCUCGGUCUAUCCAUCGGUUUGUGGGUGAAAAGUUGUACUGAACUCUAAUCUCGUUCCCAAGGUUUCAUGUAGUUGAUGCCAAAACUUUGACAUGAAUUGGGUUCCUCUAUCUGACACAAUACUCUUUGGAACUCCAUGCAUACAUACGAUCCUGAUCAUAUAUAUCUUGGCCAGCUUAGCACUCGUGUAGGUAGUCUUCACGGGAAUGAAGUGAGCUACCUUGGUCAAAGGAUCGACCACUACCCAGAUAGAGUCAUAACCUGAACGGGUCCUGGGUAAUGCUGUGAUGAAGUCCAUACCAAGCUUCUCCCAUUUCCACUCAGAUAUCGGCAAAGGUUGAAGUAAUCCUGCUGGCUUCUGAUGUUCGACCUUUACUUGCUGGCAAACAUCGCAUAUUGCUACAUACUCGGCAAUAUCCUUCUUCAUUCCUGUCCACCAGAAACUUUCCUUUAAGUCCAGAUACAUCUUGGUGUUGCCCGGGUGUAUCGAGUAUGGUGAAUCGUGGGCCUCCUGAAGUAUCAACUACCUGAGUUCAGGAUCAUUGGGCACAUAGAUACAAUCGUCAAACCAUAUAUUUAUGUGUUCAUCCUCACGAAAACCUUUAGCCUUCCCGUCAUUCGUUCUUUGCUUUAUCUCAGCUAUCUCCUUGUCUGACUUCUGUGCUUCACGAAUUUUUCCGGUCAAGGUGGACUGAAUCUCCAGCGUGGCUACAUAUCCUCUUGUAACUAUCUCCAACUUGAGCUCUCUAAGAUCAUCGGCUAACUCCUGGGGUAAUCCUCCCGCUAUGAGUGUGUUCACAUAACUCUUACGGCUCAAGGCAUCUGCUAAAACAUUUGCCUUCCCUAGGUGAUAAUGCAACCUCAUGUCAUAGUCCUUGAUCAACUCUAGCCAUCUCCUCUGUCUGAGGUUCAACUCCUUCUGCGUGAAAAUAUAUUUCAGGCUCUUAUGAUCAGUGUAAAUAUCAUAGCUAUUUCCGAUAAGGAAAUGUCUCCAGGUCUUGAGAGCAUGCACUACAGCUGCUAACUCCAAAUCAUGUGUGGCAUAGUUCAACUCAUGAGUUCUGAGCUGUCUGGAUGCAUAGGCUACAACUUUUCCUUCUUGCAUAAGUACUCCUCCAAGUCCUUGACGUGAUGCGUCACAAUACACCUGGAAGUCCUUUCGAAUGUUCGGCAAUAUCAGCAUCGGGGCUGUAACCAAACGUUUCUUCAACUCUUGGAAACUGGCUUCACAUUCCUCUAUCCAAUUAUAAUUGGACUCCUUCUUUAACAACUCUGUCAUGGGUUUGGCAAUCUUCGUGAAGCUCUCGAUAAACCUCCAGUAAUAUCCGGCAAGACCGAGAAAACUGCGGAUCUCCUUAACUGAGGUGGGUGCUAACCAUUAGGUGACUGCUGCAACCUUGGUGGGAUCCACUGAUAUUCCGUCUCCCGAAAUAACGUGUCCGAGGAAUCCAACUUCUUUCAACCAAAAUUCGCAUUUGCUGAACUUUGUAUACAACUGAUGCUCUCGAAGUUUCUCCAAAACUAGACGCAAGUGUUCCUUGUGUUCUUCCUCGUUCUUGGAGAAUAUCAGUAUGUCAUCGAUCAACACCACGACAAACUUGUCCAGAUAUUCCAUAAAUACCUUGUUCAUCAUACUCAUAAAAUAUGCAGGAGAAUUAGUCAAACCAAAUGACAUGACUGUGUACUCAUAUAGACCAUACCUUGUGGUGAAGGUUCUCUUGGGUAUAUCAUGUUCACGAAUUUUCAACUGAUGAUACCUUGAUCGAAGGUCGAUCUUGGAGAACACUCGGGCUCCAACUAACUGGUCAAACAAAUCGUUGAUCAUCGGCAAGGGAUACUUGUUCUUGAUGGUUGCCUCGUUCAAGGCACGAUAAUCGACUACCAUUCUCAAGGAUUUAUCUUUCUUCUCUACCAAGAGAACUGGGGCUCCCCAAGGUGACGAACUUGGGCGAAUAUACCCUUUGUCUAGUAACUCAUUGAUCUGCUUCUGAUUUCUUCUAAAUCAUUUGCGGGAAUCCGAUAGGGUCUCUUGGAUAUUGGGGCUGUCCCUGGUAAUAACCCAAUCAGAAACUCAAUCUCCCUAUCCGGUGGCAUGCCUGGCAAUUCCUCCGGGAAUACAUCUCGAAAGUCUUGUACGAUCGGCACUUCCUCCUGAACAACUCCCGUGAGAGAAUUCACCCGUUUACUCUGUGGUGGGCGUUGGGAAAUGUACUUAAUCCGCUUUUGCUCUGGGGUGGUGAGAAAAAUAGACUUAAGGGAACAAUCAAUGUUUCCUUCAUACUUGGUCAACCAAUCCAUGCCUAGGAUUACAUCCAAUCCCUGUGACUCUAAUAUGAUGAGGUCGGUGGGAAAUUUAUGGUUUCCGAUAUUGAGGCUCAAAGCAUGGCAUCCUAUCCCGGUUGUCAUCAUGCCCCUUGGGGAACUGACUUCAAUGGGCUGACUGAGGGUUCUAGUUGGUAAACUAUACUUUUCCACAACUAUCCUUGAUAUGAAUGAAUGUGUUGCACCAGAAUCAAAAAGUACUAGUACUGGACAUGAGUUCAGCAAAAACUUACCAACCACCGUAUUGGAGUGAUCAUAGACCUCUUCAACAUCAAUGUGGUUCACCUGAGCUCGGGGAAGAGGAUUGGGCUUCCUUGCUGGUGAGUUGCCAUUGUCGUUUCCAUUUCCCAACUUGUUCUGGGGACAGUCAGUUGCAUAGUGUCCCGUCUUCUAGCACUUGAAGCAGGUCAUAUGGUUCAGAUCCUUCUGAGCUGGAGUGGAAAGGUGUUGAGUGCCAUUACCUCCAUUGCCAUUCUUGAAGUUGCCGCCGUUGGAGUUGUUCCCAUUUCCUCCAUGGUUGUGGCCUCCAUGGUUGUGCACUGGAUGGUUAUGGUGGGUGUGUCCUCCAAACUUACCGGAUCAUGUUCCAGUAUUCCCUAAAUAGGGGGCGUAACGGGGCUUCUGCUGAACUCCAGAAUUGAACUUCCCAUGUCCAUACUUCCGUUUGCGGUUCUCAAUGUGUUGUUGUUUCCCCUCCAAGAUGAGGGCCUUAUCUACCAGUUGUUGGUAGUUGUUGAAGUUGGCCACGGUCAGCUGAAUGCUCAACUCAUCGUUGAGUCCUUCCAUGGAACUUCUCCAGCUUGUCCGCAUCAUCGACCACAUCUCCAGGUGCAUAUCAGGCGAGCAUGUUGAAUUCAUCAACAUACUGAGCCAUAGAGCGAUUUCCCUAGCGUAAGUUGUGAAACUCACGCUUCUUCAGACUCAUGGCUCCUGCUGAGACAUGAGCGGUGCGGAAGGCUUGCUUGAACUGUUCCCAAGUCACACCAACAAUGGGGUAUGUGGUGGUGUAGUUCUCCCAAGAUACAGUUGCGGGGCCUUCAAGUUGAUGUGCGGCAAAGCGCACCUUUUCAGCUUCAGUACAUCCAGCAGUGAUUAGUUCCUCUCCAUCUUGCGGAGCCAAUCAUCUGCCACAAUGGGCUCAACGCUGCUGGAGAAAGUCAGAGGGUUGAACCUCAGAAAACGGGUGAUAUUGUCGGCCUAGGGUGGAUAAUGGUUGUUGUUAUUGUUCUGGUUCUGAAUGAUCAACUGCAUCACGGUAUUCUGCUGUUGGAUCAACUGAGUGAGUUCCGGCGGGAAAUUGGAGGCAGGGUCACGUCUCGGAGGCAUCUGGUGGUUUUAGAGGGAUGGGAUUAGCAUAGAACAAGGGUCUAAAGAGAAAAUACACUACCCAUAUGAAAUGCAACAAACAAUUAUCACACCACACAUUUAUUCAUUAAUCAUCUCAAAAGGUUCAAACACGGGGAUACAAGUUUCUGAUAACCUAAACAUUGGCCUAAACGUUUAAAGAUAAGAUAAAUUGGUGGAAUUGUCUAUGUGUCCUCCUCAGAAAUGCAUGGUGGUGGGUCCGUCGGUAGAGGUUGCUUUGUAGUCCUCCUUGUUGCUGAUCAAGGGGGCUACAUCUCCUUCAUGGUGAAUAUUUUUGCCCAUGUACAAUUCUUUCUCCAGAUAUGCGAUGCGAGCCUUCAACUUCUCGAUCCUCUCCAAGAAGUCCUUCACCUCCAAUUCGUGCUCGUAGUGGGCUUCUCGAGCUUCUUCUUCGAGCUCGAGUUCGCGGAGCGUCGGUUGCUUGAUCUUCUUUGUGUCCUUGCUUACACGAAGCUCCAGAGUCCCGAUGUGUGUCUCCAAGGUCUGGCCAUAGGACAGGAGAGCGUCUUUAGUCUUGGUCAUGAUGAUUUCUCCAUCUGCUCCUCUCCGGGAGACCGUGAAUAAGUUCGGUGAAAUGGGACAGCCUCUAUAAACCUCCUUGAUAGGUCCAAGUGCAUAGUGAGCCACCAUGUCCCUUCCCAGAAUCCAGCUGGGUGCGAUGAACUUGAAGUCCACAGGUUCUGUGCAUGGCUCGAAAGUUCUUCUGAGGAUGUGCACCUCAAUCCUGUAGCGUGCAUCUGCCGGGUAAGACAUGGUAGGUUUUUCGGUGAUGGUUGGCAGAGCAAUCCAUAAGUCCUUGGUGAUCUGCAUCAUCUCCUUUCCGAAGGGCAUUGUUACGUCGGGCUAGCAAAACUCCAUGACCUUAACUGGGAUGAAGGUGGCCAUCUAGAAAAUAUUGGAAGAUCGAAGAGAAGUCAGAAAUAAGCAGAAGAGAAAUAUAGAAGAUUUAUAGAUAUAAGAAAAUAGUUUUCUUCCUAAGGCUUUUCCAAUCCUAGAGGUUACGUCUUACGGUCAGCGUGCUCUCCGAUACCAUAUCUGUAGCGACCCGACCUGAAACGGCCAAGUCUCUGGUGUUUCUGUACCAUCCCAAGAUCAUGCUGGUACACACACAGUACAUCAAUGUAUAUAUCGAGAGUUCAAUCACACAGCUUUAUUAAUCGGAUCUCAUAUCGAGUACUUUAUUACAAUAAAGAUUACAAUAAAGAGGCUGAAGGCCAACUCAUGAGAUAACUAAACGAAGACUAGCGGAAGCUUCAAAGGUAGUUGAGUCCAUAUGACUCCAGGGCAUAUCACCGAGCGUAGAUCGUGACCUCACUCCUGGUCGGAAAAGUACUCUGCAAUAUGACACAUUGCAGCCGUGUAGGUCAGCAUAUUGAAUAUGCCGACAAGUUAAAUAAGAGAGAGGUGAAAAAGUAUCAUCUAUACUAUAUGCAUAUAUGGCAGGUGGGGUUGUAAGUUUUUUGCUGAAAGCAAAGUUUUCUCCAACAACAAGAGAGGGGGUAAAAGUAAAAUUUUACUACAUUGUUGGUUGUUAAUGAGAUGGUUCCGCCAACCAUAUCUCAUACCCAAGUUGUCAAUAAUACCCACAUCUUUAAUAUUAUUUGUGUUGAGAAUUCCAGAUAAUUUUAGUUCCUUCGACUCAAGUUGUCCAUGACCGUGGACACGGCUAAUCAAUUAGGUUAGGGUACUCUGUAGAGUUCUGCACACGUUCCCCACAAGAUUUGAUCGCCUCCGUUGGAGUCCUCGCACUUGAGGGUGUUUGAGAAACGGAUGAUCAAAACAUGGUCUUUCAACGGGUUCCUCUUAGCCACUGUCGGUGCCCAUCCAAUCUUACCGUUCUUCUACAUCUCGUAGCACCGCCCGUCCAAAGUCACCACGUUGUCCAACCAAGCCAGAGCCCAUAAUGACUUGUGCCUGUGCAGGUAAGCCUUGGGUCUUGAAGCAUCCAUCCAUCUCUUCGUGCCUGGGUGAAUCUUUCCGCAAGAUGUCGUGGCACUUCCCCGUGCAUCUCGGGUCCUCCGCUGGUUUUCCCCAGGGAGCCCAUCUGAAUCGUCCUUCACCCAGAGGUGUAUUCUAUCACGAGGUCUCGAAAAGUCUUGAAUUAACUCGUCUUGAUUAUUAAAUUCUCACAACACUCGUGAUAAACACUCAACCAAAAUCCGUCUACUAAAAGCAUAGCAAAAUAAAAAUUUAUCAUCAUGGGACAAGUAAAAAGGGUGAUGGGUGCCUACCACAUGAUACUACAUCAAGAACCAAUUUUUCCGAGUACCUGCUUUGCAUGCAAUAGGUGAAGAAGGUAGAACUAGAUGCAUAAAAAACAUAGGUAAAACAUGAUCAACGUGACUUGCCUUGUUGACGACUGUCGAACUCGAGCGCUUCUAGAUAACAAGCUUCGCAUUCCGUAUGAUCUGACGAAACAAUAAUUUCACACAAUAAGCAUCACAAUAGCAAGUAAUCAAAAUAAAGCAACAAACAAAACGUAGCUAGAACAAAAGAGAGAAAAAUUGCCCUACAAGAACUAAAACAGAAACUGUUUUGUUGAAAACCCCAAGAUAAAAAUAUCCUAAAAAUGUUGAAAUUAAACUCACUGAUAAAUAAGAUCACUAGUGAUCAGUAGCAAAAGGAAUCAACUAAAAAUCUAUUUUUAAACUCCACAUAUUAACAAAACAAGAUUUAAACCAAAUCUGUUUAAAUUCGAAUUUAUAUUUUCAAACAUGGUCAAAUUUUAUAUCUACAGAAACUACAUAAAAUUUUUGAUCCAAUUCAAAAAGAAUCACCUAAUUUGGAGUUAUAGAAUAAUAGUUAUAGGGAUUCUAAAAUUUGGUUCAAAUCUGUUUUCAGAAUUAAAAACAGAAAAAAAAUACUAUGCUACGUGGCAGGCUGUGAGUGGCUGAGAUGUGUGCGCGUUAUAGUCUAACUAGCGGACGGCCGCAAAAUAAAGAAAACCUUUCGGUUAAAACCUACUAAUAGAAAAAUUGCGAUCUUUCUAAAUAAACCGAAGGGGUAUCUACUCACAUAUUCCUAACCGCGGGAUGGUGAUCUAACGGUGGAGGGGAAAACAAAAGGGCUCAUCGUUGCUGCAGGGAAGAACUCCGGCGAGUUGCUCCUGGCCGAAGGUGAGGGUGGCGAGGGGAGGCGGUUCCGGUGGCCGAAAGGGGCGGCGGGGUGGUCCAGGCGGCACAGGAGGGUCGUCGGCGUCCUGUGGUCGUGUCAGAAGGCGCUAGGGGGCGACGGAGGGCGCCGCAGGGGCUCCAGGAGCUUCGGUCGAAGGGAGCUCCGACGAGGUGGCUAGUGGCAGCGUGAGGCGGGGGUCUUGAGGGGAACGGAGUGCGGAGGGGUCAGGUACUUAUAUAAGGUCCUCGGGGCUACGGGAGGGAAGGGGAACGGCGAGAUCGGGCACGGGAUCCGGCGAGGUAGCUUCGUGGAAGGAGCUCGUGUGCACAGAAGGAAAGAAAUGGGAGGUAGGGGGAAGAGAUAUCGGGCCGGAUCCGUUUCCACAUCGGGCCCAGGUUGGUUUCCUAAAUAAAAUGAUUCGGUUUCCUAAUAAUUAAAACAGGAAAGAAAACUAUGAAAAGGAAUUAAAUCUUUUUACUAAAAUAUAAGUAUUAUAUAUCAAAAUGAUCAGACAAAUAUUUCCCACCACGUGGACAUUUUCUUUUUCACAAAAUAAAAACUAAAAAAUUAUUUAAAAAAAAUAAAAAUCCAAAUUUUGCCUUUAAAAUUUUUGGCACUCUUUUUCUACUGAUUUUUUUUGGGGGGUGUCAUGUCACCUCCUCUCUUUCUUGCUUGGCAAGUAUUUUGUCUGGAAAAUUUUAUGGGUGAAAUUUCUUGUCCCAAAAUAAAAAUUCAGAAUCGAAAACCGAAAGGAAUUCAAAUGCCACAUUCAUUCCAAUAAAACACAUAGAUGCUUAGCUACAAUUGUAAAACAUUCCAGAUUGAAAAUUUGGGAUGUUAGAGGUGCCCUUGAAGGCAGCAACCGAACCUUUACAAACAAGGUUGGGGCUAUCUCCACACAAAGCUUGGAGGCUCCCAACAAGACCACGAAGCUUCACCACAAUGGAAUGUGGCUCCGAGGUGACCUCAACUGUCUAGGGUGCUCAAACACCCAAGAGUAACAAGAUCCGCAAGGGAUUAGUAGGGGGAAUCAAAUAUAUCUUGGUGGAAGUGUAGAUCAAAGCCUUCUCGAGCAAUCCCUAGGAAAUCAACAAGUUUGAUUGGCUAGGGAGAGAGAUCGGGCAAGAAUGAGCUUUGGAGCAACAAUGGAGCUUGGGGAGGUAAGAGGUAAACUUCUCAGGGAAGAAGACACCUAUAUAUAGUGGGGGGCACAAUCCAACCGUUACCCACCCACCAACUGCACUAGCCAAGCGGUACUACCACUCUAGGAGCGGUACUACCGCUGCUAGGAGCGGUACUACCGCUCCUAAGAGCGGUACUACCGCCAGACAGCUCACCAACCACAUUAGUAAGAAAAUACUACCGUGCCUACCACUGUGGGGGAAAAGGAUGCGCAAAAAUUACGACGGGGCAGUAGUAAAAAACUACUACUGCCCCGAGGGCAGUAGUACCGCUCAUGGAGCGGUAGUAAAAAAUUACUACCGCUCGCCCUUUUGCACAUGCAUGAAAAACAAGGUUGGAGCUCCAUUGUAGCAAGGGAAAGGUGGUGCGCUAAAAAUGUGUACGUGAUGAUUCCACCCAAACCUUUCUGACGCGGACCCCUCUUAAUAGUACGGCUUUCCUAUGACUCAAAUCCACCAAAGAGAAAUGUAGAAAACAAACGUCUUCGAAAGACUCCGAGGGGCAUCGAAUAGUCUUGUGCCUAGUCAUGAAUUAUCUGAAAUGCUCAAUGCACACGAUUAGUCCGCACAGACAUUGUCAUCAAUCACUAAAACCACUUAGGGAGAAAUAUGCCCUAACAUGUCUUUCAAAAAAGAUCCAUUAAUAAGGUUGAUCAAGUCUUAUUAAUAACCAUUUCCGAUUAACAUGAAACCAAAGAAUUUCUGUACAUCACUAUGUUACCUCAAUGAGGAUUUGGAUCUCCCUAACAAUAAUAUUAUAGUAUUUCUUUUUCUUAGCAGUAGGUAGAGGGAUUGUAAAAUCUCCAAUGAAGACCAUGGGAAUAGGCUCAAUGAGAUUAGUAUUGUUAACCAAAGUUUGCUUCUUCGGACAAUGAACAGUAUGUUGCUUGCCAUUAACAUGAAAAGUGACCUUGCUUUUGUUGCAAUCAAUAACAGCCCCUGCAUUAUUUAGAAAGGGUCUACCAAGGAUGAUCGACAUAUUGUCUUCCUCGAGCAUGUCAAGAAUAACAAAAUUUGUUAAGAUAGUAACAUUUGCAACCACAAUGGGGAUGUCCUCGCAAAAUCCAAAAGGUAAAGUAGUGGAUUUAUCAGCCAUUUGCAAAGAUAUCUCAGUGGGUGUAAGCUUAUCCAAUUCAAGUCUUCUAUAAAGGGAGAAAGGCAUAACAGUAACACCGACACCUAAAUCACAUAAAGCAGUUUUAACAUAAUUUCUUUUAAUAGAGCAAGGUAUUGUGGGUAUACCCGGAUCUCCCAACUUCUUAGGUAUUCCACCAUCAAAAUAGUAAUUAGAAAGCAUAGUAGCAAUUUCAGUUUUGGGUAUCUUCCUUUUAUUGGUAAUAAUAUCCUUCAUGUACUUAGCAUACGAAGGCAUUUUCAAUAUAUCAGUCAAGCGAGUGCGCAAAAAGACGGGUCUAACCAUUUUAGGAAAGCAUUCAAAAUCUUCAUUGUCCCUACUUUUAUAAGGUUGUUGAGGGAAUGUCAUUGGUUUUUGAACCCAUGGUUGUCUUACCCUUCCAUGUUUUCUAGCAACAAAGUCUCUCUUAUCAUAAUGUUUAUUUUUAGGAGGUUGUUAUCAAGACCCUCAGCAGGUUCUAUCUCAACAUCAUUAUUAGGUUCCUUAUUACUACCUGGUGGAUCUUCUACAUGAACAUCCUUAUUAUUGGUAUCAUUAUCAUUAAGUUCAUGUUCACUACCAGAUUGUGUCUCACCAUCAAAAAUGGAAUCAUCAUUAUGAUUCUCAGAAGGUUUUUCGAUAUCAGGUUCACUAGAGGCAUGCAAAGUCCAGUCAUUUUUCUUUUUCUUUUUAUUACUAGUGGGACUAGGUGUAUCAUCAUUAAUUUUCUGUGAAUCUUGUUCUAUUCUUUUAGGGUGACCUUCUGGGUAAAGAGGUUCCUCAGUAAUUAUACCUCCUGUAGUCAUUACUCUAACAGCAUGAUCAUUAAUAUUAUUCAUUUCAGCAAGCAAAGAUUUUGUGACUUAGCUACUUCAUCUAGUUGGGUGUGAACCAUAGAAGAAUGUUUACCUAGACCUUUCACAUCAUUAGCAAUUCUAAACAUCAAGUCACUUAAGCGGUCUAUCAUCAUGGCAUUAUUCUUCAAUUGAUCCUUAACAUAGUUAUUGAAGUGUUCUUGUUUAACAAUUUAAUUAUAAAAUUCAUCCAUGCUUUUAUCAAGAGACUUAGCAUAAGGUAUAUCAUUUACAAUAAAGGAACAGAGAGAGUUUACCUCUACUACCUGUGUCGGGGUAUCAAGUCCAUGUAUUUCUUCAAUAGGUGGUAAUUUCUUUACAUCCUCAAGUUUAAUACCUUUCUCUUUCAUAGAUCUUUUUGCUUCUUGCAUAUCUUCAGGGCUAAGGAAUAGAAUACCUCUCUUCUUUUUAGUAGAUUGUUGUGGUGGUUCAGGAAGUGUCCAUUCAUCGGCAUUUUGCAAUAUAUUAUUUAGUAACUCUUCUGCUUGUGCAAGGAUUCUUUCCCUAAAAACACAACCAACACAAAUAUCUAGGAAAUUCCUAGAACCAUUUGUUAGUCCAGUAUAAAAGAUAUCAAGAAUUUCAUUCUUCUCAAGAGAACAAGCACGCAAAGCUAUAAGUAGCUGGAGAAGCCUCCCCCAAGCUUGAGGUAUAUUCUCUUCUUUAAUUUGCACAAAGUUAAAUACUUCCUGUAAAGCGGCUUCUUUCUUAUGAGGAGGAAAAUAUUUUUCAGAGGAGUAAUAAAGCAUAUCUUGGGGACUACGCAUACAACCAGGAGCAAUAGAAAGGAACCAUUCCCUAGCCUCGCCUUUCAGCAAGAAAGGAAAAAAGCUUGAGGAUAUAAUAGUAGUGUAUCUCUUCAUCAUUGGUAAACAAGGCAGCAAUAUCAUUCAGUUUCAUAAGGUGUUCAACCACAGUUUCAUUUUCAUAUCCAUGGAAAGGAUCAAACUCUACUAUAUCAAAUUAGUUCAUGGUAUAUAGCAAAUUCAUAGUCUUUAUCCGUGACAAAUAUAGGAGAAGUAGCAAAUUUAGGAUCAUGUUACAUUUUCUCCCUUAUCGAUUUUUCUUUUAGUUUGUAUAGUAAUCUCUUCACAUCAUAUUUAUUUCACAAGCAAGAAAAUCCCUAGCUACCUCACCAUCCAUAAAAUAACCUUCGGAUACAUAAGGAAAUUCAUAUAUAUUAGGAGGAUGAGGUGUAAUAGGCGAUUGAAAGUUUCCAUCUGUUUCAGCAUUUUCAAGUUCGCUAGCUCUAGCAAUAUGAGCAUCAAGUAAUUCACUCAGUGGCACAGUUUUAGUUUCAAUAUGUGUAGAAAUAGUAUCAUGAUUAAUUUCAGAAGUAGCAUCAGCAAGUUCAUGUGACAUAUCACGACGAUCAACAACUGGUGGUGUAACAAGCUGAUUCAAAAUAGUAGGUGAAUCAAAAAUGGAGCUAGAUGGCACUUCCUUAUCUCCUCUCAUGCGAGAAGGGACGAUCUUAGUUCGAUUAUCUUUCAGAUUCUUCAUAGUGGGAAUUGGAUAUCCUCAAGUCAACACAAUAAAGCUAGCUAUGCUCCCGGGCAACGGUGCCAGAAAAAGGUCUUGACCACAAGUAUAGGGGAUCACGACGGCAUUCACGGGUAGCAUUUCAUCCUAAUUUAUUUAUUCGACACAGGGGGAGCCAAAGAAUAUUUAUUAACCAUAACAGUUGAGUUUUCAAUUCAUCCACACGUGGGAUAUCUCUUUGCAGCAAGGAUUUAGUAGCACAACAAAUGAUAAUAGUAACAGUAACAGUGAUAGCCGCAAUUUGGUAACGGUAGUAGUAGUAGCAAUUGAGUAGCAGGUGUGACACUAGCAGCAAAAGUAGUAACUUAGCAAGAUUGAGUAUAUGUAAAUCAUAGGCACAUGGAUUAGUGAUGGAUAAUGAUUUAGAUGACAUUGAUCAUGUAACAGUUACACACUAGGGCGAUACAGAACUAGCUCCAAAUCAUCAAUAUAAGUAGGCAUGAAUUUCGUAUAUAGUCAUACGUGCUUGCAAUAAGAACUUGCAUGCCAUGUUUUGUCCUACCCUUCCGUGGUGGCGGGGUCCUAUUGGAAACUAUGGGAUAUUAAGGCCUCCUUUUAAUAGAGAAUAUGAACAAAACAUUAACACAUGGUGAAUACAUGAACUCCUCAAACUACGACAAUCACCGGAAAGAAUCCCAAUUAUUGCCGCCUUGGGGUAUGCGGAUCAAGACACGUAAUAAGUAACUACAACUUGCAAGAUAGGAUCUAAAUCACUCUUAUAUUCAUGAAAACAUAAUAGGCUCAGAUCUAAAAUCAUGGCACUCGGGUCCUAGUGAUAAGCAUUAAGCAUAGCAAAGUCAUAGUAACAUCAAUCUCAGAACAUAGUGGAUACUAGGGAUCAAGCCCUAUCAAACUUGACACGAUUACAUGAUCUAUCUCAUCCAAUCCCACCACCGUCCAGCAAGCCUACAAAGGAAUUACUCACUCCCGGUGGUGAGCAUCAUGGUGGUGUUGCUGGAGAAGGGUUGGUGAUGACGACGGAAAUGAAUCCCCCUCUCCGGAGCCCCAAACGGACUCUAGAUCAGCCUUGAUACGUCUCCAACGUAAUGAUAAUUUAUGAAGUAUUAAUGCCAUGUUUGCCUAUGUUUGCAAUACUUUUAUAUGGUUUUGCUGCACUUUAUAUGAAUUAUUUGUAACUAACCCGAACUGACGCUAUUUUCAGCAGAACUACCGUGGUGUUGUUUUUGUGCAGAAAUAAAAGUUCUCGGAAUUGGACAAAAAAAUUGAUGAUUUUUUGGAGGAAAAGAGAAAUAUUGGAGCAAAGAACCACCAGAGGGGGUCCGUGAUACCCACUAGACACCGGGUCGCACCAGGCCCCCCAAGCGCGCCAUGAUGUCUAGUGGGCACCUCAUGGCCCAUCUUGGCGUGCUUCCAACGCCCAAAAAUCCUAUAAAUGUACAAACCUCCAGAAAUAACCCUAGACGAGAAGCUCUGCACCCGCAGGUCUCUGAAUCCACGAAAAACCAAUCUGGAGAUGUUCGAGUACCCUGCCGGAGAGGGAAAAUCAUCUCCGGUUACCAUCUUCAUCAUCCCGGUGGCCACCAUGACAAGGAGGGAGUAGUCCACCCUCGGGGCUGAGGGUUUGUACCAGUAGCUAUGUGUUUAAUCUCACUCUCUCUCUCUCGUGUUCUUCAGAUGUCAUGAUCUUGAUAUAUCACGGGCCUGGUUAAUAUAGUUGGAUCAUAUGGUAUUUGUCCCAUGCUACUAUUAUGAUGAAUUGAAUCUUUCACUUUAAGAUCUCGUUAUGUUGGAUUGAAUAUUCAGGUUUGAGAGCACAUAAUAUAUGUCUUGCAUGCGGAUACCCUAGUGACAUUGGGGUAUUCAAGUGAUUCACUUGAUAUAUGUUGUGGCAUUAACUCGCGGAUUCCCGAGGUGACAAUGGGGUAAUCUAGGCAUAGGGGUUGAUUGCACGUUUUCAUACUAUGAUUCUCCAAUAGAAGUCUUGUGUGCUCAUUGAAGUUCUUUUUGUUGGAUUGAGUAUUAUGAAUCUGAAUUUGUUAUAGUGUUAUUUUAGUACAAACUCUUGAUAGAUCGAUCGGAAAGGAUAACUUGUUAUCUUAGUAGGAACUCGUGGAAAGAUUGAUCGAAAACAAUAACUUUGAGGUCGUUUCGUACCCUACAAACAAUUUCUUAUUAUGUUCUCCACUAGAUAGAAACUUUGGAGUGAUUCUUUAUUGCACGUUGAGGGAUUGUUAUAUGAUCUAACUAUGUUAGCAUUAUUGAGAGAUUGCACUAGCGAAAGUACGGACCCUAGGCCUCAUUUUCGAGCAUUUCAAUACUAUUUAUGCUCACUUUUGUUACUUGUUACCUUGUUGUUUUUAUAUUUUCAGAUUACAAAAACUAUAUAUACUAUCAUAUCUACACUUGUAUCAACAUCUCUUCACCGAACUAGUGCACGUGUACAAAUUACCAUUGUAUUUGGUGUGUUGUGAACACAAGAGACUUUUUAUUAUUUGGUUGCAGGGUUUUUUGAGAGAGACCAUCUUCAUCCUACUUCUCCCAUGGAUUGAUAAAUCUUAGGUCAUCCACUUGAGAUAGAUUUGCUAAUGUCCUACAAAACUAUGCGCUUAGAGGCCCAACAUAGUCUACAAGAAUAAAGUUGUGUAGUAGACAUCAAGCUCUUUUCUUGCUGAUACAUCUCCAACGUAUCGAUAAUUAAUGAAGUAUUCAUGCCAUAUUCACCUAUGUUUACAAUAAUUUUAUAUGGUUUUGAUGCACUUUGCAUGAUUUAUUUAGAACUAACCUGGAGUGACGCUGUUUUCAGCAGAACUAUCGUGGUGCUGUUUUUUGUGGAGAAAUCAAAGUUCUCCAAAUGCAACGAAACUUUUUGACAUUUUUUUGGGAAUAGAAGAGGCACUAGAAGCUUCGUUGGAGGCCCAGAAGAGCCACGAGGUGGGCACAAGCCACCAGGGCGCGCUAGAGGCCCCAGGCGCGCCCUGGUGUCUUGUUCUCUCCUCGUGGCACAUCUUCGCGUAAAAUCGACGCCCAAAAAUCAUAUAAGUAUAGAAACCUCCAGAAAUAACCCUAGACGAGAAGUUCCACUGCCGCAAGGUCUCUGUAUCCAUGAAAAACUAAUCUGGAGACGUUCCAGUACCGUGCCGAAGAGGGAAAAUCAUCUCCGGUGGCCAUCUUCAUCAUCCCGGUGGCCACCAUGAUGAGGAGGGAGUAGUUCACCCUCAGGGCUCGGGGUUUGUACCACUAGUUAUGUGUUUAAUAUUUCUCUCGUGUUCUUGAGAUUUCAUGAUAUUGAUAUAUCACGGGCCUUGUUAAUAUAGUUGGAUCAUAUGGUAUUUUUCCCAUGCUAUUAUUGUGAUGAAUUGAAUCUUUCACUUUAAGAUCUCGUUAUGAUUGGAUUGGAUAUUCAGGUUUGAGAGCACAUAAUAUUGUCUUGCAUGCGCAUACCCAUAGUGGCAUUGGGGUAUUCAAGUGAUUCACUUGAUAUAUGUUGGGGCAUCAACUCGGGGAUUCUCGAGGUGACAAUGGGGUAAUCUAGGCAUAGGGGUUGAUUGCAUGUUUUCAUACUAUGAUUCUCCAAUAUAAAUCUUGGUGUGCUCCUUGAAGUUCUAUGUGUUGGAUUGAGUAUUAUGAAUUUGAAUUUGUUAUCGUGUUAUUUUAGUACGAACUCUUGAUAGAUCGAUCAGAAAGGAUAACUUGUUAUCUUAGUAUGAACUCUUGGAAAGACUAAUCGGAAAGAAUAACUUUGAGGUGGUUUCGUACCCUACAAAAAAAUCUUCUUAUGUUCUCCGCUAGAUAGGAACUUUGGAGUGAUUCUUUAUCGCACGUCGAGGGAUUGUUAUAUGAUCUAACUAUGUUAGCAUUGUUGAGAGAUUGCAUUAGCAAAAGUACGGACACUAGGCCUCAUUUUCAAGCAUUGCAAUACCGUUUAUGCUCACUUUUGUUAAUUGCUACCUUGUUGUUUUUAUAUUUUCAGAUUACAAAUAACUAUAUCUACUAUCAUUACUACACUUGUAUCACCAUCUCUUUGCCAAACUAGUGCAACUAUACAAAUUACCAUUUUAUUUGGUGUGUUGGGGAUACAAGAGACUUUUGAUUAUUUUGUUACAGGAUUGCUUGACAAAGACCAUCUUAAUCCUACGCCUCCCACAGAUUGAUAAACCUUAGGUUAUCCACUUGAGGGAAAAUUGCUACUGUCCAACAAAACUCUGCGCUUGGAGGCCCAACACGAGUCUACAAGAACAAGUUGUGUAGUACACAUCAAGCCCUCUGGAGGAAGAACAGGAGGUGGCGGCGGCUCCAUCUCGUGAAACGUUGUUAAAACUUCUGUCUGAUUUUGUUCUCCAAAGAUGUGAUUUUAUAGGACUGCAAUUAGGGUCGGAGCAGCCAUGUGGAACCCAUAAGCCAUCAAGCCGUGGCAUGGGGGGCGCACUGUGUUAGCUUGUGCGCCCUUGGCAGCGUUUCUCCAACAGGUCUUUGCUCCAUAAUUCACCAUAAAUCCUAGAAAUAAUUCACAAAAAGUUCCAUUCAAUUCCGAGAACUUUUAUUUAUGCACAAAAAUAACACCAAGUUAGUUGCGGUGAAAACAACGUUAGUGUGGGUUAGUUUCAUUCAAAUCAUGCAAAUUAUAGGUCAAUACGAGAGCAAAAUUGUUUGGAAAAGUAUAUAUGUUGCAGACAUAUCAACUCCCCCAAGCUUAACUCAUUGCUUGUCCUCAAGCAGUUAAGUUGAUAAACUGAAAGUGGUAAAUAAAACUUAUACAAACUAUUUUGUUCUUAUCGUUAUACAUAUGCUUAGCUAGUUUUCAAGUUUUCAGCAUAAAUCAUAAGUAACCACAUCCAUGAUAACAAUUAAGCAUCAUAUUCAAUCAUGGCAAUACAAAACCAACUAGCAAGCAAUAAUAAGAUAUCUCACAUGCCAACUAUUUGUCAAGGCAAUCACGAUAUAAUAUGGUGACAUGGUAUCAUGCUAGCCCUUUCUGAGACUGCAAAACAUAAUUGCAGAGCACCUCUGAGAUUCAAGUAGAGACUAAAUAUUAUAAUUCGGAAUAGUGAAGAUCCUGGUUAUAUUCCUAACCAACAUUGACUAGAAUCAAUGCAUAAAAAUGACAAUACUGCUCUCCGGUCUCGUGUUGUAGGUAAGAAGGUGAUGACCCAACAUAAAAAUAAAGAGAUAGGCCAUUUUCGAAGGGAAGCAUUGAUUUGCAGAAGUGCCAGAGCUCAAGUUAUAAUUCAGAGUAGGGGAGAUCCGAGAUUAUUUCUGGACCAAAAAACACCAACAAGCAUCACAGGAACGCUGGGGGCCACACAAGGGCCCCACAAACCAACCCGGCGCGGCCUGGGGGGUUGUUCGCUUAUGGGCCCCUCGAAUCCCUCCCGGCUCCAUUCUUUGGCUUAUAAAUUCUCAGAUACCCUAAAAACCCCGGAAGCAGUCCCGAAACACUUUUUUACGCACACGCAAGUCUCUGUUCCGACGGGAGGCCAUCUCGAGCUUCGUUUUGGCACCCUGUCGAAGGGGGAAUCAAUCACAAAGGGCCUCUUCAUCAACCUUGCUGAAGUCAUGAUGAUGUGUUAGUAGUUCAUCAUAAACCUACGGGUCCAUAGCCAGUACUUAGAUGGCAAUCUCUCUUUCUUUUGAUCUUCAAUACAAUGAUCAUCGCAUCUUCGCUUUGAUCCACAUGAUGUAAUUCCUUUUGUGCGGUGCAUUUGUUGGGAUUCAACGAAUUGUGGAUUUAUGUUCAUAUUAUUCAUGAUAAAUAUUUGAGUCUUAUUUGAAUACUUAUAUGAUUCUUAUGUGCAUGAUUAUGAUAGCUUUGUAAUUCUCUCUGAUCUAUUCAAAUAGUUUGGCCAACUAGAUUGAUAUUUCUUCGGUGAGAGAGGUGCGUUGUAGUAGGUUCAAUUUGGCGAAUUUCUAUAUCUCAUUGACAGAAGGGGGCAAGAUGUGUCUUUGUGUUGCUGCUAGUAAGGACAAAACAAUGGGGUUUAUUCAUAUUGCUUGAGUUUACUUUGUCUACAUCACGUCAUUUUUCUCCAUGCAUUGUUAUGUUUUACUUAAUACUCUAGAUGCAUGGUGGAUAGCGAUCGAUGAGUGGAGUAAUAGUAAUAGGUUCAUGCAGGAGUCGACCUAUUUGUUUAUGGACGUGAUGCAUAUAUACACAUGAUCAUUGUCGUCAAUAUCGCGUAACUAUCCGCUUUUCUGUCAAUUGUCCAACAGUAAUUUAUUUACCCACCAUAUGUUAUUUUUCACGAGAGAUGCCAUUAGGGAAAACUAUGGCCCCCGGGUCUAUUCACAACAUACCUGCAAAACCUUCAAUACAUUACUACCAUUUACUUCUUUUCAUUUUAUCUUGUUAUCUACACACCUUAAUCGCUUGCAUAUAGGGGAUUGACAACCCUCUUGCCCAUGUUGCGUGCAAGUUGUUUGUUAUUUUGUGUGAAGCCACUGAGGAUGGUUGUGGUUGAUAUUCCUAUUGGUCUGAUAAACCUUGGUUUCAUAACUGAGGUAAAUAAUUACCCACAUUGUGUUGCGAUAACCCGUUCGUCUUCACGGAAAACCCAACACAGAUCACAAGUAUCAGUUGCUUCUCCAUGGACCCUUUUUGAGUUGAGCCCUCCAUGGAAUCGCGCGGCCGUUACCCUCUGUGGGUUCAAGUCUCCAUCAAUGUGGAUGUAUGAUAGCACCACAUAUCGGAACCAUGCCAAAAAUCACCAUGUCAAUCUUUGUGUUUGAUCUUCCUAAACUCUACUCCUUACUUUGCAUGUGCGUGUCUUUACUUUCCGCUGCUAUACUCGUAGACUUGCAUGUGUAGGGUGUGUUUGACUUGCUAUAAAUUCUAAAAUUUUCCAACAACUCAAAUUUGGAAAGGCUAGUUUUAAUUUGUCAAAUAGUCUAUUCACCCCCCCCCCCCUCUAGACAUCCCUUCUAGUGAUCCCACAAUUGGUAUCAGAGCUUUGGUCUCCAUAGCCUUGGUUUAAUCACCAUUGGAGGAAGAUGGAUGUGUCUACUUUGGGGAAUCUUAGUUGUAGAGUGCCCAUUCUCAAUGGGGAGAACUAUAGUCGAUGGAAAGGUGAAAUGUUUGAUAUACUUGAUGAAUUCCAUCUAAGCAAAUAUGUUGAAAAUCUCUAUGUGCCUCCCGUUGAUUCCUUGCAUCCUUCUCAUGAUGAAGAAGUUAAUAUGUUUUGCAAUCUUAAAAUUGUUAAUCUUAUCAUUAGAGGAUUGCCAAUAAUUGUGCUUAAUCAAAUGAAGAACUUUGAGUUUGCUUAUACUUUGUGGAAAGAUUUGGAGAAAAGAUAUCCUGACAACUCCUUGAAAAAUCUUGAUGUCAUUUUCCAAAAAUCUAUUGUCUUUCACAAUAUGAAGCCAAAUGAUCCAAACUUUGAUAAUCAUCUAUUUGAGCUUCAUGACCUCAUGUGUGCUAAAGGAGAUGUCAUUACCGUCAAUGACAUCAUUGUUGAAGCCAUUCAUAUUCAUAAACUUGAACAUUGUUAUGGUAAAAAUUCUAACAAAUAUCUUGAUUCUUGUGACGAGGAUAUUCCAUUUAACUAUGACAAUGUGGAGCAUGGCUACUACGAUGAAGAUGAGAAGUUUGACAUCGAAUAUGAGAAGACCAUGAGGAGACUAAGUCCUAUGGCAAGCCCCAAGAGACUACAUGGCCGGAGGAAAGCAGUGGAUUCUCGACAGUGGAUGCAUCGAUCACAUGACCGGGGAUAGAGACAUGUUUCAAGAGAUCACACCACACCAUGGACCAUGAAGGUAUGUGAUUUUUGGAGACAACUCCAAGAGUAAGGCACUAGGUCUUCGUAAGGUGGCCGUAUCUCAUGAUAGUUCCAUUCAAAAUGUCAUGCUUGUUGAAUCCCUUGGCUACAACCUUCUUUCCGUAUCUAGACUAGCGUACUUUGGUUUCAAUGUGCUAUUUACGAAAGUUGAUUGCCAGGUGUUUCGUCAAGACAAUCAUAACAUGGUCUUUAUUGGUUUUCGUAGAGGUGAUCUAUACAUUGUUGAUUUCGCUAAAAAAACCUCGUACAUGUCGUAUUGCAAAAUCUUCUAAAGGUUGGUUAUGGCAUAGAAGACCAGGACAUGUUGGAAUGCGUAAUCUAGAUAGGCUUAUCAAAGGUGAUCAUAUCUUGGUGUUAAAGAUGUUAUCUUUGAUAAAGAUAGACUUAGUAGCGCUUGUCAAGCAGGAAAACAAGUCGAUGGAAGUCAUCCCGUGAAGAACAUCAUGAUUACCAGAAGUCCACUCGAGCUGCUUCACAUGGAACUCUUUGGUUCCAAUGCUUACCAGAGCCUUGGUGGAAAUUAUUUUGGUCUAGUUAUUGUUGAUGAUUUUUCCAGAUUUAUGUGGGUAUUCUUUCUUGAUGACAAGUCGCGGGUAUAAAAGAUCUUCAAGAACUUCGCUCAAAAAGCCCAAAAUCAGUUUGAAGUGAAGAUCCCUAAAGUUCGGAGCGACAACACAUCAGAGUUCAAGAACACAAAUGUGGAUACUUUUCUUGAAGAAGAGGGUAUGUCACAUGAGUUCUCGGCGAUGUACACACCUCAACAAAUGGAGUUGUUGAGAGGAAGAACUGGACUCUCAUAGACAUGGCUAUAACGGUGCUUGACGAAUACAAGACAUCGAGACACUUCUGGGAAGAAGCCAUGGAAACACCUUGUCAUGCCACAAACCGACUCUACCUACACAAGCUUCUUGGUAAAACGGAAGACGAGCUACUCACCGGUAACAAACCCCAAGUUGGAUACUUUCGGGUAUUCGGCUCAAAGUGCUACAUUCUUGAUAAGCAUUGUCUUUCUAAAUUUUCUCUAAAUCUCAUGAAGGUUUCCUACUUGGUUAUGAUCAAACUCUCACACUUACCGUGUCUACAACAACUUCACUCAAAAAGUUGAAGAUGCAGUAGAUGUGAAAUUUGAUGAAUCUAAUGGUUCGCAAUUUAAAUAAUUGCCAAAUGAUGUAGGGGAUAAGGAACCUUCAGAAGUCAUUCAAGACCUGUCCAUUGGCAAGAUUCGUCCCAAGGAGGUGCAGGAAAGUACUUCAUCAACACAUGUGGAAGCUCCUACUUCGCAUCAAGGCGAAGCACAAAUCGACAUGGAGGUAUCCACAAGCGAUACACGACAAGAUGAAGUGGAGGAAGAAGUACAUCGUGAUGAUCCACCUCAACCUUCUUCGCCGCCACCUCAAGGAGAUGACACCAUUAAUGACAACGAAGACGAAUAUGAAGAUGAUGAGGAGGAGGCUCCACCACCCAACAAGCAAAGGUUGUCACGAGUUUGAGCACGAGUGAACAAUAAUCAUCCACUAGAUCAAAUCUUCGGUGACAUAAAAAAUGUGAGAAUCACUCGCUCUAAAACUCGUUUGGCUAACUUUUGUGAGCAAUACUCAUUUAUCUAUAGCAUUGAGCCUAUGAAGGUAGAAGAAGCACAUCAAGACCCGGAUUGGGUGAAUGUCAUGCACGAAGAGCUACACGACUUCGAGAGGAAUGAAGUUUGGACACUCGUGGAGAAACCCAAGGACGAGCACAACAUCAUUGGUACAAAAUGGGUAUUUAGGAACAAGCAAGAUGAAGAUUUCCAGGCGGUACGUAACAAGGCACGUCUCGUAGCUCAAGGUUGCACGCAAGUCAAAGGUAUGGACUAUGGUGAGACAUAUGCCCUCGUUGCUAGACUUGAAGCCGUUUGUAUUCUUCUCGCUUAUGCCAAUCACCAUGAUAUUACUCUUUACCAAAUGGAUAUCAAAAGUGCUUUUCUAAAUGGUGAAAUUGAGGAGGAAUUUUAUGUCAAACAACCUCCCGGUUUUGUGAACUCUAAGAAACCUAAUCAUGUUUAUAAAAUUCAUAAAACUUUAUAUGCUCUUAAACAAGCCCCUCGAUCUUGGUACAAAUGCCUAACAAAGUUUCUUAUUGAAAAGGGUUUUAAGGUUGGUAAAAUUGAUGCAACCUUAUUCAGUAAAAGAGUUAAUGGCGAGCUAUUCGUGUGCCAAAUUUAUGUGGAUGAUAUUAUCUUUGAAUCUACUAACCCCAUUUUAGUGAGAAGUUUGGAAGGUUGAUUCCAAGAAGUAUGAGAUGUCCAUGAUGUGUGACCUGAAAUUCUUUCUUGGUUUGCAAAUAAAACAAACGAGAGAAGGUAUGUUUAUAUCUCAAACCAAGUACACCAAGUACUUAAUCAAGAAGUUCAGCAUGCAAGAGUGCAAAGCUAUGAAAACUCCUAUACCAACUAGCAGACAUGUGGACCUCACCAAGGAGGACAAGCCGGUUGACCAAAAGAUUUGUCGAUCAAUGAUCGGUUCAUUGCUAUAUCUAUGUGACUCCUGUCCCGAUAUCAUGCUAAGUGUGUGCAUGUGUGCCCAAUAUCAAGCCACACCCAAGGAGUGUCAUCUAAAGGAUGUGAAAAGAAUUGUGAGAUACUUGAUACAUACACCAAACUUUGGCAUAUGGUAUCCCAAGGGAUCUUCUUUUAAUCUUGUUGGCUAUUCCGACUCGGACUUUGCCGGAGACAAGGUUGAUAUAAAAUCCACCUCAGGUACAUGUCAAUUUCUUGGGAGAUCUCUUGUGUCUUGGUCAUCCAAGAAACAAAACUCGAUAUCUCUAUCUACCGCCGAAACAGAAUACAUUGCUGCUAGAUCAUGUUGUGCGCAUUUACUAUGGAUGACGCAAACUCUUAGGGGUUAUGGCAUUCAUGUGAAACAUGUUCCAUUGUUGUGUGACAAUGAAAGUGCUAUUAAAAUUGUUCAUAAUACGUGCAACAUUCUAGAACUAAACAUGUUCAAGUUUGACAUCAUUUUAUCUGUGAUCAUGUUGGUAAAGGAGAUAUUAAUCUCAAGUAUGUUCGUACCGAUAAACAAUUGGCUGAUAUCUUUACCAAGCCACUUGAUGAGAAAGUGCUUCGUCACUUGAGAAGUGAGUUGAACAUCAUUGAUGCUUCAAAUUUGAGAUAGACUCACUCGGAUGCAUGCAAGGGCAUGAGCUUACUUGAUUAUUCCAUGAUGCUAUUGAUAUGACACUAUCUUAUGUCUUGGAAAACUAUGUGCCCUUGUAUUGCAUCUAAACUUUUGUAGGUACUUCGAAGAACUACACUCCACAAGAUUGCCAUCAAAUCACAUCGAAAGCAAUCUUGUUAUGGCCAAGUAUCAACCCUUUCUUCAACGAUGAAGGAAGAAGAAAACAAAAUCAUAUCCUUGACAACUAUUUAUGAAUAAAUUCACCCUUGUCAUUUGGGUAUGUUAUGUUCUUCCUUGAAUUACUAACCUAUGUAGGAGAAAAGUGAACCGAAACAACAAGGAUUGCUCCCAACUCAAGAUGAUCUUCAUCAACAUUGAGCAUCCACAAACAAGUUCACCUACAUGCCACAUCAUCAACAUCAUUCGAAGGUAUGUUCUCAUAUCCUUGACAAAGCUUUACACCAAUACAUGAGGUAAAGCAACUCAAGUGAUAUGAAGACAUUAAAAUGCUUAACAAAAAAUGGUAACCCCAAUUUGAGCUUAACAAUGAGUACCUAUGAUCAAGCAUUCUUGCUUGGCUCCGUAAGUCAAUAUAUACUCUAAUAUAGGUGACCUAGUCACAGACCAACAUCUAGAUGAAGUUGCUUGCAUGGCUCAUAUUUUGUUGCAUGCUUUCUUGGAACCAUUCAAUUCUCAUCUAAUUGUGAAAAUUCUUUGCAAAUAUUUCAAAAAUUCCGUGAAAAUCACUUGAAUACUUUCUGAGAGCUUUGGCCAAAAUAUAUGAGAAUUUCUUUAAAAAUGGCCAGGAAGGAAUUACGUUCGUUUUGAAGUGAUCCCAUAUUUUCAAGUAGCUAAGAUUCUAUUUGCAACUUGGUCUCUCUGAAUCGGGAAAAUUGGUCAUACCAACUUCUCCCACAGGCCCAAGUUCAUUCACGGUUCUACCGAAUCACUUUGCCUCGGAGACUCUGAAUUUUGAUGCUACAAAGUUCUCAAAAUUUCAAAGUGGUAGAAACAUAUAGAAUCCCUACUGAAAGGGGGAUAAUUUCAAGGAACCCUUACCUACUGAAAGGGGGGCGAAAUUUCAAGGAACCCUUACCUACUGAAAGGGGGAAAAUUUGAAGGAACCCUUGUGUAUACUCAAGGGGGAGAAGAAUCAAGGAACCCUUAGCAAAGAAAGAAGAAUCCAGGAUCCCUUACUCUCAAGGAACCCUUACCCUAUGACCUUUUUUGGAAAUUAAUGCCAAAGGGGGAGAGAGAUAUCAAAGCUUACACUUUCAGGGGGGAAAUAUCAUUAAGGGGGAUAGAUAUCAAAGGAGGAGAAAUCCUUAAGGGGAGAGAUAUCAAAGUGUUAUUUAAGCUUAUGCUUACCCAAAGGAGGAGAAAUACAAGAAGGCAAAUAAACCUGUAGUUUGGGUACUUCUUAUAUUGGACCUGUCUCACCCUACCUACUUCCAAUAUCUACAUGCUAUGAUCUAGGGGGAGGACAUCCUACAUAUUCAUACUUAGGGGGGGAGUUCUAAAUAUUCGUGGAGACAUAUCUAUCAUCAAAUCCUACUUUCAGUAUGUCUUCCAUUCUUGGUACUAUUGAAGCUCUUUGUAUCUUUACAAUAGAAUACUCAUGUGUUAUCUAACAAUUAUUUUCUCAAGUGUAUUCCUACUGCUAAGAUGCUCAAGAACCUCAAGGUAAGUAUAUGCAUCAUAUCCUUGUUCAGGAUGAUCUCUUGUCUCUUGAACAUAUCGUUUGCAAGAGUGAGUCUUGAACAUGGAAACCUUUCAUUCACAUAUUGUUUGAUGCAUAUAGCCAAGAUUCACAUGACUUGUCGUGUCCCUUCUACCAUGUGUGUGCCCAUGCAGUUCAAAGCAAAUGUAUCUUAAAAGGGAUUGCACACAUUUAGGGGGACCUUGUAUUAGUCAUGUAUCUUUCAAAGUUGUCAUAUUCUAAUGCCUAUCUCUAUUUGAAGCUUUGAUUAUAUGUUGUAAUGAAUUACCAAAAAAGGGGGAGAUUGAAAGCACAUAUGCUCCCUUGGUGGUUUUGAUAAUUCAUGGCAACAUACAUUGUCUCUUGGACUAAUACUUUUACCUAGUAUAUUUCAGACAUAGUCCACAAAGAGAAUUGGCUAAGGAUUGUGAGGAAAAGUCCCAAUGAAGGAAAUGAAUAGGAUUGACCAAGCUUCAAGCUUCAAGACUCUACAUUUUAUAUUUUGUGAGAAAUCACAUUUGAGUCCAUAGGAAAGCCAAUACUAUUAAAAGUGGAUGAGGUGACUAUGAUGAUCUGGUUGCUCAAGUUCUUAGAGUUAGCCACCAAAAAUACUCAUGAAAUUCUCCCACAAAUAUUCUGUCCAAAUCCUAAAUAUCCAAAAUUCGGUGCCACCAACUUUAUCCAUUCGUCCCUAGCAACUUUUACAUCAGACAGAUCCCAUGCCAAACCCUAGAGUCUCGGUACCACCAAGUUCCAUUUCGAUGCAACCAAAUCAGUGCCCCGGCUCUAUUAACCAAUUUCUUAAAAUUGGAAUUUCCAUGUUUUGAGAAUCGGUCCCGUCGAGUUGAGGAAACUAACUAGGCCAGCCAAAAUUGGUACCAUCGAUAUUCAUAUAUCGGUCUCACCGAAAAGACAAAAGUUGCCACAUUUUGCACUAGUCGGUGCCAUCGAGUUUUACUUCGGUUUCACCGAGUUGGGCAAUAAUGUUGUAACGGUUGGAUUUUUGGAGAUGCCUAUAUAUACCCCUCCACCACCUCUCAUUCGCAGAGGAAGCGCUUAGAACAUACAAACACUUGCCCCAUCCAUUUUUCUAAGAGAGAGCCACCUACUCAUGUGUUGAGAUCAAGAUACUCCGUUCCUACCAUAUGAAUCUUGAUUUCUAGCCUCCCCAAGCUUAUUUUCACCCAAUAAAUCUCUUCUACCCAAGCCAAAUCUAUGAGAGUGUGAUUGAGUGUUGAGGAGACUAUCUUUUGAAGCACAAGAGCAAGGAGUUCAUCAUACUACCACAUCUAUUACCUUUUGGAGAGUGGUGUAUCCUAGAUUGGUUAGGUGUCGCUUGGGAGCCGCCUACUUCGUGUUGUGGAGUUGAACCAAAAAGUUUGUACGGGCAAGGAGAUCGCCUACUUCGUGAAGAUCUACCUCGAAUGAGGCUAGUCCUUCGUGGACGUAAGCCGUGAUGGAAUAGACAAGGUUGCUUCUCUGUGGACCCUUCGUGGGUUGAGCCCUCUGUGGACUCACAAAGUCGUUACCCUCCGUGGGUUGAAGUCUCCAUCAACGUGGACGUACGCUAACACCACCUAUCGGAACCACGCCAAAAAUCACCGUGUCAAUCUUUGCAUUUGAUCUUCCUAAACUCUACUCCUUACUUUACAUAUGCAUGUAUUUACUUUCCGCUGGUAUACUCGUAGACUUGCAUGUGUAGGAUGUGUUUGACUUGCUAUAAAUGCUAAAAUCUACCAAGAACUAAAAUUGGAAAAAGGCUAGUUUUAAAUUUGUCAAAUAGUCUAUUCAACCCACCCACCCCCUCUAGACAUCCGUUCUAGUGAUCCCAUGCAUCUCUCAUCGGCGGUUGUAGCAUCUAUUGCAACCGGUUGUAUCACCAGCCGUCGUUCGGAUCCACGACGGUUCUAGCUCGUCCCCAUGUUGGCCCCAGCAGCCUGCGGCCCAUUGCAGCAAAUCAACACGUCUGUCCUGGCUUGUUGCAAUGUUGGUUCAAGCAUGCGGGCAACACGGUUGUAACAUCACCGCUAUCGGUUCGAGCUUGCGGGGGACUUCGGUCACGACAUCUGUGUUGGUUGGUUCCAGCUCGCGGCGAACACGAUCGAAGCAACACCGGGAGGCGGUUGUAGCACCAUAAGGAUAGAUGGUGGCAAAAAAAAAGCUUGUUGUCGGUUGGAGCUCUUGUUGCAACGGUGAUGGAAGCUCACGGCUCUCCGAGGGAGAAGGAUGGCGCCACCGCGCUUGUGCAAUAGCUCUAUAGGAGGUGGCAUGCACGGGAGAAAAGUCGAGUGGGACAGCGAUUCUGUCGGGUGCGCAUGGUGGGAGAGAGAUGACAUAUAAGGAACGAGUGGUUGAGAAGAUAGGGGAGAAGAUAUGGCAAGGAUUGUGGGGAACGUGGGCCCUUACAUACGUGUCACUCAAGGGUAGGAGGACCACUUGCUCGCGUGGCCGUGACCGGACGAGAGUCCAGCCGGUCACCCGGCAGCGAACAUUUUCCUAUUUGAAGGCGGGGUUGGCCUUCUCCCAAUCUAAUCCCCAAUACCGUCACGUCGGCAUCACGCCAUAAAUGGCCACCAGACCACCGCCGAAGCACCACUAGAAUGCUAUCAGAAUCGUCGCCGCUGCCGGAGCAUCAUCAGAGCGCCAUCGAACAAUCGUCAGCUGGCCAUCGCUGGACCAUCGUCGGACGGGUGCCGGUUAUCAUCAGACAGGCACCACCAGAGGAGCAUUGUCGAAUGUAAGGUUGGUUAUUGGGGAUGGGAUGAUUGGUGAUUAUUGGGGAGUUUUUUGGGCAAGCAGGUGAAGAUGCUUUAACAUUGUUAAAGAUUAGGGUGUGUCCGCAGGCGUUGAGUGUGUCCAAUUUGAUGCACGGCAUUAAAGAUGCUCUAAAAUUCCUACAGAUUAGAACGUGUCCAUGGAUGUUUGGUGCGUUUAAUGCAGAGUGUUGGAGUUGCCCUAACAUUCCCGAAGAUAAGAUUAUGCCUUGUUGAAUCCCUAUGGGAACAAUCUCAGUUAGAUAAACUUUACGUGUUGCAGCGUUAGAGCAGCAACCCCAGGUAAAUUAUAUCCCAAAAACGAAUAAGCACCACACAUAAUGGUGCAAGGAAACUCACAAGAUACACAAGACCUAACAAAUAAGCAGCAUACUAUAUAGGCUAACAAAGGGCGCAGCAGAGAGAGGCCCAGAAUGAGCACUCCAUGCAGUGGAGAUAAAAAUAGAUGUGGGGCACAAACAGCGUUGUAACUUAUUAAGCAAGUCAAAACUUCUUAAUGAAUCAACAUCCAUGACUCUCCGACCGUGUCUACAAGCCUAGAGGCUCUUCUGGUUCUUGCAACACAUACACAAACACCACACACACACACUUGGUUUAUGCGGAAACUCAGGACGUAGUUUAAGCAACACCACCCAACUGUCCUUGACCGUGGACACGGCUAUUCGANUCUCUCACUCACUCUCUCUCUCUUACUCUGCUGACGCUGCUAUGCUCUCACCGGAUCAAAACCUUGUUUCCCAUUGGAGGGAGUGGGACGAAGCUCUCUCGCUCUAGCUCACCAACUGCUGGUUGCCGUAGAACGGGUAGGCUCCAUACGCAGGGGCAUACAUGUUGGGGUGCGGGACAGGGGAGGCGUAGCCGUACCCACCAUAGAACGGCGUGCCAUAGUACAUAUUGUUGUUGUUCCUCCUGUUGCCAGAAUCACCCCUAGACUGAAAACAAGACAACAGUGAAUUAGCAUCAUGGAAGAGAGAAUGGAGUACCUUUAAAAGCAAUAGAUUCUACAUACAGAUGACAGAAAUAAAGAGUUCACAAGUAUAUGACGGGUGAUGGCACAGGCAAACCAUCUUAGCUGCACGAAGCACGACCUAGUUUAAAAAUUUCAAGUCCACUAUGUUAUCUACUCCGGACUACUUAUCUUUGAGUCUGGAUGUUUUCAUAAAGGCAUGGCAUUCAGUCAAUAAGCAUCCUCAAAAUGCAUAACCCAAAAAUAAAGAUACAGAUGGGCCACCGAGCACAUUACACAAUCAUGGAAUUGCCCUUUUUGCAUAGCCACACGGCACACAGGGUAUGUAGAACGCAUCACAGGCUGAAUGAUAGGAUAGGAAGCUUGGUUGCUUAGUUGAACCAAACCUAGGUUUGGAAAGUGAGCUCAGCUGAACUAAACAAGGAUUAAACCAGAUAAAGGGUCUGCAUGCUCAAGUUUAUUUAGCAUUAGACUAGAAACAACGAACAAGCAUAAGGCUGCAACGAUACAAAAUAAUCUUGUUGGAAUAAUUGCUAGCAUAUGGGACAAGAAAGCACAGAUCCAUUAAUAGCAGGAACGUUUUAAUUCCAACAUCAACAAGCCACAGUGCUAGUACGCAACAGUCAUAAAUAGAUUAAACAUGGACACAGCAAAGAAGCCUUUCAUGGGAAAGAUCAUAGCAUAUAGGAAAAGAUGAUAUAAUAUAUGAAAAGUAUAUCUUGCAAGGCUGAUUUGUCAUAGCACAUCCAAAUUUACAGUCGUCUAUAGGUUACUACCAAAUUUGUCCGAACUAAAGAGUUUUCAAACAUAGUGUUCAUCAUAUUUUUAACAAGAUUAUUGCUGCAAAGCCACACUAAUACUACAGCAAGGAACGAUCAAAGAAAACAGUUAUGAAGCACAUGGCCAACCUGUUUAUGUGAUGGGCUGCGGCCCCACGAAAGGCGAACUGCCUGCUUUCCAAUGACAGCCCCAUUCAACCCUUGAAGUGCUUCUUCUGCGUCAGUUCUAAAAACAGUGGCACAAAUAGAAGUAUUAGCUUGUAAGUUACAUAGAAAUAACCAGUAAAACACAUAACAGCUUCAGAAACGUGCCUGUUGACAUACUGAACAAAGCCACACUGCUUCCCUAGAGGAAUUUUCACAGAGGCAACAUCACCAUAUUUGGCAAAUGAUUUCCUCAGCUCGUCUUCACUAACAUUUUGGUCGAGCCCACCAACAUAUACCUAAAGCAGGUUGAGAAUUUCAGAUUAGAAACUAUGAAGCUACAAGGUUAAUAAACAACAUGGAAAACUCAGUAUAGAGUAUACACACCGUUCUGUUAUUUGAAUCGCCAUCUGAAUGGCCAGGUGUUGAGGAACCAGAAUCACCUGAAGUUAAUAGUCAUUAAGUUGUGUAACAAGGGAUUAAACCUAUACGAAUCUCAUAUGAGAAAAUAACCAUUUCCAUAUUGUCCUUAACAAAGAAGCAGAAUACAUAACAUGCUACAUAUAAGAAUGUGAGGACCAAUAGCAAUUGAAUCAGUAGAACUGGCACCACUACAGCAGAAGGAACACUAGCACCGCAGUGGUCAGUAGAUCAUGGUGAAGUGGAUUUGUUUGUUUCAUACUAUCUAUUAAUUUCUACAGGUCAUGUACGUAGUCCAGAAAGGCAAAACAAGUACAGAUGGAUGAUCAAUAACAGAAAAAAUCACCGUUCUUCAUUAAAAGCAGGAUGUGUUGCAAAAUCCGAGAUGAGGGAACUAUCUGUUAAUUUCUACAGGUCAUGUACAUAGUCUAGAAAGGCAAAACAAGUACAGAUAGAUGAUCAAUAAUAACAGAAGAAAUCACCGUUCUUCAUUAAAAGCAGUAUGAGUUCCAAAAGGCUAGAUGGGAGAACACUAGGACAACAUCAGGGCCAUACAAGAUAUGAGUAGAUUUUUCCGAAACAAAUAGUGAUAGUAAUGGGUACAAUGAGGCCAUGAAAUGAGUCAAAUUUAGUGAAAGUUGAAGGACUUGUAUGAAAAAUACAAAACAAUCCAUAAACUAACAAAAAGAAGGCCGUACAGUUUAGGGCUGCAGAACAACCGCAAAGAAGGGACAUACCAGAGGUUCUUCUAGGCGUUGCAGGUCCUAUACGAAUAGGUCUAGUAGAGCAAUAAACACCGUUCAUUUCAGUCAUUGCAUGAGCUUUGUCAGUAUCAUCUCCAAAUCUAACAAAUCCAUAGCCCCUAGAACGGCCAGUGUUUGCAUCAAUAAUAACUUUAGCUCCUUUCACGGAGCGAUACUUGCUACCAAAAAGCUCCAUCAACAUUUCAUCGGUAACAUCAGCAGCUAAAUCACCAACAAAAAUUGAGUGGUCAGAGACAACUUCUGAUCGCUUUUCACCCAUGCUAUAGGAUGCCCAGUUUAACUUAAAGGCUCGAUCAGUGUUGGGCAUCACAUGACCAGUAAAAUUCUGAAGAGCUUUAUCCGCUGAUGCAUGGGAAAAGAACUCUACAAAACCAUAUCCCUCUGAUUGUCCAGUUUGCCUAUUGCGGAUAACUUUUAUGGUUACCACCUAUGAAGCAGAUGUAGAGAAAAAGGUGAAUAAACCAGUAGUUGAACAAGAGAAGAAUUAUACGCAAUGAUUUAAUAAGGAAAAAAAAUGAACCCAUGAGUGGUUAACAUUCAUUAUGUCUUUUAAUAAACCCAUCAUGGUUUAUGUGUGUGAAGGAUAGUUCCUGGAAAAUUGUACAAACACAAGACCGCAUACAACUUGCUUUCUUUGUUACCACCUAUGAAGCAGAUGUAGAGAAAAAGGUGAAUAAACCAGUAGUUGAACAAGAGAAGAGUUAUACGCAGUGAUUUAACAAGGAAAAAAAUGAACCCAUGAGUGGUUAACAUUCAUUAUGUCUUUUAAUAAACCCAUCAUGGUUUAUGUGUGUGAAGGAUAGUUCCUGGAAAAUUGUACAAACACAAGACCGCAUACAACUUGCUUUCUUUGUUACCAUUUUCCAGACAAAGUACUUGCCACCUUUUCCACUUCCUGUCCACGUCAGUAAGCAAACCUCCCAAUAAAAGAUGGUAGUAAUUGGUCAAGGCUUUCAUUAUGGCUUCCUUUUGCCUCUCCAACUGGUGUUUUACUUAUUCCGUAAUCACCAAAAUGCAUAACGAGCCCAGCUCAUUCGUAACUUCUAUUAAAUUAUACACGUCAAGACCAUUUCCUCCAAACGAGUACUACUAACCAAACUAGUUUAAAUCCCCAAAGUCGGCACAUUUGGAAGCUAGCAUCGCAAAGAAUAAUGCAAUUUUGUUCGUUAUUGCGUACAAUCCAGAGGGAAGAAGAAAUUGCUUGCAGUUAUGGCAGUAAUCAAAGAAGAGCACUCCGUACGUACUGUAUUGAAUGGCCUUAAAGUUGGCGCCUUGAGCAACAACUUUUCACGGCUAAUUAUAGAAGCAUCGCCUUUUAUUCGCAUCAAGUGACAAGUAAGCACAAAAUAUACGCUUUCAUGGCAAUUUGAUGGCACAACACAUGAAUCAGGACAAAGGAAUGGGGCGAAUCUUACUGUAUUCGCGAGAUCUAGUACGGACAAGUCCGGAUCGGGAGAGAACACGAACCUCGCCGCUGGGGCCGAAGCAGUUAUGGAGGUAGUUCUCGUCCAUCCAGUACUGGAGGUCGCCGACCCAGAUCGUCUUGUUCUCCUCGCAGCCGUUCCCGCCGGAUCCGGCCGCGGGUGGCGUGGGCGUGCGUCGCCCGGCCGCGGCGNNNNNNNNNNNNNNNNNNNNNNNNNNNNNNNNNNNNNNNNNNNNNNNNNNNNNNNNNNNNNNNNNNNNUGGUGAGGCGGCACGGCCACCUGUGAUUCGGUGGUGGUCGCCGCCAUCUGCAUCACCGUCCGCGCCGCCGCCG